RNAcentral lists this long non-coding RNA (98229 nucleotides) under Ananas comosus (pineapple). RNAcentral's name for it is "long non-coding RNA (ACOM_LNC016978)". The stretch from base 76154 to 76226 matches the Rfam family "tRNA". Lineage: Eukaryota; Viridiplantae; Streptophyta; Magnoliopsida; Poales; Bromeliaceae. The record is from RNAcentral.
UCGACUCGCGUUCGGCUCGAUAUUCGGCUCGCUCGAGCUCGAUUCGAAUUAAUUUCAAGCCGAGCUUGAGCCUAAAUUUAGACUCUAAAUUAAUUUCAGGCCGUGCUUGAGUAUUACCAGGCUCGCUCAAAUUAGGCUCUCAAAGCUCGAUAUAUAUAUAUAUAUAUAUAUAUAGUCCGGCUACUAUAAUUUUAUGAGUAUUGGCUCCCUUAUACUCAUAAAUUUUCGGCCCUUAGAUUUAUUCCAUUGAUCAUUUUCACUCAUUAUAUUAUACUAUUCAACCAACUACCCACUCAACCCUAGGGGACCACUAUCAUUCUAAGUGGGGACCACCAUCAUCCUAACCACACAUCUCAUCAAUCAACGGUUAAAAAUUUAUGAGUACAUGAAGGUCUAUACUCAUAAGAGUAUAGUAGCCCCAGCCUAUAUAUAUAUAUAUAGAGAGAGAGAGAGAGAGAGAUCUAGAGAGAGAGAGAGAGAGAAUUAGUCUACUAUGCUAUUAAUAGUUCUAACCACUUGCUAUUAGGUUUCGGCCCUUGAAUGAAGGGAUGUGCGGUUAGAAUGAGAGUGAUCUCCUAGGUUUAAGUGGGUGGUUAGUUGAAGAGUAUGAACUAUCGGAUGGAAAUGGUUAAAGAUGUAGAUCUAACAGCACAAAAUUCGAUAGCACUAAGCAUUAGUUACAAUCGAUAAUAUAGUAGUCGGACUCUAUCUCUCAGUCUAGGUUGAUACUAUUAAUAAUAUAGUAGCCUAAUUCUAUAUAUAUAAGCUAGGCCUACUACUCUUAUGAGUAUAGACUCCUUUAUAUCAUAAAUUUUCGGCUGUUAGACGUGCAAUUAGGAUGACAGUGGUAUUCUAGGAUUGAAUGAGUGAUUAGUUGAAUAGUAUGGUUUACGAAUGGAAAUGGUCAAAAGUAUAGAUCUAACGAUCGAAAACUUAUGAGUAUAAAGGAAUCUAUAUUAAUAACAGUAUAGUAACCGAACUCUCUAUAUAUAAUUAUAUAUAAUAUAUAUUUUAAUUAUAUAAAAUAAUAUAUAUUAUGUAUUUUGAUUAUAUGUAUAUAUAAUUUAGAUUAUUGGGCGGACAAAACUAAACCAGCAAAAUCCUACUUUAAUUACUCUCUCUCUCUCUUUCACUCUCUGACAGAGUCGCUUUUUCAAAUUUUUUUUAAUAUUAUAAUAUUGUAUUUCAUGCAUUUAUCUUGUAUGUUGAACUAUUAGAUAUUUUUUAUAUCAAAUUUUAGAUAAUAUUUUAUAAAAAUUAAACUAGAGAUUGCACGAUGUUAAGAAUUUCAAGCGACUCGUUUAGGGCUCGAGCUCGCGCGACUCGAAGUUAGUGUUGGCUUAAAUGGGUCAGCAUCCUGUCCUAUGGCAGGAGACCAUAUUGGACCGAGUCAUGUUCGAAGUGGCGUAAGGCUGGGUAGGCCGAGUCAUGUUCGAAGUGGCGUGAGGCUGGUUGGGCCGAGUCAUAAUCGAGACCCGUGGAUUAAUGGUUAACGCCAACGAUCUGACAAGUGAUAUCGGAGCUGUUAGAAAUACACAACCAAUUCACUUAAAGCGUACAGAUAUAGAGGUCACAGGCUCGAUUCCCGCAUGCUGCAAAUGUGUGCAGGUGCUGGAGUCGGGAUUGUUGGCUUAAAUAAGCGAGCAUCCUGCCCUGUGGCGGAAGGCCAUGUUAGGCCGAGUCAUGUUCGAAGUAGCGUGAGGUUGGGUGGGCCGAGUCAUGUUCGAAGUGGCGUGAGGCUGGUUGAGCCGAGUCAUAAUCGAGACCCGUGGGCGCUGUAUCUGUACGCUUUAAGUGAAUUUGUUGUGUAUUUCUAACAGCUCGAGUUUUUGGAAUUAAUGGUUAGCGCCAACGAUCUGACAGGUAGGCUCGUUAGAGCUUGGCUCAAAUUAAUUUCAAGCCGAGCUUGAGCCUAACUUUACGCUCGAAAUUAAUUUCAAGCCAAGCUGGAGCUGAGAUAAGCUCGCUCGAGCUCAGCUCGUUUCCACCCCCUAUUAUUAUCUCUGAUACAUAUUGUUAGAGAAUUUUGGAUCAAAUUUAGAUCAACAUGCACCCAUGCAAGUAUAUAACAUAUCUAAUAAAACUCACUCAAACCUAAAAGCUUAAAUCUAUAAGGCCCGAGCCCACUAGUAUNUCUGAUACAUAUUGUUAGAGAAUUUUGGAUCAAAUUUAGAUCAACAUGCACCCAUGCAAGUAUAUAACAUAUCUAAUAAAACUCACUCAAACCUAAAAGCUUAAAUCUAUAAGGCCCGAGCCCACUAGUAUAUAUAUCUUCUCUACUCUUUUAUAAUUCCGUGUUGUACAAUUUUCGGCAUAAAUUAAACAAACAAACAAAAAGUUAUUUUUGGUAUGAAAUAUAUUUUUUUCAUUUAUUUAGCUCGACAUAAAGUAAUUUUUCCAUAAAAAUAUUUUUACAGAUUUAGAGAAAAAUUAAAGUUUUCAUUUUUCAUUAUUUUUUGGCGGAAAACGAAACUCCCUAGAAGAGAGUCAUGUACCCUCUCUUUCUCUUUAUAUUAAUAUCACUACAACGUAAUAGGGUUAUAGGGACACAUUUUUGGGACACUUUUGUCCGAGUGUCCCAUUAUGUACCAUUAUGUCCAAAAUUCCUGAGAAGAAGAAAAAAAUCUACCAAAGCCCAAUCCAUAAAUAAAAAAAUAUUUUUUUAAAAGUGUUUCAUUCUCAUCAAAAAUUUGUUAGGCCCAAAAGAAGGCCCUUCCUAUCACACAUCACAACCUUUGAGCCCAAAGCCACAGAACUUUUUAAAAAACCCAACCACACCUAAUGAGAAAAAAGGGAUAAAAAAAAAUAAAAAAAACCCACUGCAUAGAAGAAAAAAAAAAAAGAAAAAAAAGAAAGGAAAAAGAAAUUAAGCCCACCGUGCUCCUCUCAGAUCCUCCUCCCCGCGUCGUCUCCUCCGCCGCACCUCCCUCGCGAUCUCCAUGGCGAGCUCUCGCCACUACCUCUCAUCUCAUGUCAACAUCUCGGCGUAGUAGCUCGAUUAGCAUCUCCAUCGCCGCAACGCCAUCCUCAUCACCUCCGCUCUCCUCCUCUGCUGGCUCCUCUUCUGGCCGUCUCCUCGUCAUCAACUUUGGAGAAGCUCGAGAACUCGGAGAUAGUGCACAAUCGGCUCCCGAUCUCAAUCUAGGGUUUUUAUUCUUGAAAUCUUACAGUGGAAGAGAACGUAAUUUGGUAUGCAAUUAUAUUUUUCAAAUUAAGAUCCUUAUUCAUAUCAUUUUGUUCUUGCAUUUGGAUGAAAAUUUGAUAGAUUCCUUCUUCAUAGGCCAUUGUCUUCUACUUUCUCGAGUAGUUUAAAUAGGCACUUCGUUAGUAAAAUUAAUUGAUAGCUUCGUUACCCACUUUGUUCAGAUGUUAUUCUAAUGCUAAUUAAGAAAGCAAUUCUAAUUUAAUUCCUUCUGAUUCUGAUCCCUAAUUUCUACCAACUUUAGUAUUCUGUUAUCAAAUCUAGUUGUACUUUACAAGCUAUCAUUAAUAAUCAUUUAAGUACUGAACCAUUGAUCAACAGAUUAUUCUACAAUCUGCAUUUUCCUUUCUAAUAGUUCAUAAUGUUGUUAGUGGCCUUAGUUAUCUCAUGCACUACCAUAAGACUCAUGAUUGCAUUAGGCACCCUAAUGUGUAAAAUACUCUUGCAUUAAGACAACAUAAUUAUAAUGAAUAUGCUUUGGCCUUAGUUAUCUCAUGCACUACCUUUGGCCUCUCUCACAAGUCACCACUUACUACUACUCAUUUAACAUAUUAUUUUAGCAAAUCCCUUCUUUCAAGGAUCUUAAGUCCUAUCCUGCACCUCCUUUUUCUCAUUGUAAAAGUGCUUUCCUCGAAAGCUAAGAGCACUGCUAAUGGGAUUUGAGAUGGCUUUUCCCAUCUUGAUUAGAGCUUUUCCUAGGCUAUGAUUGUGAGGGUUCUCUUUUGAGUUUAUGCACGAAAGAUGGGUGGAUUCUUGUAUCUUAAUUAAUUAAUCACUUAAUAGUGAGUACACAUAAUAUUCUAAGCACUUGCCAUAUUUUCUAGUUGAUCUGUUUUCUGUCCCGCCUAUCAUUUGUUAUUCAUGCAUCUCAUUUGGUAAGUACAUUAAUGGCUUCUUGAUAUGAUAAAACUGAAGUUAAGCCUCUCUAUAAUUUAUUUGAAUCUUGUCAAAUAGCAAAGCAUGUUAUCUGGAAAAUAAGAGAUCAUAGUAGAAUGAGCUCUCUAUCUAGACAUAUUAUAAGACCCCCAAAAUUGCAUGUGUUAAUUCUAAUAUCUAUUUAAGAAAUUAGGCCCUAUGGAGAUCAACAAUAAGAGAUCAGAUUAAUAUAUAAUUCCUUCAUUAUUAGAUUAUUAUGUUGGUAUUAAUCGCUAUUAACAAUAAUGUUGAUUACGACUUAACGUAGACGCAUUAAGCAUGUCUUAGUAACAUUUCAGGAUCCUUGCAAUCUUUUUUAGAAUCCAAUGAUUUAGUAAUUACGCUCGCUUUAAUUAAUAAAGCCGUGGUUAGAUACCGAUGACUAUGAUCACUUUGACAUGUACAUUGAAUUAGAGGGUCAGUUAUCAUCAUUUAAUUUGGAUAAGUAAUAUCUGGGCAAUAGGAACAACCAUUAGCAUGGUAUUACUAAACUGGUUGUAUGACAUUUGAAUGCAAUUGACCUUUGGAUUCCUAAUUAGUAGUUUCUGUCACAAGCUUGAACUUUUUGCUUUUAAGAAUUUCAUUGAGGUGUUAUUCCUUUCUCCUUUCGGUGGUUGUCACAAUCCAAUUAUUAAGCCUCUUUUUAUUUCUCAUUUUUUUCUUUAUUCUUCACUUUAUUCUUUUCUUUAAUCUUAAUUGAUUAAAGAAAAGAACAAUUUAAUUUUGUUCUUUUUUUUAAUUUGUUACUCUGAUCAAUUUAAUUUAUUAUUAUUUUUUGGGACACUUUUGUGUAAGUGUCCUAUCUAUGUCCAAAGCCUCUUUAAGAAAAAAAAAAUCUAUAGAUGUAUGAACAGCAAACAUCUAUAAUUGAUGGAAUAAGGUGUUAGGUGUGAUCUCUAUAAUUGGGUAAUUGGACUCAAACUACCUCACUGGUUUAAUUUACUUUAAACCUCAGGUUACUGAGUUAACGUUGUCUAGUUUCAGAUUAUUAUAUUUGUUUUAAAGUGGUGGUCAAGUCAUUGGUCUAUCACGUUAAAGGGGGUUGAUUCAAUAUACUUAACCUAAAUUCUACUUCACCGUCUCAUUCGUACUAUUUGAUCAACUCCUUAAAAAUCCAAGAGAUCAAUUUUUAUAUCAGUAAAUGAUCAUCUAUCGUUUCUAGAAGUUUCCGGAACUUCACCUUCGAUUAAACUAAAGAUUUGUGGUUAUGGAAUAGGAUACUUACUAACAAAAGAGAUGUCCUUAGAACCAAGACUGGGUCCUUUUCUACUUCUUACAAAAUGAAGAAUGCGGAAACUUGUCUUAUUUUAAAGACUUAAUUAUUCACUUUACUGCAACGAACUUCUUGCUUUGUUUAACUACCUUCGUUUCAACUUUCUUUACGCAAAAGAAAGUUGAGACGNUGCAUCUCGUGCACCGCCAACGGAUCCUUGAUCCUCCAUGACGAAGAUGAUACCAUUUGAAUCGACGUCGAGUUCAAGACCGGGGCCGAGUAGAAGGAGGCCACCGAGAACACCCUCGCCACCUACAAAGCUGAUUAGGACAUGGUUCUGGCAGAGUGGACGCCGACGGGACACGUCCACCACUUGUUUGAUGAAAUGUCCAGGAUGUCGCUUUGACGGAGUUCGCACCGACGAACCAUGCCUACCAACUGUUCGACGAAAUUCCUGAAUGAAACCGGAGCUCCGUCAUCAACAAAGCCCGCCAGCUGCUCGACGGCGAACCUGAGAGAGAGAGCGGUGCUCUCCUCUCAAACGGGUUCCGCCCGGUUCCGCCCGCCAAGUGCUCGAUGUACCCGGAGUCCGCCCACCAACCGCUCGACGGCGAACCUGAGAGAGAGAGAGCGGUGCUCUCCUCUCAAAUGAAGUUAGAUCCGCCCGCCAAGUGCUCGGCGGCGAAUAAAGAGAGAGAGCGGUGCUCUUCUCUUUAUAAAAAAUGAAAGAGCGGUGCUCUUCAAAAAAUAUAUAUUUGAGAGAGAGAGAGAAAGAUAGUACUUCUCUAAUCAUGAUUAUGAAAGAGAGAGGGAGCUUUGUAAAAAAAAAGAGGGAGGCAAAGGAGGGAUCUUCCCACCUUAGUUGUCCCCAAGAUGUAAAAAAAUGAUGAUGAUGAAUGAUGCAUCUUAUUUUUUAAGAGACAGAGAAAAAAUAUUCUCUUAAUUCUCUUUCAGUGGAGAAAUAAAAGAAAAUUAAUUAGAUUUUUUAUUAAUAUUCUUUUGAUUUGAUAGUGUUCGAAAAUAAUGGAACUGUUCAAUUUGAUCGAAUUAGAUCAAAUUGGUUGGAUAUCGUAUACGAUUGAGGAAUUGACAAACUUGGAUGAACUUGAUUUUGAAUCAGAUACCGAAAUAUUUUGAUUUCAUAUAGACUCAAAUUCAAACUCGACAAAAUUAUACGAAUCAAAUUCGAAUUCGAAUCCAAAUUCGAAUCCAAACCCGACUCGAAUCCAAAUCCAAAUCAAAUCCAAUACCAAAUCCGAAUUCAAAUCCUAAAACCCAUAUCAAAACCCAAUCCAAAGUCCAAGGCCCAAACCCAUAUCAAAACCCAAUCCAAAGUCCAAGGCCCAAACCCAUAUCAAAACCCAAUCCAAAGUCCAAGGCCCAAACCCAUAUCAAAACCCAAUCCCAAGUCCAAGGCCCAAACCCAUAUCAAAACCCAAUCCAAAGUCCAAGGCCCAAAUCCAUAAUCAAACCAAUCCCAAAUCCUAAACCCAAAUAAACCUAAAAUUCACAUACAAAUUGAGCUCAUUUUAAAUCCAAUUGAGCCCAUAUUGAGCCCAAAUCUAAAUCCCAUAUUAAAUCCAUAUCCACUUCAAAAUGAUUUGGCCCAUUUUGAGCCCGAAUACAAAAUGAAAUGAGCCCGUAUUGAGCCCGAAUCCAUAUCCAAAAUGAAAUAAAUCGGGUUCAUGGGCCUGAAUUUAGCCCACCAGAAUCCAUAUCAUAUAGCCUAUUUACAUAUAGCUUUACGGGCUCGAUUUCAGCUCAAAUCAAACCCAAUAGCCAAUCUACAAAACCCAAACCUAUAACCCAAUCCAAUUAAACCUUAGCCCAAUUCUAAACCCAUAUACUAUAACCCAAUCCAAUUAAAUCUAGGCCUAGUCCAAAGCCCAGAGCCCAUUUACAAAUGGCCCCGGUCCAAAACCCAUUUAGGCCUACUAUCUAAGCCCAUUAUCCAAAACUCAUUAAAACCAUUAACCCAUAAACCCAUAUACAUAAACCCAUAUACAUUUACCCAUAAACCCAUACACAUUUAACCCAUAUCCAAGCCCAUAACCUUAACCAAGUCCAUGAACUUUGAACUAAAACCAUGGACCAAACCAUAUACCAAAUCCUGUGGACCAUACCAUACACCAAAUCCACAAACUAUGAAUCAAGUUCAUGAACCAUAAGCCCAUGAACCACAAGUUCAUAAACCCAUGAACCAUACCACAAGUUCAUGAACCAUAAGCCCAUGAACCAAACCCAUAAACCAUAAGUCCAUGAACCAUAAACCCAUGAACCAUAUCUAAGUUCAUGAACCAUAAUCCCAUAUACCCAAUACCAUAAACCUUGUGAACCAAACCCAAACCUUCGACCGAAACGUCGUUAAACUAAUCCACCAAAUCAAUCGACCGAAACGUCGUUAAACUAAACCUAAAUCCGAUAUCGACCGAAAUGUCGUUAAACUAAACUCAAAUUCAAUUUUCAUGAACAUCCCAAUUCCCAAAAUAUUUGAUUCUCUAGCAUAUAAAACUAGAGUCAAAUCACAAUCAUGUUCAAACUUGAUCAAAUUCUAAACCUAUAUUUAGAAUUGAUCAAACCAUCUGAUCAAAUUAAUUUGUUGGAUUCCAAUACAUACACUUGGAGUUUAAUUUAAAUCAAAUAUGACUAAUCCUAAUACAUAUAAUUAGGAUUUAGUUAAUAUUUCACCUUGAGAUGAACCAAAAUCAAAUGUGACUAAGCUCUAAUACAUAAACUUAGAGCCUAAUUGUAUCAGACUCUAAAAUAUAAAAUUAGAGUCUAAUUCAAGAUAUUUGGGACUAAUCCUAACACAUAUAUUUAGGAUGAAAGCUCAAAUCAAACUCUAUUGGACUUUAUUGCAUAUAUUUAAAGUUCAGAGUUUAAUCAAGUUCGAUUAAAUUCCAAUGUAUACAUACGGGAUUUAAUCACUCUUUCAUCUCAUGGUAAACAAAGUUGAGCUCCAAAAUAUAUAGAGCUCAACAAAAUCUGAUCAUCUAUUGGACUUUAUUACAUACAUUUAAAGUUCAAUUAACCAAAUCAAACUCUAAUACAUAUAAUUAGAGUUUAAUCUGAAUUAAAUCUGAUUAAAUUCCAAUGCAUAUAUAUAUGGAAUUUAACCAAUCUUUCAUCUUAGGGUGAAUAGUGUUGAGCUCCACAAUAUAUAGAGUCCAACAAAAUUAAUUUGACCAUAUAUUGGGUAUCUUAGAACAUAUAACUAAGAUACAAUUGAAAAAUACAUUCUUUACGCUCUAUUCAUGUACACUGAGGGUAUGCCCUUGGUUAAAGCCAUGUAAUUGAGCAAUAAAUUAUAAAUUUCCUUUUGUCCAAUUCCAGUUUAUCUUCAGCAUUUCAGAGGUCUCUUAAUCGAAGGUGCCCUAAUAUUCUAUAGGGGUAAUUAACAAUAGACGCUUGCGUUUAUUGGAAGCCAUGGAUCCGCAAUACCUGAUAACCAUACAUACACAUACUUUAAUCUACAUCAUGAAUACUACCCCACGGGAGAAUCAAAAGAUAAAAAUUCCCCGUGCGAGGUGCGUCAUUCGUGGUGGCAGACAAUAAUCGGAGACAAAAGCCCCAAAAUUCAUGCCCUAAUAAUGCCAUAAUGGAAUUUCUCCUAGAUUGAUCUCAUUUCUAAGCAAAUACUAGCUUAGAAUCACCUAGGAAGCUCUCUAAUACUAUUUCCAAGCUAUUUGGACCAUUCCUAGGGCAUCUACUUUAAACCUUAUCUGUUCACCAUAGGAGCACCUUGAGAAAACCAUGGUUUUCAUGGUGUUCAAGGCUCACAAUACUUCUAAACAUGAGAGAAGCCCCAAAACCUUAAGUUUCAUAGUGGAAAUUCAAACCCUAUAUGAGCUUUUGUACUAAAACUCACCUUAGCCAAAAGCUAUCCCCAUGUCCACCUUGAUGGAGAGCUUCUACACCUUCAAAACCUUCAAAAAUCUCCUCCAAGCCUGCUUUUCCUUCUCAUCCAAGCUCUACGGCAAGAUCUCUAGAGAGAGAAAGAGAGAAAUGAAAGGGAGAGAGUGGAGGGGUGUUUGCUGUGAAGGAGAGGAGUGUUGGGUUUAUUAUAGUGUGCAACAAUUACAACUAGGCCCUCCAAAUAUUUGUAUUUGCAACAGAUCAAUUCCUUGCUGCCAGACCAAAGUGUACCAAUACACGGGACUCUGUCACCGGUAACACGAUUACGCAGAGCCAAACCCGAAAGCAAAUUCCUCGAAUUUUACCAAAGUGUACCGGUACACACUACGGGUGUACCGGUACAUUUCUGCGAAAACUCAAACCCGAGAGCAAACUCUUCUCGGUCUGUAGAGCUGUACCGGUGACAACUCGAUGGUUGUACCGGUACACUUUGCCCAGAAUGCUGGUUUUGCACCGUUUUCGAUUCUAUUUUGCGCCGAUCAAUGCUAAAACCUUUUUAACACCUCUUAAACUCAUUUUUUCCCCUUCCAACAUUGUUGGAAUGCUAAAUGCAACUUGCCCAACUAUUUCUUUCGCAUUGUUCACUUUUAAAUCACGCCGAGGAAUGUUAAAACUUGCUUAACACUCUCGGCACUCGACUUUGACUCUUCCAAUAUUAUUGGAAUGUCAACCGGACUUUGUUCAUCCAUUUCUCUCGGUACUUUAACCAAUUUGGCUAAAGUUCGAUAAUCGCUAUCGAGGUUUCGAUACGUUGCAUCCAUGCUUCCCCAAGUUUCAGGUAAUGGUGCCUCGAAUUGCCGUUUUCAAAAGUUCCCACCCGGUGUUUAAUAAAUGAUUAUUUCUUACUUUGGCUUUUUUGGUUAAUCCGAUGGUCGAAAAUUAGAGUUCUUGGGAGUACGAUGAUAGUGAGGAAUCCCUCUACGCUGUGCUCAUGUUGCUGGUGCGAAUCGGAUGAUCGGUGGAAUCAUGAACCUGUUGUACCCGAUAUUGGCUCCACAUGGCCUAUUCUUGCUCUCCGACGGUCAGUGACCGUUGGGUGACUCUGGUGCUUGUUCACGGUAGCCAGAGGCACGUCAUCCAUCCUCGUGCACUUCUGUUUCAUUUCCGGAUUAUGGAAGUUCGGUAAGUUGCUCAAAUUUUCCUUUAUGUUGCUUUAGUUAAUAUUCAUGUGAUUGCAUUAUGAAUUCAGCGUUUCGAUGCUUUUUGCACGGUGGGCAGUGUUGGACAGCGAUGUUUAGUAUGGUUUGAUGCUUGGGCUUGUUGUUGGAGGUCCCAAAACCUCCUGCAGUCGAUUUGAUGCGAAACAACCCAAAUCGGGCCGAAAUCAAAUCGAUAAUGCGGUUUUCGAUUUUGUUAUCACGAAAUCGAUAUUGCUAUUGUCCAAAUUUGUUGUUAAGCUUGUUGGUUGGUCUAGCCUCGUGUUUUGCAUCCCUCGUGACAGUGAGUGCAUUGUGGGUGGUCCCGGUACCGAAAUAGGUAUUUCGAAAAUUCGGUUUGAGUUACUUUUGGAAAUUUAGAACCUCGUGUCGCGUACUUUGAGUGUAGCUGUCCUAAAACUUAAAAUGUGGUGUUUGGGAAUAGCAGAUGUGAUUUGGAGGUGUUUGGUGUGACCCAGUACACUACAUGAGCUGAAGUGGCAUCUCAGUGAGUUUAUGCGAAUUUCGGCGGAAUUGAUAAAUGUGUUCGAUAUUCUGAUUAUGCCAUUGCAUGUUGUGGGUGACUUUAUGUCACCAAUUGGUGAUGUUGUGGUGUUGAGAGUGUCUUGGGGUUGAUUAUAUAGUUCGUGUGUGAUUCGACACUUUCGGAUCUGCGCUUUUCAUUCCCACCAUGAUGUUGUUCCACAAUUGUUGUCCAGUUUGCCGACCACUUGAUGUGUGGGCGUCUAAGCACCUAAAGAUGUGUAUCUUGGAAUUGUGGACAUGUUGUUGUGACUCCCUAUUGAGUUGGCUAGUUUUUGGGCCUAGUUCCAUAAGCUAGUUUGUGGAACUGAGGUUCCGGUCGCGUCGUGGUAUACGUGGGUGUGGGUUGAACGUGUCGGGUGAUAGAAAUAACAUGUAGGAUACUGAUUGUAACAUAUUGUCCCUCGUAAAUCGUGCCGAGUUCCGUCGAAAUGAGCGGAACGCGGAGUGGAACGGGUUUGUAUAGGCUCUAAGUGUAUUGGAGCCUAUAUAAGGUGUUAAGGGACCCGAGAGAGUGAAAUUUCAAAAUCUGGCUAAGUUCUAGAUUUUGUGCUCUCAGGGACCGGUCCCUGAAGGAGAGACCGGUCCCUGUACGUGUAGCCUGCCAGGAAUCCUGAGGCAACCAGUUCCUGGCAGUGAGACCGAUCCCUGAGAAACCGGUCCCUGAGGGAGAGACCGGUCCCUCAUUGCGCAGCCAGCCAGGAAACCCAAAAAUCGGCUAAGUACUGGAAAUCAGCCUUUUGGGAACCGGUCCCUGGUCGGGGAGACCGGUCUCCCACUAUGAGUUUUGCCCAGUAAGGGCUGAUGCAAAUAUUGGGAGUUGAGGGGUCUUGUUGCUAUUGUUGCAACAUGUUAUGUACCCAUCCCCUCUUUCCCUCUCUUCCAUAGCCAUUCCCACUCCCCUCUCUCAUAUUUCCCUCUUUCUCUCUCUAAAAGCUUAGGCUAGGGCUUGGAAGAGAAGGAGAAGAAGCUAGGAGAAGGUGGUUUCAAAGGAUUUGGUGGAUCUAGAAGCUCUCCAACAAGAAGGAGCUUGCUAGAACUUGGGCCAAGGUAAGUUCUAGCGUGUAGAACUCUAGGGUUUGGAUUUUAACCCUAAGUUUUGGGAUCUUGAGUUUGUUUCAAGCUUUGGAAACCUUGUAGAGCUAAGAAACCAUGAAAUCCAUGGUUUUCUUGUAGAGCUCUCAUGGUGGAUCACUAGGGCUCAUGGUAGAUGCCCUAGGGAUGGUUCCAAAGGCCUAGAAACCUUAGUAGAAUGCUUCUUAGAUGAUUCCAAGCUAUUAUUUACUUAGGGUUGAGAUCCAUUUAGGAGCUAUCACAUUAGGGCAUUGUUAGGGCUCAAAUUUGGGGCUUUUGCCCUAGAAUUUUUCGAGGCAAAUUGACCUCGUCGAAACCUAAUUCGGGGUCAAAUGAACGUGUUGGGCAACUCCGUUCGUCGAAACGAAAAUGUUUAAGUAUAGUCCAUGUACAAAGGACCUAAUUUGGGCACUAUUUUGGGUUGUAGGACGCGGAUCGUCGUUCGUAAUGUUCGGGAGAUUAUCGCGUUCGUCUUCUACUACCUCACAAGGUGAGGGGUGCAUUUCAAAAUCGUUGGAUUCCCUUCUAUGUCUAUAUCCCUUGUUAUUUGAGCAUUAUGUACGGUAUCGUCCAUGCAUGAGAAGGUAGUUGUACAUGAGAGUUUUGGUUGUUUACUUAUAUGUUUCUAUCUUGAAUAAACAUAGAAAACGAAAACCAUAAUGGGCAUGUAUGCUGGAACCCUAGAGAUGCAUGAGUAUGAGACUUGGACCUUGAUUAUAGUAAACAAGGGUGACAUUGACAAUAGAGACAAGAUUUGGCAUUGAGAAAAUAAUUGUUAAACAUAGUUUAACCAAGAGUGGCAUUGUGACAAGAUGGCUUAGAAAAUGACAUGAACAAAUAGGUAGAAACCUAUCAUGACAAUGGCAUUGAGGCUAGUGGCUAAAGUAUCCUCAAGUUGAGGGUUGGAUCGAUGCUCACGCGAACUUAGGCUUGAGGGAGGUCGCUGCUCCACAAGCGGUGUACUCCGGAGUGUAGACACCAACGGGGAAGUACCCCGUCGACGAUCCCUCUGGUGGUUGUGCUUAAAGCCUCCCCCGGUAGAUGGGAAAUGGAAUUGUGAGUUAUUGGAGUUAACAAAGUUAACCGGUAAGAUUGGGUAAAGAAAGACAAGGUAAAGAAGAGAACAUGCAUGCAUGCAUAUUAAAUAUUGUUGAUUACAUAUAUCCACUGACCUUCUUUCUGCAGGCAUAGUAUUAGAUGCACUAGUUGUUAUGGUUACUGUUUCCAUUUCCUUGAUAUACUUAUGCCUGGAUAGACCUAGUGGGUAAGUCGGCGAGGUCGGUUGUCGAACCCACUGGGAAUUUCGUUCUAGUUCUCAUUACCACUAACCCUACAGGUCCGAGCGUGAGCGGGGUGGCGGAGGACCGAGGCAAGGGUUUAGCGCUAUAGUUAGUGGCCGCCGGGACAUCAUUCAUUUUGUAGUCAUUUCUCUUUUUGGUAUACAUGUAUCAACUUUCAUUUUGUUGAUUUAGAGUUGUAAAGUUGAAAAAAUAAUUAUGUAGUGAAUGGCUAAAAUUGUAAUGAAAUGAUGAAGGAAUGGAAAACAAUGAAUUAGUAUUGGUUUACUUUUAUUUGGUGCAAAAGCAAUCAAGUACUAUGUAUGUAAUAUGUUAUAGCUUAGAGCUUUCGCUUUCGUUGUUGCUUGCCCUCGUGCAAGCUUUGUAUAAUUGCAAUUCUCAUUGUUUAAUUGCUUUAUUAUACUUGUUGUUAGAGCCUUGGGUGGACAGGGGAGGCUCUGUCCGCUCGGCGUCUAUUGACGUGAUCUGAACCCGACCAAAUUGGCGGGGAUUGGGGCGUGACACUGAUGGUGGUUUUUGGUGGUACUUCUUAGGUAUAGGUGAUGGUUAGAUACAUCGGUCGAGUCGAGAACUCAGAUACUGGGUGAGGUGAGUGCUCCAUUCCAAAGUCGGUAAAAUUGUAUCUUAGUCGGCUUCCUCUUAUGUUUGAUCUAUUCUAUAUAGUGGUUGAGUAGGACAACAUGUCGUGGCUUCAUAUUGGUAUAUGCUUUUACUCUAUAUGCAUGUUGCUUGUUAUGUUGGUUAUCAUGUCGAUUCUUAGUCUCUUGAUUAAUUUUUCUUUAUAGUUGUUGUUUGAUAUGUAGAGUAGGUGGUGAUCUGGUGUAUUAUCCACCUAUCCAUGAUAGGACCUAAUUGGUCGGUGUGUAUUCCUUGUUGAGUAUUGAUUAUGUGGGUUCAUUGAUUUAUCCCUUGUGCAAUUGGACCCCCAUCGGUCUGCUAUCCUACUAUGUGUGAUUUUAUUUUGUAAGUUGGCACUCUUUUUACGAGAUUGACUAUAGAAGUUGGUAGACUCACUGUGUUCAUGAUUGAGACCCCAACAUGCUACUCCUUUGCUCCCUUAUAAUUAUCAUCAUCCUCGUCGUGUAGCAUGCUAGUUGACGCGAGAUUUCCUCUUGGCUCUUCUUGUCGCCUGUGGGCAGUAAUUUGACUAUGAAUGAGCUUUGAGUACACACAUGUGGUUAUAGCUUGUGACGGCACUGUAGUAGUCUUAGAACAUGGUUCACAACCUUGAGUUCUUCAGUUACCAGCCCAGUGGGAGGUGUUGUUUCAUGGCUACCCUAAGUUCUUCACCCCUAGAUUUGGUGUACACCUCUCUUAGACAGAGUUAUCGACAUUGGGUGUAGGUGGUUAUGUUCCUCCAGAGUGGUACUUGAUUUUUGUUCUUCACGACCUAGUGGGCGAGCUUAGGCCGGUCUUUAUGACAAGUCAUGGUGAUUGGGUAUAAUUUGGACUAUUCUUAUGUCCAGUUGAUGCAUAGUAUCUCUGAUAGAGUUAUGCAUGGUGUUCAAGUAGUUGUUUGGAUUACAGUAGCGGUAUUCCUCAUUAGUGACUUAUGAUAUUUCGUUAUUUAUCAUCUUACUACUAUAGUUGGUGUUCCUAUUGCAUUGUAUAUGACUUUUAUUUACAGUAGCGGUAUCCUUUGGUUAGUUGUUCAUGAUAGUUAUUCACUUGUUAACUUGCUAUUGCUAUUCAUAGUCAUUGCAUUCAGUACCUAGCUUUAUGUUUAUAAUAGCAGCAUUAUUCUGUAUUCUAGUUCAUGACACUUAUCUAUUUACAUUAUGCUACUGUGAUUGACUUGUCCAUAUUUGCAGUUAUUCGUUUAUUGCACUCCUUUGUUUACCAGUGAGUGCGACUUGCCCUCGUCAGCUGGUUCGUCCUAGUGGAAAACAUAUUUAUAUGUCUCUCACUUUACUGUUUUUACAAGUGUCACUGACAGUGCGCGUUGGGGCACGGUAUGAGGAUGCGAUUAGCAAGCGCCUAGAUAGCUCGUGCUGUCGAGUUAGUUCUAGAUUUAUUCUUAUUCAUUAUAUUUAUUUCAUGUGGAGGUUUUGUGAUUUGGUUAUUGUGGUUUGAGUUUAGCUAUUGUGUUGGGUUUUCCUAUUAUAGUGGUUUAGCGGGAUCCUAAUUAUGGUUUUGAAUAGUUACAAGUUGUGGUAGCUUCCAUAUGUACAUCUACCUUGUUCAAGUUGGUUGUGGUUGCGUUUUUGUGCUCGUAAGCCGUGCAUGUAUAUGGGAGACUCUGUCCGCGUGGACUGUAGUGUCCCUAGGACUUAACUGUCGGAAUAACUACAAUAUUAAUGACUAGUCGACACAUUUAUAGAGUGUCAGAAAUAGUCGAAGUCGUUUUGGCGCAAAUAGAUGCGAAAACGGACUCGACGCACUCAAAUAAGCAAAAACUGAUGUUCUGACAGUUUAGGGUGCCCAGAAGCUUAGGACACAUCGAUUCAGAGUGCUAUUUGGUAUAUGUUGCUAAAGUCAUUACAGACCCAGUUUAGAGUGCCCAAAAUAUGCGCUCAAAUUCUUCCUCGUGAAUAUCGAUUGUUUUGACACGUGGCAUGUGGUAGGUUUGAGUUGCAAAUGGAGGUUAGGCACAUCGGACCGCCACACGGGUGAGUCCUUUUGCUGGAUGUAGUGGUAAGCUGUUUGCGGCACCCGAAUUAUGGGUUUAGGGUGCCCGAAUCUGCAUUUUCAGUGCUGAAAUAGGUUAGCUUCUGUUUUUCUUGUGGCUUAUUCUACCCAUCUAUUGCUUAUAUUGCUUCUAUAAAAGGCUGUGGAUAACUCCUGAGAGCUCUUUUACUUCAUCUUUCACAUCAAGCUUGAAUUCCUCAUCUAAAUCACCUCCAAUUUAGCUCAAAUCCAUCUAUUGUUCCCUGUGAGUAGGCUUCACAGCAGGAAAAUCCAGCAACAACUUCAACAAAGAAUGGAAUUGUGAUUUUUUGAUGCUUCCGAUUGCUGUGGGUAAUUCUUUGGUGGAAUGUAGACUUGAAGGAAUGUGUUUGGAACAAUCCUAUAGUAAUUAAUUAUAGGUUAAUUAGUGAUAUUAAAUUGCUGAAUUUAGCUUGACUUGGAGAUUUUGAGCUGAUUUUGGAAUUUUAUUAGAGUUCAUGGAUUCGAAUCCCAUUUCAACCAGAUUUUCGAAGUUGAAUCAGUUCCUACACCUUUCUUGGGUAUUUUAGGUGUUCUUUCACUAGGAAUUUCAAAUUUGGAAGGUCAGUUUAAUUCAGAAUUUUAAAUUUUUGUGUAAUAGAGCAGUUUUGGGAGACUUCGCUUGAUUUUAAUGAAAUUUUGGAUCCAGAUUUUUAUAGUGAGUUGAUUGCUGGAUUUGGAUUGGUUAUUCUCUUAUAUUUGGAGGUUUUAGACUCCUUUCCAUGGAAUUUACAAAUUAGAAUUCUUAUAUUCUAGCUUGAAGUGAGUUGAAGUGCUGAGUGCUAAUUUUUUGAAUGCUGAUUUGGGCAUUCUUUUCUGGAUCCGAAUUGUCUUGAAGGACUUUUGGUUGCUAUUUUAGUUGAGAACUGGUGAGGCAACACACCUGGGUGAUUGGUCCUAUUACUAGGAGGUGAGUUUGAGUAAUUUUAGCACUUUAAUUCUAGAUUUUGCUCUGUUGAGCCUGUUUGAAAUAAUGCCAUUUUGGUUGGUGAUGUUACUGAUUUGUGCUCAGCCAGAACUUGUUGUUUCGGGAUCCAACAGUGAGGCUAUUGUGUGAAGGACUUAAGUUGGGCUUGUUGAUCACGGUAUUCCUUUCUAUGGUUGGAUUAGCUCUUCAGAUUGGUUAAUGUCUACCGAAAUUUGUGAAAUUUUUUCAAAGUUGUAGAGAUUUCAGCAUGCAUUAUUUUGUAUCAAUCAUCAUGUUUAGUGGCUUAAAUUGUAGACUUGCAUGUUAAUGUAUGAAAUCUGAUUUUGGAGUAUGAUUUAGAUAUUUUAGAUGAUUACUACAUGCUGAAUUGAAAAUCAACUUAGGAGAAAACGUACACAUUGAACUUGUCAUUUAUUCGAUCAGAUUUAGCUACAGAAGCUUUUUUUUACUAUUGUAUUGUAGAUUUUACUGCGUCGCGGAUACUUAUACAUUAGUAUAGGUAGAGAUUAGGCUCAUAUUGAGAUACCAAGUGGAUUUUAUAGUAAUGUUUAGACUGUUUGUAAGACCCUAGAUAUUCCUAUAUAUAAGAUAUAAUAGGGCUGAAACUCUUAAUCCAACUUAAGCAUUUUGGGUAGUGGGUAGGCCCAAAAGGUUAAGAGAGUUAAGCAUGCUAGGACGAGAGUAGUCCUAGGAUGGUUAACCCCUAGGAAGUUAAGGCGUUACACUGUUUCGCAUUGUCGGGUGCCAUUCGGAUUAAUGGUAAACCCAGAUCCUUUCUUUUGUAUAAGAUUGUGUCGUGUUAAGGAUAUUUCUAAGUUGGCGAAGUUCGUGAAGUCGAAUGGAGUCUUAAAAAAGUGAAGAUGGAGAUUGAAGAGAUGAUUCAAGUAAUUCAAGAUCAAAAGACUCGUUCGGUGAUGCUCGGAACCCCAGGUAUGGAUAAGAAUAAUUUGUGGUGCAAUAUUGAUUUAUAAACAUAUUUGGAAGACUUAGGAUGGUUUUAAAAUCAAUUCUAAUCAAAAACUAAGUUUUUCAGGGUUCGGGGACCGGUCCCUGAACUGGGGGACCGGACCCCGUAGGUUCUCUCUGCGUGGAAACUACGAGGGACCGGUCUCUGUUCUUGAAGGACCGGUUCCCGUAAGGUGUCUCAUUUGAUACGAUCAGAGGGACCGGUUCCUGAACUGAGGACCGGUUCCCGUAACUUGAUUUCCACAUUACGCAGAGACAGACCGGUCUCCGACUUGAAGGACCGGUUCCUGUGGCUUGUGUUUUCAACCAUGCAACGAGGGACCGGUCCCUGGCUUUGAGGACCGGUCCCCCAAGGACCGGUCUCUUCGGAAGGACCGGACCCUAAGACCGUCGUCAGUUUUUAAAAUUGUGUUUUUGAAAUUCUAGUCUAUCUAGAAGUCUUCUAAACCUAUAAAUAUGAUAUGAGGAGCCCCAUAUGACGCAAGCUUAGAGAGAAAACUUUUUAGAAAUCCUAACGGCUUGAUUCGAAGCUUUUGAUCUAUGUUUUACAAAUCAAGUUUUUCUUUGAUCACCGAUUCGGUUCUUUGAUGUUUGAUUUCAAUGGUUCUUUAAGGAUCAAAUCGGUGAUGUUCUAAUUAGGGUUUCUCCUCAUAUCAUAUGUGCUUUCUAAGUUUUUAAAUCACCACAAAGUAUUAACAUUCUUCGAGCUACGGAUGGAGCGUUGGCGCGUGGACUUUGCGUGAAGGCCGUAGAUUCGGUGGGUGCUUCGUGGAUUCGAGACGUGUUUGCUGCGAGGGCUUGCAGCGUGAUCGGUUGAAGGAGUUCGAUCGAUCGAGGACCGGCGAAGGCGAUCUACAACGAGGAUUCGGUAAAUUGAGUCGUGUAUUUUCGGUAAAUCACUUGUACUCAAUUUUUCAUAGUGGAUUGUUUUGUGUGAUUGGUCCCGUAGGUUUUUCUCUCCGGAUUGGAGUUUUUUCACGUUAAAUCUCGGUGUUUGGUUUUAUUUUUCGCUAUUAGUUUUAUUUUGCAUCGAGAGAUUUGUUUUUGCCAUUUACACCUAUUCACUCCCCCUCUAGGUGUUAUUUAUCUUUUAGAUCUUUAGGAUUCAUAUCUUACAUGCUUGGUUCCUAGAUCUAUUUGAUUAUUUGCAUCGACUAUAAACUGCGUGAGCCUAAUUGAGCUCGACACAGUGUGCUCUUUUGCUCAACUAAGUAUCUUCCCUGAGUGCCACUCCGGAGUAAGGCCUUCUUACAUUCUUGUCGCAGUAGUCCUUUUUAUGCAUUCAACUUAGACCUUGUGGGUAGUGUACGGAGUAGCAUGGGCAUAGGCUGGACUUGCCGGUUGGCGGUCGCUUUGGAUUGAGUCAAUUGUAAUUGUUUCAUAACUAGUAAUGCAUAUAUACACAAAGAACAUGAUAUGAGUAGUGGUAGUGUAAUGGCGUAUUAGCUAUAGAGUUUAUUCUAGCUUACCAUAUUGUUCUUUUACCUACCAACUAUACUGUUAAUUUUGUAGAUUUAGUCGGUAGGCUGUUGGGGCCAGUGACGAUAUACACUAAGGACUACUUUGUUUGUAAUAGUUUUCACACCUAUUGUUGUCAUUUUUUCUUAUAGAGCCUUCGGCUGCUGCUGUAACACACUGAACUUUAGCAUAUUGCGAUGUUCCAGUGUUAGAAUAGCGUUUUAAGCUAUUUCCGGUGUUUUUGUUGGUCGUUGACUGAGUACCGACCCAUUUCUCGUGUUGCAGGAAUGCGCGAAAGAGAACUUAGCAUCAAAACCUCCAAACUGCAGGUUUUGGGGUGCUGCGUACCGGUAGCAGAGAGAAGGGGUACCGGAACUCUCCUGUAUAACCGAGAAAAGCUGCUCUCAGGUUUGAGCUGUUGGGUGGUCUGGUACCGGUACGGCAUCGGCUGAGUACCGGUACGCCGCACUGUUUCUGCUUGACCGAGGCUCGGGUUUGGCAGUUUUGUUGACCUGGUACCGGUACUCUUUCCCGCAUACCGGUACGCACUGCAAAAAUUGCAGUUCAUGCAGUUUGCAAUUUCUGGUGUUUUAAGGGGCUUUUUGGGGUUUGUUACAAUAUGUUAUAUAACCCCCUCAUCUCCCUCACAGCACCCUUUGUGCUGAGCUUGGAGAAGGAGAAAGCUAGGGUUUUUCUCCCUUUUUCUCUCUAGAUUUCUCCCAAACUUCUUUUAAUUUGAGGUUUGAUCUCUUUGUCUUCUUCUUCUUUAUGGUGGCAAGCUUGUAGACCUUGGAGGAAGCUUGGAUGAGAAGAGGAGAGCUUCUUGGUGGAUUAAUCUUCAACCCUACCUCAAGAUAGCUUGAUUUGGAACUCUCUUGAAGGUUAGUACCCAUCUUGCAACCUCUAUUUGUGAUUUUUGCAAGAUCUGGAGAUGAAAACCUAGUUUUGAAAAAACUAGGAUUUGGUUUGGGAUUUCUUGAUUUGAGGCUUUUGGAACUUAAUUGAUGAGUAUAGAACUCUUCUUUAGGUUAGAUUUGAAGAUCCUUUGGAUUGAUAUAUUUGAGCUUUGGACAAGUGUAGCUUGAUCAAAGGUGAUUUUCUACCUCUUGUUGGGUUGGUUAAAGUUAAGCUUGUGGGGUGUUCGUUCAUUACCCCUAACCCUUUUAGAAAUUUAUUUAGGGUACUAGGAGCUUGGUGGACAACUUCGUUCGAAGGAAUGAAAUGGUUCGAAGAUCAUCCGGUGGGUUUGACCUCACCGAAAUGGGUAAACUCCCUCUAUGUCUUCCUUAUGGUUUUAAGACAUAUUUAGAUGCUUAUUCAUGCUCAUUAUGACAUGCUAGAAUUUAUGAAGACAUAAUAUGUACAUGUUAUGUAUAGUAAAAAUUUAUGCUCUAUGUAGUAGAGGCAUUGUUCGGAGCCGAAUUUCCUGAUCCUUGACCCGGUCAAAGAUCUUCCUCGGAGAACGUGUAGGGAUGAAAAACAGCUACGAAUAGUGACCCUCGAAGUUUGCGCCCUUCGACUGGAUCAAGCGAUUCGGCUGAUGAGGGAUCGAAUCAGCCGAGUUCGAAGACCUUUACUUUAGACUCGGUUCGGCUGGAAGAGCCGAAUGUACAGAAUGCACAAAGUUUUAGGUCGGCUGAUGAGCCAAAUAGAUGGAAUACACAGAAACUGGUCAACUGAAAGAGCCGAAUGCCUUUAUAUAUUAAAAUGAAGUUGGGAACUCAUACAAAACAGAGUGUGCCCGAAGAGCAUACAAACUCUGAAAAUCUAGAUUAUAACAGAGUGUGCCCGUGGGGCAUACAGACUCUAGGGAUCUAACUUAAAAACUACUCUUAGAAAAGCAAUAAAUUUAGGUAAAAAAGUUUACAUGUAGACUACUCCUAGAAAACGAUAAAUGUAGGAAAGGAAAGUAUUGAAAACGCGGCGGUCUUCUCGUUCAGGGGAGAGAAAGACCUUUAUUACAGGCUUCAAAGUUACUAUUAUAAUAUCUUAUCAGCCCACAUUAUUAGUUGGUUAUAGUAGUGAGGGAAGUGGUGUAGCCAUGAUCAUAGAAGUUACGCUCCACUUCUCAUGGAAGUUACGCCCCACUUCACAUGGAAGUUACGCUCCACUUCACAUAGAAGUUACGCCCCACUUCACAUGGAAGUUACGCCUCACUUCUCAACCGUUCCCGCCUAAACACUCUUGACCUUCAGGCGCCCUAUUACCGACUCCUGGUGUACCACGUGUCCUUAUUUCUUUAGCUCAUAUGUGGGUUACGUCGGCGUGUUAAUUUUAAAUUUGGCAUCAACAAUGCCCCCCCAAUAGUCUUUCGAAUAAACAUUUGGAUGACUAUUGGUGCCAAAUCGACUACUCAAUGGCACAGCUGAGACCUAAGCUUUAGUUUCGCUGGUUUUGGUUGGCUUAAAGAAAGCGACUCUUUAUCAUCCCAGCCGUAUAUACCUCAGCUUCAUCAGUCGAUUCUUUACUUUUACUCGAUUGGUUCGGCUCUUCUUGAACUGAAUGUUCUUCUAUCAAGAAUUUCUCUUUGAAGAAAGCGGCUCUUUACCAGCCGCAUAUACCUCGGCGUCAUCAGCCGAUUCUUCACUUUCACUCGAUUGGCUCUGCUCUUCUUGAACCGACUGUUCUUCUAUCAAGGAUUUCUCUUUGCCUUUGCUUUGCUUUUUAUAUCGGCUCUAUUACAGCCGAUUGUCCUUACUUUUUUUUCAAAAUUGCUCAUAUUGGGCAACUCGAACACCUAGAUCAAAUAGGUUAGAAAAAUACUUAUCUUCAAAAUAGUCUUUUAUCUUAAAAUGCAGACCAUUUAACGUCAUUUUGGCGAACUCUAAUUCCGGCAUUCUCAUAAAGCACCGGGUAUUGGCUAUUUUGAAACUGUUCAAAUACUCUUUGACCGUUUCACCUGACUUUUGUUGGUAUAAAGCCAAGUCGGCAACCGAUAAUUGUGGCUUCGACCUAUAGAAUUGCUCAUGAAAUUUUCUUUCCAAUUCGUCCCAAUCUUGGACGGAAUUGGCUGAUAAACUUGUAUACCAAGUAAACGCCGUUUUAGUUAACGACGUGUUAAAUAAUCGAAGUUUCAAAAAUAAGUCAGCGGUCGCUUCUCUACAUGGGGCCGUGAACCGGGCUAUAUGCUCGACCGUAUUCUCGGUCUCAUCGCCCGAGAACUUAUCGAACUUCGGCAUUUUUCAGUUUGCCGGAUAUGGAUCCUCCACAUCGAUGUUCGCGGGAUAAGGAGAUUUAAACACAGGCAGCAUUGCCAGCCUUGCGCCAACUCCAAAAGUAUUUCGGAUGGCUUCUUCAAUCCGUGCGUAUAUUUCAUUAUUGUUCCCCUACAAAGGAACCUGUGCUUGUAUUACAUUCGGUCCUUGCGGUAAACCGAAAUUCGGUAUAAUAGGGUUAACUCCUUGCAUAUUCGGAGCCUGCCCCCUAGCCCUUACGCCUACAUUUUGGGGCUGGUAAGCUGGUAAAGGAGGUAAACACAAUGCCAUCUCCGACUGCGGGCCGGCGUUUAUAUUCGUCGGCCUAUAAGCAGCCUGGAAAGGUGCCAUUUGCGGUUGCGCCUGUGAAACCGCCGGCGUGAUGGGAUUUUGUUGCACCGGGCAUAUUUAGGGGCCCCUGUUGCCCCCCGUAAGGUUGCUCAUUUCGAGUAAAUAACUGUCUAAUUCGAACAAUAUUUUCAUUGUAGGCCGUUAUGGCGGCCAACACCGUGUCUAGUUGAGCGGUACUUUGAUGGAUAUUUUGAUCAACAGUUUGCAAGACUCGGGUCAUAUGGCCGAGUGCCUGAGUGUAAGGAAGUGAAUUCUUGAAAUCCGGGGAUUAGACUUCGUUUAGAAUUGACUAAUUGUCGAGUGAGUAGGUUUCGGAAAGUCUAAAGGUGAUUAAAAUGCAUAAGGUGCAUUGAGGAAGAGUCCGCGAGAGCAUCAGUGCAAAACCUGCACUGGAGCAAAAUUGCUCUCGGGGACCGGUCCCCGGCAGGGAGGGACCGGUCCCAUCGGCUGGUGUGGCGGGGAUCCUUGAUGCAACCGAUCCCUGGCAGGGAGGGACCGGUCCCCAAACGUCAACCCAGCGAGAAAGACCGAAAUUUGGCUAAGUCCCAAAAAUCCAACUCUCGGGAACCGGUCUCUCAGGCAAGGACCGGUCUCCCAGGGACCGGUCUUUCAGGCUAAGAUCGGUUCCCGAACGUGAGAUUUUCCUCUGCCCGAAUGGGAGGCUCUCGGGGACCGGUCUUCCCGACCUGGGACCAGUCCCUCACUGCGAAAUUGCCCAGUGAGGGCUGCUUUGUAGAAUGGAAAGUUGAGGGGUUUAAUUGCAAAAUGGCCUAUAUGAGAGAUGGGGAACCCUUUUCUCUCCCUCACUACUCUCUUUUCCCCUCACACUCUCACCCUUUCUCCCUUACUCUCUCUCUAGAAAGAAAAGAAGGAGAAGAAAAAGAAGAGGAAGAAGAAGAAGGAAAAGAAAAGAAAGAGGGGGGAGAAGACUAAGAAGAAGAAGAAGAUCAUCUUCUUCUUCCUCAAGCUAGGAGCUCUAACCCUACAAUGGUAUUUCUAGGGUUUAGGGUUCUUGUUGUUUGGAGAUGGUUUUAAUGAGACCUAAUGGAGUCAAAUAGAUGAUUCUAGCAUGAAUCUAAAGCUUGAAUCAUGGAUUUCUCCGUGGUUGCAACCUAGGGCUCCGAUUUGGGAUUUUUGGAAAUCUAGGGUUUAAUAUAUUUUAAUGGGUCAUAAACCUAAUUGCUAAGUCUUCGAACGCGUAGGCGAAGACGGUCCUUCGUUACGACGAGCGAGUGCGAAAAUAUCGCCGGAACAAGUGCUCGAGGGUUCGGAUUAGCCUGAAGAGUCGAGGCGACGACGAAGGAUCACGGCGUCGAGUUUACUAGCUACACGGUAGUACCAAAAAGGUGGGGGUGCUAUCCCGAAGCAGUUGAACUGCUUCCUAUGUCUAAGUCAUCAUGUUGAUCAAGUGCUUAUUGUAUUAUUGCAUUAUAGGGUGCUGAAUGUAAUUGUUACAUUUUAUUGCAUGCUAGAGUUAGCUUAGCUUCGUGGAUAUAGCGUCGAACCUAGUAUGCAUGAGUUGAACAGGAGAUAGUCAACCCUAUAUGUGAUGAAUGUGUUAUGCGAAUGAGAACCUAGUAUGGAAUAACUAGUAUAUGAGAACAUUGAACCUUGGCGAGUGGCAUCUAGUUAAUGUUAACCUUGACGAGUGGCAUCUAGUUAAUAUUAACCUAUGAUGAAUAGCUAUGAGAACCUUAGUGUGGUUGGUAACACUAGAGUGAUGAGUAUGGUAUUUGCUUGCAUAUAUGAUGAUACUAUCCUUAGUUGACAAGAUGUUCCCAGUUUGUGAAGGUUUGGAUCGAGCUUACAUAGCCUAUCUGCGCCUGUGGUGGUAGCUCCACACAGGUAGUGCACUCCGGAGGUUGUCACACGAGGGGGGGCCAAUGUAGUUGCCCUUGGACUAUUGUAGCUGUUCGCAGGCGGUCUCGGGGGUAGUUGAGUAGCUAGUCUCCUCCCCUAUGAGACUUACACACAUGAGAUUGUGAGCAAGCCUCGAGUUCGCAGAGGGAUUGGGUAACCUGAUGAGUUCCACGUUUUUGUGCAUAGUAGUAUAUUAGCUACAGGUUUCACUAUGAUGUGCAUGCAUGCAUUAUACAGAUUGAGGCAUAGUUAGAUGUUGUAUAUAUAUAUAUAUGUAUAUCUGCUUAAAUGUUGCCGAUGCUUUCAAUUACAGGUAUCUAUCUAUCUGUCUAUUGUCUCUCUAUGCCUGCUUAGACCUAGUGGGGAGAUCGGCGGAGCUGGCGGCCGAACCCACUGGGAACUAUGAAAGAUAGUUCUCACCCCACUCUCUAUAGGUCCGAGUUCGAGUGUCCCCGGCGAGCGCGACGAUCGUGGCAAGGGCAUAGCGCCCUAGGGGUAUCCAUAGCUAGCUUUACUUCCUUCUGCAUUAAUUCCACUCUAUGUUUUAUGUUUAAGAGUAGAUGAUGUAUAGGGUGAGGUUUUGAGAGUGAUUGUACAUAUGUUUUGGAAGAAUGUAAAGGUUGAAAUAAUUGUAUCAAAGUUAAUGAAUUCAAUAGUUAAGUAUAUCUCUCUUUUGAUCACUUAUAUGCUUUACUCGUGUUGCUUACUCUUGGUUGAUAUGCACUGUUUGCGCUUCGUUAUCGUUGUAUGAUCAUGUAUGUAAUCAAGUGUAUUUCCUGGGAACUUGUGUACAUGAUCUCAUCGUUUGAGCCUUGGUCGGGCAGGGGAGUUGCUGUCCGUUCGGCGGUCCGUUCGCCGCGCCCGAACCGGACCAAAUUGGUAGCGGUCUCGGGGCGGGGGCGUGACACUGAGUUAAACUCGGCUCUUGAUAAGCCGGCUGUUCACUAGUCUCUCCUCCAACAGGUAGUACCGCCUAAUUCUUAUUCGCAUUUUUGGCGCUACCAGCUUGGUCAUUCCCUGAAGGCCUGGGAAUGGCUCUAUUUAGGAGGUUCAUAGCAUUAUCGUCAGCCAUAGGACAAAGUCUAGAUUAGGAAUACCUGAGUGUGUCCCACUGGGCGUGCCAAAAAUUAUUAGGAGCCGAAUUCCCUGAUCCUUGACCCGGUCAAAGAUCUUCCUCGGAGAACGUGUAAGGAUGAAAAACGGCUACGAAUAGUGACCUUCGAAGUUUGCGCCCUUCGACUGGAUUAAGCGAUUUGGCUGAUGAGGGAUCAGAUCAGCCGAGUUCGAAGACCUUUACUUUAGAUUCGGUUCGGCUGGAAGAGCCGAAUGUACAGAAUGCACAAGGUUUUGGGUCGGCUAAUAAGCCGAAUAGAUGGAAUACACAGAAACUGGUCGACUGAAAGAGCUGAAUGCCUUUAUAUAUUAAAAUAAAGUUGGGAACUCAUACAAAACAGAGUGUGCCCGAAGAGCAUACAGACUCUGAAAAUCUAGAUUACAACAGAGUGUGCCCAUGGGGCAUACAGACUCCAGGGAUCUAACUUAAAAACUACUCCUAUGAAAGCAAUAAAUGCGGGUAAAAAAGAUUACAUGUAGAUUACUCCUAGAAAACGAUAAAUGCAGGAAUGGAAAGUAUUGAAAAUGCGGUGGUCUUCUCGUUUAGGGGUGAGAAAUACCUUUAUUACAGACUUCAAAGUUACUAUUUAUAAUAUCUUAUCAGCCCACAUUAUUGGUUGGUUAUAGUAGUGGGGGAAAUGGUAUAGCCAUGAUUAUGGAAGUUACGCCCCACUUUUCAUGGAUGUUACGUCCCACUUCAUAUGGAAGUUACGCCCCACUUCACAUGGAAGUUACGCCCCACUUUUCAACCGUUCCCGCCUAAACCCUCUUGACCUUCAGGCGCCCUAUUGCCGACUACUGGUGUACCACGUGUCCUUAUUUCUUUAGCUCAUAUGUGGGUUAGGUCGGCGUGUUAAUUUUAAUUUUGGCAUCAACAAGCAUACAUGUGGAUUUAGGCACUACAUGACACUUCUUGAUGAUUUCUCUCUUAUGCAACUAUAGGAAGCAUGUUAGAGUAUGAAUGUUGGUAUAACUCCUUGAGGGAACCUAGAGAAUGGGUUAGAUAAGUGGUUAAAUUACAUGAGGACAAUAUUACACUUGUUAUAGACAAGGUGAAUGGAACUUAGCAUUUCUUGCAUGAUAAUAUUAUACUUGUUAUAGACAAGGUAGUUGUGACAUUGUAACUUGGUACAUUUAACCUAGUAGAACAACUAGUAUUGGCCAUUGUGAUAUUGCAUUCGAUUUAGGGAUCGAUAUUUAUAUUCCUUGUUUUAGACAUGAGGAAAUGAGAGUGUAAAGCCUUUGAGGUGAACCCUAAUAGAGAUAAUGGCAUGUAAUACUAGUGGAAUUUAGUUGCUUGCAUGAUAAUACUUCUACUCCAUGUAAUGGAGAUUUUAGCAGAAAGACAUAUGCAUAAUAUGUAUUGUGGUACCUAUGGACAUUUCAUAAUUCUCUUGCAUAUGGCAUUAGUAAAUAUUUCUCUUGACAAUUAUUGGAACUGCAUGUCAUAAACCUGUUUGGAGUCUUGUAUAAAAUAGUGAACUAUCCUAGAUAGGAUAAUGACAUAUGAACUAUGCAUGCUUUAGGCAUUAUAUGUGUUGGUAGAGACAUACCACCCAAGUAGUUGUUAAACAAGACAUGACAUGAAUGAUUUAGAACCCGACCGUCGAGUCGAUGAGUGAGAAUUCCAUAUUUUAGACAUGAUGAUUGAGUAUCCCAAAUUGUGGACCCUAUACUAUGAUCACACUUGCUUGCCCUUGUGCUCAUUCGCACAUACUUGUGAGGGUCGCUCCCUACAAGCCAGCACUCUGGAGUUUAGCCUUGCGACGAUAGAUCGCCCGUGUGGGAUUGGGCGCCAAAGUGGGAUGCCGUGGGCGGAGUCUCUUUUCUUGUAGGGAAAAUGAUGACUCCCACGGGGCCACUAAGGCACGGCACGAGCCGGGACGUUAUCACGUGUACGUUCCUUGUAAAUUGAGUAUUGAGACUUAACUUGACAUUGUACAUCACCGUAAUGGAUGCAUACAUGGUAAAUAUUCAUACAUGUGGUUUGCUACCUUAUAUUACUACUUGAUGCAUUCAUAAUAGUUGGACAUUUUGUGGGACAUCAUGACAUUAACAGCUUUAGUGGUAGUACACCUAUACUUAUGUGGAUUAGUAUGCACGCAUGGCUAGGAUAACAAUGAAAAGCACAAUUUACUCUAUAUAGCAUCAUGGACAUUAUGAAUAUGCAUGUAAUUUGACAUUGGCAUACAAUUGAACAUGCAUGUAAACUGACAUUGGCAUAUAGUUGAAUAAAUGAAAUUUGACCAUCUUAUACUUGAUAGUUAAUCUUUUAGUAGAGGCAUGACUAUGGAAUGAACAUGUUUAAUUUACUUACCUUUCAUAUAUUGCUUAAUUAUCACCUUAUAGCAUGCCUCAGUUGACCUCGUGGUGUAUUUCGCCACCCUCGGCGGCUUAUCCACUGGGAACUAUUGUUUAAUAGUUCUCACCCCCAUUUGUUGUUGGUUUUUGUUUCAGAACCUUCCGCGGCGGGAGAGGUUAUAGGGAUCGUGGCAAGGGGUUAGCGACUUGCUAGAGCCCCUACGGAGCUAUUUAGAGGGACCCGACAUCAUCUUUCUUUUUGUAUCUUGUGGAAAGAUGUAUUAUAUAUUUGAUUUAGAGAUGUUGUUAGACUUUCGGAUUUAGUUGUAUACACUUUGUAUAUUUCGUGGAUCCCUUUGUGAUAGAACAUUAGUAAUUUUAUAUUACUCGUUCUGAUAGCCUUGUUAGGACUUGAUCUUGUUCAUCCUUGUAUUAGUAGACGCCUUGUGUGCAUUCUAGUUGUUUGGUGUACACGGCGGGUCUGUGCACGCGUCGGGCGGGUUUCCGCUAGACCGGGGUGUGACAGCUGCUGUUGCUUCUGAUCGAGAUAAGGGAAUCACGAACUUGAUCCCUACCUACCCCUGUCGACAUGCUAGAGGAGUACUCUUUUUGGAGCUAGCUUACUUUUGUUUAGUCAUAUACAUACAAUUGUUUUUUAUUUUUCACUGUCCGCUGUUGUGAGGUGAUGUUAUUGUACUUUUGGAUUAUGUUAUACACCUUCAAUUACAUGUAUGUACGUCAAGUGACUAUUUAUUUCUAUUUUAAUAGCUCUAUUACUCUCUAAUAGUGGUUCUUGUACUAUUUACAAGUGCUUCUAUCACUCUGUGUACAUAAGGUUUCUUGUGUAUUCGGCGUAUCUGUUGGCGAGCCAGUUAGAGCUGGAGCCCGGAGCGUCACAUGGACAGAGGAAUCUCUAUACGUGUGGCGGGUUUGUGAACAUAUCGGGCAAGGUUUCAAAAAGAAAAAAAAAUUAUACAUUUUUCCGCAAACUUUAUUUUCAAAAAUGAUCACAGGGUAUAACAAUUUAGUUCGACUAUAUAAGGCAAUAGUGAUCAAAUAAUUAUAGUUAAUAGUUAAUAAGUAAUUAAUAAUAAUAAAAAUGACAAAUCACAUAUCAUAUUAUCGCUAGAUAAUAAUAAUAUUAAAUAAUAAUUUAAACUCAUAAGUAUACAUUUCAUUAGUUAUUAUUAACUAUUAACCAUAAGGGCCUAUUUGGUUUCUUGAAAAAUAGUAGAAAACUAUUUUCUAAAGAAAAAAGUUGUUGGGGAAAAGAAAUUUUUUAGUUUCUGUUGUUUGGUUCGAUGGAAAAGAAAAAUAGUUUUUUAUGUACGCGUGUAGUCACGCCCCGGAUUACUCGUUUCUCCGGGCACGUCAACAGACCCACCGUAUAAAUAAGAAUUUUUUCUAUAUACGAAGCGAUAGCUGUACCUGUACCUGUAAUAUACAAUACUACAAUCAGUAGUAUAGAGCUGCUAAAAAGAAUAAUAUAUAAAUAAAACUGGUUCACUAUACAUACAUAGCAUCCUGGUACAAAAACACUCGCUCCAGCGAGGAUCUAACAUCAGUAUGUACAAGAACCAAAAACUACCACUCCCUGUAGCUGGUAUAUCUCUAAGUCAGUAGCAAAACGGGAAGGGAUCUAGCUCACAACUCCCUUUCCACAAUCGAUAACCGCGACAGAAGCAGCCGAAGAGGAAGGCUCUGCAAAAAAAGAGGUAACAACUGGGCGUGAGAACUACUGCAAAAAUAAGCAAUCCUCAGUGGUACCGCCCUCAAUCUCAUCGGCUCACCCACAAAGUCUACUACAGAUGUAUGCUCAAAUAAUAGUAAAGGAACUGGAAACAAUCUACAGCUAUAUGCCACGAUACUAUCAUGAUCCAAUACUAACUAUCUGUAGAAUAAUACAAAUCUCUGACCCAAUCUCACUAGAGACUGUGAAAACACCCGUCUCGCUUGUCGAAGCGAACCCGUAUACUACCCUAUGAGUAGUCGGUGGAUAAAACUCUCUAGGGACUGUAUACACCCGUCCCGUCUAAUUAGACUACACCAUAGCUCAAGAGUAGCCGGUGGAGAAAACUCUCUAGAGACUGUGAAUAUACCCGUCUCGCCUAAUUAGGCUACACCGUAGCUCAAGAAUAGUCGGUGGAGAAAACUCUCCAGAGACUGUGAAUACACCCGUCUUGCCUAACUAAACUACACCGUAGCUGAAGAGUAGCUGGUCUAGGUAAAAAGGUCCGACAGGACGGCUGUAACUCCCCUCACGUCACAACCUCAUUGAAGGUCGAGAAAGGCGUCACUAACUACCACUGAUCCAACCUCACACGGGCUGCCCAAACGGGCCCACCCUGCCUGUAUCCAACUACGCUGUACACCACCCACUGGGGUGGCCAGUACAAGAACUAUCCGAGCAGAAACUGCGAUCUUAUCGCACUAAAAGCUCAUUCCGGAAUGGCAUUCGUGGGCGCGACCCAACCGAGUUUACAAGUGUCUCUGUGAAGUUCAAUCAGUCUCUCACAGGCUAUAAUCGAAGUGAACAGGUCACACUGGUCUAACCACCAAAUCUCACGUGCUUUUAGCACAAUCUAAUGCAAAAACAGCCAACAGGGUCCACCAUUAACCACGACGGCACCCGACACAGUUCGGAACAGCCUAAACACUGCUGUAAAAAUAAGCUUGGCAUCCGAUCACGAGUGUAAAUGCAUUCUAUACUAUCUUGAGUAUCCACCGCCCACAAACUGCGGUGAUACAAACAAACUACGGCUCCUAGAGCUAAAUCUGGUAGUUUUAAUAUAGGUCGGUGUAAAAUUAUCAGUUUUCUCCUAAGUCAAGUUUCAAGUCCAACAUAUAUAAUUUAUCUAACUCACUACAGCAUGCUCCAAAUUCGGAUUUUGUUUAACAUGUUAAUCGAUGAAUUCGAGCUAAAAACAUGAUAUACAAUUGCUGAAAAUAUACAUGUUGACUAUGCGUACACUUAGGAGGAGAAUCCGAUGAUUAACCCACCUCUAGCGCUAAUCCACGACAGCACGGGGUCGCGAAGUUACUGGGAUACACAACCGAAACCACCCCUGGACCAGCAGCAAGGAUUCUCCAAGAACUAAAACAACGAUACCAAUAAUUCUAUCAAUAUACUAAAAUUCAGCCCCUAAGGUCAAAUUCCUUCAAUCUCAAUGUCAAUUUCACCUUUCGAUCUUCAAAUCUGGUGAAGCAAGGUUCCAAAACCUGUGUACUAAGAUGGAGAAUCACCCCCAGGUCCAAAAUCCAGCUUCCUCCAAAGAUUGCAUCAUGAAAAUUCACAAAACUCAAAUUUCAGCUUCAAUACUGCAGCAGUCCAGAAAAAUAGCAAUUUGACCAAACUAACCUCAAUCAAAUUCGUCAAAAAACGCUCCACGGAUUCUUCUUGAAGUCCAGAAUCCAAAAAACCAAGUUUCACAGCAAACGGAGCUUCCUACGUCGCACACGAGCCAAAACGUCGAAGGUCGCUGCUGGAAAUCUGCAGAAUCAGCACUCCUCAAGCUUGGAAUUGUAGAAUUUGGAGUAAUUUGAGGGACUUAGAUGCAAAAUGGAGCUUCUCUGUGAAGAAGGAAUGAAAAGUCUUCACUGUAGUCGAACACUACAUAUUUAUAGGGUGAUCAAAUGGUCAGAUAAGCCUCAGGAACAAAAGAGGUUAACCUGCAGAGUUUGCAGAAAACCACACUUUCGGGCGCCCAAAACCCCUUUCUGGGCGUCCGAAACCUCCAGGCUACACACUUGCUCCCCUUCGGUUCCUCUGCCUGGGGUGUGCUGCGCCCAUAUCCGGCUCCGGUGGAGCUCACCUACCACCAGCCAAGUGUCAGCGCAAACGAUACUCACGAAGUGAAAUUUCGGACCCACUUCUGGGCGCCCGAAACUAGGAUUCGAAUUGGCUUCCAGUUCUGCUCAGUUCAGCACUCGAGUUCUAGGCGACCCAAACCCUGUUCUGGGCGCCCGAAACUGGCAAAACUCCUGUUUUGCUCCUUUGAGUGCGCCGAGUCCAUUUCUGCAUCUAUUUCAUGCAGAAACGACUCCGACUCAGUCCGACACUCUCCAGAGGUGUCGACCAGUCACUAAUACUGUAGCCAAUCCUAUCCAAACCUCUGGAACACUGCACGUGUUUGGUUGAUAAGGAAAAAUAAAAUGAAAAAUAGUUUUUCGUUUUUAUUUAACUUGUUUGGUUAGUUAGAAAAUUUGGGAUAUAAACAUUUUCUACAAAAAGAGGGUAAGAUUACUAAUUUUUUAGAACUUAACAUACUACUCACAAACUAUUUAUACUAUAAAUAAUAAAUAAAUUAAAUAAAAAUAAAUUUUAACUAUAUUUUAGUCUAGAUAAUAUAAUUUGACAAAAGAGAUGGACUUGAUGAAGAUGACAGAUAAGAGAUGAAGAUGGUUCUUCCAUGUGUAUAUGUACACACAAGCGCAUGCGCGCGCGCAUCCGCGCGCGCACACACAUAUAUAUAUAGAGAGAGUCCAGCUACUAUACUCUUAUGAGUAUAGUCAACUUUUUACUCAUAAGUUUUUGACUGUUAGAUCUUCUUUGUUAAUCAUUUCCACCCGUUAGAUCAUACUAUUUAACCAACCACCAACUCAAUCCUAGGGGACCACUAUUAACCUAACCGGGGACCGCUAUCAUCCUAACCGCAUAUCUUUUCAUCCAAUGAUCGAAAACUUAUGAGUACAAAGGAUGCUAUACUCAUAAGAGUAUAGUAGCCUUAGCCUAUAUAUAGAGUUCAGCUACUAUACUCUUAUGAGUAUAGUCAAUUUUGUACUCAUAAGUUUUUGACCGUUAGAUCUACUUUUUUGAUCAUUUCCACCCGUUAGAUCAUACUAUUCAACAAACCACUAACUCAACUUUAGGAGACCACUAUUAACCUAACCGGGGGUUGCUAUCAUCCUAACCACACAUCUAUUCAUCCAAUGGUGGGAAACUUAUGAGUACAAAAGGGGCUAUACUCAUAAAAGUAUAGUAGCCCUAGCCUAUAUAUAGAUUCCAGCUACUAUACUCUUUUGAGUAUAGUCAACUUUGUACUCAUAAGUUUUUGGCCGUUAGAUCUACUUUUUUGAUCAUUUCCACCCGUUAGAUCAUACUAUUCAACCAACCACUAACUCAACCCUAGGGAACCACUAUUAACCUAACCGAGACCACUAUUAACCUAACCGGGGACCGCUAUCAUCCUAACCGCACAUAUUUUCAUCUAGUGGUCGGAAACUUAUGAGUACAUAUAUAUAUAGGUUAGGGCUACUAUACUCUUAUGAGUAUAGACCCAUUUGUACUCAGAAUUUUUUGGCCAUUGGCUGAAGGGAUAUGCGCUUAGGAUGAUAGUAGUACCCGGCUAGCAUAAUAGUGGUCCCCUAGGGAUGAGUAAGUGGAUAAUUGAAUAGUAUGAUCUAACGGGUGGAAAUAGUCAAAGAGGUAGAUCUAACAGCCGAAAACUUAUGAGAAAGGAGUCUAUACUCAUAAUAGUAUAGUAGUCGGACUCUACAUAUAUAAAGAGAGAGAGAGUUGAUCUAGAAUACUAUUAAUAGCAUUUGGGCUCUUUUGCUAUCAAUUUUUUAACCGUUAGAUCUACACUUUAAUCAAUUCCAUCUUUUAGAUCAUACUAUUCAAUCAACCACCCACUCAACCCUAGGGAGACUACCACUAAACCUUGGGGAUCACUAUUAUCCUAACCCUAUAAUUUUUUAUCCAAUAAUUAAAAACUCGAUAGCGAAAGAGCCCAAAUUUUAUUAAUAGUAUUCCAACCAAAUUCUACAUAUAUAUAUAUAUAUAUAUAUAUAUAUAUAUAUAUAUAUAUAUAUAUAUAUAUAUAUAUAUAUAUAGUCCGGCUAUGGUGCUUGUAAAAGCACCAAGCACUUGGUGCUUGUAAUUUUUUUACCGUUAGAUCUACGCCUUGAGCUAGAAUACUAUCGAUAGCAAACCGGCACUUUUGCCACCCAUUUGUUUUCGAUGAUGGAGCCUCCAAAUUGAUGAUUGGCACCGUUGAACAUGAUCUAUACCAUUUGAAGUAUUUAGAAAUUAAAUUUCAUACAUUUUCGAUAUUGCUCUCUUAUCCAUUGAGUGGACACAAAAAUGAACAGCUGAAAAUGAAUAUUUUUAAAAAAAUGAUGGUAGGAGUCUUGUAAUCAAGAUCAAGAGUAUAGAUCUUGUUUUAAAUAGUUUAAAGAAUUUUCUAACAAAAAUUCAAUUGAUUUGGAUAUCUUUACGCCGUUAAACGAGAAAACGCCUCAUAUCGACCAUUAAAAUUACAAAUUUUGAAACCCUUUGAUCAUUAGGCAAAUAAUGUCGAAAAGAUUUGAAAUUUGAUUUCUAAAUAUUUCAAGUAGUAUAAAUCAUGUUCAACGGUGCCGAUCGUCGAUUUGGAGGCUCCAUCAUCGAAAACAAAUGUGUGGCAAAAGUGCCGGUUUGCUAUCGAUAGCAUUCUGGCUCAACUAUAUAUAUAUAUAUAUAUAUAUAUAUAUAUAUAUAUAUAUAUAUAUAUAUAUAUAUACAUAUAUAUAUAUAUAUAUAUAUAUAUAUAUAUAUAUAUAUAUAUAUAUAUAUAUAUAUAUAUAUAUAUAUAUAUAUAUAUAUAUAUAUAUAUAUAUAUAUAUAUAUAUAUAUAUAUAUAUAUAUAUAUAUAUAUAUAUAUAUAUAUAUAUAUAUAUAUAUAUAUAUAUAUAUAUAUAUAUAUAUAUAUAUAUAUAUAUAUAUAUAUAUAUAUAUAUAUAUAUAUAUAUAUAUAUAUAUAUAGUUGGACUGGGCUAUUAUUAGUAGCAAAAUCCUAUUGUUGCUACCAGUUUUUCAGCCUUUGGAUCAACUCUUUUCAUUAUUUCUAACCAUUGGAUUAAAUACUAUAACCCAGUGGGAACCACUCAACCCUAGGGGGCCACUCAACUCUAACCGACUAAUAUCAUCCUGACCCUACAAUUUUUCAUCCAAGAGUUAAAAACUUGAUAGCAAAAAGAGCGUUUUACUAUUAAUAGUAUUCCAGCCUAAUUCUAUAUAUAUAUAUAUAUAUAUAUAUAUAUUCCGGCUACUAUACUAUUAUGAGUACGAUCGCCCUCGUACUCAUAAGUUGUUUUUGAUGAUAGAGCUUCCGAAUCGAUGAUCCACACCGUUAAACGUUAUUUACAGCAUUUAAAACUUCUAGAAAUAAAAUUUUAUAAUUUUUCGACAUCAUUUACCUUACGAUCAAGACGUCACAAAUUUGACAAUUUUUAACGGCCGGUAUGGGAUACUUGCUAGUUUAACGAUGUAAAAGAAUCGAAAUUUGUUGAAUUUUUGAUAGAAAAUUCUAUUCACUAACUAGAUAAAGAUCAAUAACUCGGAUCUUGAAUUGAAGGAUCCGAUCAUCGUUAUUUAGGACGUCGUUCGAUUUUGACCGUUCAUUUUAUACCCGUUUGAUGGACUUUAUUAUAAUUUCGAAAAUUUACGAAAUUUAUUUUCUAGAAGUUUCAAAUACUCUAGAUCAUAUUUAACGGAGUGGAUCGUCGAUUCGGAAUCUCCAUCAUCGAAAACAACUUAUGAGUAUGAGGGCUCCAAUACUCAUAAUAGUAUAGUAGCCGUGGCCUAUAUAUAUAUAUAUAUAUAUAUAUUGUGUGUGUGUGUGUGUGUGUGUGUGUGUGUGUGUGUCAUUCACAAUUUCUAGAGAGCCUGGGGAAGGAAGAGGUUGAAAAGGGAGAAACAGUCCCGCUCCCUGUCGUGUUCCUAGUCUCGAUCUCGGUCGCGAGUGGGAUUUCAAAUUAGAUUUUGAUGAGUUUAGAAGAAAAGCAUGAGAAUCGAACAGGCGGAAUGGAAAACCAAAAGAUCUCUAAAAGUUCUUUUCUACCGAAGAGACGUAAAGAAAAAUGACACGAUAUUUAAAAGAUGGCAGGUUUUAGGGAAAAAAAUGAGUAAUAAAAGAGGUGAGCCACAAAACCAAUAGUUAAGAUAAAUUUGCCGCGUGAACAAAAUUAUAAGAUUAAUUAAAUAUUAAUUUUUAAUUAUUAUUAGCAUAAAAAUUAAUUAUUAUUAUAUAAUAAUACUAGGUUGGGGAAGGGGGAGAGUGUGCGUGUUGGUACAUUGAACCUGGACGUUAAGGACCAUGGUUCGCCGGAACGCUAUCAAAGAUGGGCCCCACACAUGUGCUGUGCACGUGCUAAAAGCCCCGUCCGUACAUGAGGACCGUUAUAUCUGCUACGGACCAAACCCCGAAACCCUAGCCCCGCCGCUGCCGCCGCCGCCGCCGCCGCCGCCGAUGGCCUCCGCGCCCCCCAGCGUCGCAUUUCUCCCUGGUUUAAACCCUAGCUCCGCCGUAAGCAUCGACCCGAGUCCCAAUUUCCUCCCCUCUCUCCAUCCUUCGAUCGCAAUUGCUUAAACCCUAGCCUCUUGAUCCCGACCUUCUGGUUUACUUGUAGGGCUCGAGCUCGAAGCAUCGGUUGGUGACCAAUCGAAGCCUAGGGUGUCGAUCGGAGAGAGCUUCCGCGACGGUGGCGAUGGCGAAGAGGUCGGAGGAGGAGAGGGAUUUUAGCGCUUCUUCGGCCGCUUCGGAGGAGAUCGUCACCAAUUCCUUGGAUGAUUUAGCCACCGAGUUGGGUAAGCUUAUGAUUAUGAUUCUCAUUUGAUAAUUACUUUCGUUAUCUGGCGAAAUUUUACUAAAGAUUUGGGUAAAAAAAAUUUAAAAUGUUAAUGAUGCAGAACUGAAGAGGAAGGAGCCCAGCAUUUCCACAAUUUUGACGAGUUUCGACAAUUCCUUCGAUCCCUAUGGGGCUUUGAGCACUCCAUUGUACCAAACAGCCACAUUUAGGCAGGUAAUGUCAUUUUGAUGUUAAUACUGACACUAUGAAAAGAUUUUGCAUGAGAAACUUCAUAUUCUUUUUAGCUUUAUUUCGAUUUGUUAAAAAGAAAUUAUUCGAGAAGUUCCUUGAUCAAAACAAAAUUUAUCCUCUAUGGCUUUAUUAUGAAAUUGAAUUUUUCUUGUUCCAGCCGUCGGCAACAGAAUAUGGUACAUACGAUUACACAAGAAGUGGUAAUCCUACUCGCGAUGCAUUGCAAGGGUCUGUUCUAUCGCCUUAGGUGUAAUUGGAGUAACCUCUUGAAUUUUCCUUUUUGCAAUUUUGUUUUGUAUUGGUUGAUAAUAAGCAUGUGCAUGUGCAUGUACAAAUGCUCAGUCUUAUGGCUAAGCUCGAGAAGGCCGAUCAAGCGUUCUGCUUCACUAGUGGAAUGGCCGCUCUCGCCGCCGUAACCCAUCUUCUUGAAACCGGUAUGCGUGAUGUGUCUUUUUUCUCUUAAGUUAUUGUUAUCGUUUCUAUGAAUUGCGGCUUUUACGUCUAUCUCCCUGCACAUGCACAUUAAUAUGCCCCCUAUAAAAUCUGAAUUUUUUCAUACAAAACUGCUGGAAAGUGUAGUUUUGUACAAAAGUUUUUUUAAGUUGGUGGCUCAGUUUGUUUACGAGGAAGGUUUUGUAUAAGAUGUUUUUGAAGCAGUGGCAUUUCUGCUAGUAUACAGUGAAUAAAUAAUGUUUUUGAAUGGCAGAUGCAAGGUUCAGAUAUUGCAGGUUUAAUUAUGUAAAAGUACAAGUUUUUCAGAGUACAAAUGUUAAUAUCUCUUCAAUGAAUUGUCUAGUUAACCUUGUAAUUAUUUAGGUCAAGAGAUUGUUGCGGGAGAGGACAUAUACGGCGGCUCGGAUCGGUUACUUUCACAGGUGGUUCCAAAGAAAGGGAUUAUUGUAAAGUUAGUAUGUUUCCUCCUUUUUCUGCUCUUGGUAGUUGGUAUUCCACCAUAAUAUUUUGUCAAUUAAAUCACUAAUAACGAAAUUAUUAUUGAUAUGGUAGUCGCGUAGAUACUUCCGAUCUUUGUAAAGUUGAAAAUGCAAUUGGCCGCUCAACAAAACUUGUCUGGUUAGAAAGUCCAACAAAUCCUCGCCAGCAAAUCGCUGAUAUACGGGUAAGAAAAUUUCUUGUGUAAAUUCAAUGUUUUGAUUUAUCUACGCAAGCACUUGUAAUUAUUCUUUCGACCUUGUAGUCACACCAAUGAUAGGCAGAUUAAUCCUCUGGUUAUAUUUUUUACAUUUACUCUUGAUAUUUUCUUCUUAUAUUUUUUUUUGUUAUUACUUUGCCUAUUUACAGAAAAUCUCUGAAAUAGCUCAUUCAUAUGGUGCUCUUGUUCUGGUGGACAAUAGUAUCAUGUCUCCUGUGCUUUGUCGUCCCUUGGAACUUGGUGCAGGUACUGAAGUUGCUUAUGAGGGUACAAGUAUUUAGAAUAACUCAACCUAGCCUUCGUUGAACUAUAAACAAGUCACUAAGAAAGAAACCAUAAUGAAUUUCGAUGUGGGUAUAGUCCAACACCAGUUUAUGAAGUAGAGAUAAAUGUUGUAGUAUUGGAGUAACUGGACUGAUAUCAUUAUGAUGCCAUUUUCUUAUAUUUGCAGAUAUUGUAAUGCACUCUGCUACUAAAUUUAUAGCUGGGCAUAGUGAUCUCAUGGCAGGAAUCCUUGCUGUAAAGGGUGAAAGGUUGAAAGUUUUAUUUUCCUUUACAUCACUACUGAACAUCUCUCUCUUUCGAAAUAUGACUUUUCUUCAUUUUUGGUGUUAUAUUUUGAUUCCUGCUUUCAAGCUAAAUCAAUUACACAUCCAGUUUUGUCAGAUGAUAUAAUCUUAUUUACUAUCUGUACGUACAGAAAUUGUGAUAGAAAACAAUUAGUUCAAUGAACCCUCUUUGCAAUUUCUUGAGCAAUGUCUUAACUUAUUGUAAUGUUAUACAUUUGAAAAUGGAUUAUGGAAUGGUGUGACUUUUUUUCUUGUGGCUGAAUUAUUUUGUUAAAUUUGAAUAUGUGGUACUUAGACUAUGUUAAUUUUUUUUUUUUUUUACUCUUCCUCUAGACUUAUUGUCCCAAACAGUUAUGUGAAUCUCUUGAACCGUUCGCUUUUAUGAUGACCCAUAGAUAUUCUUAUCUUUCUUCCAUGAUCACACAAAAUCAUCAAUCUUGUCAAAACCGCCGUCUAUGUGCUUUAUAAGUUUGAACUGCUUAGGCACUCAUCAAUUAGGCAUUUAUCAUUAGACUUGGGUACCUUGAAAGUUGGCUGAUGUAUCACCUAGCCUCGCCCAGGCAGCUAGCUCGAGUUUUUAUUAGCAAGAAUUAACUAAUGUAGAUGGCUUGCACUGUCUUAUUACUUCAGUUUUUUAUGAGGGAAAAAAAGUAAUAUGAGUCAUAUGACAAUGAUAAGAAAGUAUUAGUCAGGUAGUUUGAAUAAAUUAAUGAAAGAUUUCUUAUUGGAAUACUAUUUGUUGUAACAUAUGAUUAGUUCCUUUCUUAUGACAUAAAGUUGAAUUAAUCUCAUUAUUGGUUUCAUAUUUCAUGAUUUCAUAAUCAUUCAUAAUGUUAUAAUAAACAUUAAUAAUACAAAUAUAUUAUACGAUAUGGAUUUGUGUCGUGAUUAAUCGUUUGAUAUGUCAGUAUGUUUACGUACGUAUUAGGUAUAUAUGGCCAUCCUCCUUUUAAUAGUGAGUUUGGAUUUUAGGCAAAUACGUGGUGCCUUACGUGGAGACCAUCUGAUUGCCUUGACUAAUUGUGUUGAUCAUCUAUUGUUCACUCUUUCAACUAUGUUUCUUGUUGAAAAAAGUGAAUAAAUCUGCAUCUCUUUUUUUUUUUUUUUUUUUUUUUUUUUUUUUUUUUUUGUGUCAUGCAUUAUGCAGCCUGGCAAGAGAGAUUGCAUUCCUGCAGAAUGCUGAAGGCGCUGGAUUGGCACCUUUUGAUUGUUGGCUUUGCUUGAGAGGUAUCAAGACCAUGGCCUUACGUGUUGAGAAGCAACAGGUGCAACAUUUCUUUUUUACUUUUUCCCAUACCCUCUCUUUUUAGUUGCUUUGUAUGUAUUGUAUAUGAAUAUGAAUGUUCUGUUAAAGAUUGCAACCUUUUUUUAUUUUAUAUAUAUAGUGUUGAUACCUUUUUGGUUUGCCAACAGGCUAAUGCACAAAAACUUGCUGAAUACUUAUCUACUCAUCCAAGGGUGAAGAAAGUGAAUUAUGCAGGACUUCCCGGUCACCUGGCGCGUGAUUUGCAUUAUUCUCAGGUACUUGAAAAUAUAUUUGGCCAAAAACUUUAAUUAAGUGGCUCUCAACUCAGGAGUUUAUUUCUUAUUGCAUCCAUCCUUCUCUUUCUUGGUAGGCGAAAGGAGCUGGCUCGGUACUCAGUUUUUUGACAGGUUCGCUAGCUCUCUCAAAGCAUAUUGUCGAGACCACAGAGUACUUCAAUGUGACAGUUAGCUUUGGUAAUAAUUCUUACACCUUCCUCUGUUCAUCAUUUGGUAUAAAAUACUUUAAUAAAUAUUUCUGUCUUUCUUGCACCUUCUUCUGUUCAUCUUGUUGGCAUAAAAUAUAUUGAUAAACAUUCUGUCUAGGGUUACUGGAUCAGUAAUGGCUAAAUCAGUAGUCCUAUUUCUUCUCAGAAUAAGAAUAGGGAUACGGAUUAUAUAUCAGAUAUAUUCUAUAUUCAUCUCUAAGAUACACAAAUAUAGUGGAAAAUAGAAAUAUAUUAUACUAUAGUUAUAUAAAGGAAAAUCUAAUUGGAGACAUCCUGAAAUGUGUAUGGAAAAUUAUGCAUGUUAAUAAUCUACUAAAUUAUCUUAUGUGAUGUUUAAAUAUUCUAAUAUGCAAAUAAUCUCCAGAAGAGUACCUCAACCCAUGUCCAUAUACAGUAAAGUUUAUAUAUCUAGAUCCGUAUUCAGAUUUAGAUUUAAUGAUGUUGGAGGAAAUUUAAACCUAUAUCCAACAAAACUUGGAGUUGGAAUCUAAGAAAUUAUCUAGUAUCCAUCAUUCCUCCAAUGUUAAUCAUCAUUUGAAAUACUUUGCUUAUCAUCCUUUGGCUAUAAUUUACAUGUAAUUACAUAAAUUACUCCGUGCGGAUGCAGGGAGCGUGAAGUCGCUGAUUAGCUUGCCGUGCUUCAUGUCGCACGCGAGCAUACCCGCUUCAGUUCGUGAAGCACGCGGAUUGACCGAAGACCUCGUUCGCAUCUCUGUGGGCAUUGAGGAUGUAGAAGAUCUUAUUGCUGAUCUGGACUAUGCCUUUAGAACUGGACCUGCGUAAAAUUAGUUUAUAUUCAUUCUUUUUGUGGUAGUAAGCUUAGGGUUUAUGAUGUCGAUUGUAGAUAUACUGCUUGAGGCCUUGUUUGGAUGUCGGAAUAAAUUAUCUUAUUCGAUACAACAAUUUUCUAUUGUGAUCGUAAGAAAGAAGUUUGAUUUUUGUUCCUUAAAAAGUUCUGGGGUCCAUGAUUUGGUAAUAUAAUGUAUCUCAUCUAUGAGGUGAUUUAAGGCCGAAUAUAUUGUCCAUUUCUAGAUUUUGAUUACAUUUUUCACCUAUCAAACGUACAAACUUUUCAAGUAAAUUAUGGAGAUAUACUAGAUGAGAUACAUAUGCAUCCAAAUAGGGCCUAAAUGUAAUUGAAUUGCUAAUCUAUCCCAGACUCUGAACAUCAGUUAGGAUGAUAUAGUAUCUUUUGGAUUAGCUUUAAUUUGUCCUCAUAUUGUUUAGUUCAUUUUCACUUUGUCAACAUGUGGUUUUAAAAGGUGCACUUAACUAUUCUUUGGUGUACCUUAUUUUUAUUUUGCCAUCCUUUGGUUCAAAAGUGACACUUAGCUCUCUCAUGGUUAGCAAAAAAUUUACUUUGCUAUCCUAUUGAAUAGUAAGUUUUUUGGAUCAAAGAGAGAUAAAAUUACUAGGUAGCUAGUACAACCUAAGAAUGACAAAGUAAAAAUGAGCUAAACCACAUGGGAGGCAAAUUGAAGUUUACCCUAUCUUUUUUCUAUCUGUGGUUUUGUAUUGUUUAAUAAGUUGGGUUAAAAAACAUCAAUUGCCCUGAAAUGAUGAGAGGAAUUAUGACUUAUGAGAAGAGUGACACUUUGGUCAUUAAACUUUUAUUUAAACUUAGAUAGAAAUAUAAAGUAAUUAGACUUCGAAUUUGAGACAUCGAGUAUCAACCAUUAAAUUUUUUGUCACUUGCACUUGAGCAGUCAGUCAAUUACUAGUUAUUUGGCCAAUUAUUAGUUAUAUAGUUGGGUUAUUUUGGCAAUUUGGUCUGGAUCCUGUCCGUCCAAGUUGGUUAAAGCUUCUGGAUAAGUGCGGUUUGAGUAAAACUUUUUAGAGAAGCAUAAAUAGCUUUCUUAGCAAAAUGCUCUUUUUGCAGAUUUGCAAAUGGUCUUCAAGUCAAAAGUUUAGUGGGAAUAUGAAUGAAUGUUGUUCUCCGGGGCUACGUUUUAAAUAUUUUUGUCGAAGACUAUAUUGGAUCUGCUGAGGAAAUGCCUGCCCUUUUCCAGGAAUUAGAGUCCAUGGCUGGAUGGAGGAUUUCCUCGACGCCUUGACGGCGAAAUCAUAUGUAUUUUAAUUAUAUUAAGCCCAUGAUGAAUUAUAGUUAAUAAUGUCGAUCCGAACGUCUCCUUACUAGUUUACAUCUUAUUAAGGGCAUUAUUUCUAUUUACACAAUUGAUUGUAUUCUAAUUAAUUUAUAAAUAAAACUGAGGCUUUUAUAAUAUUACAUUCAGCAUUCAAGUUGUGAAUGCGCCAGUUCCGUUUAAGCUUUCGCCUAUUUACGGAUAGAUAUGUUCAGCUAUGUGAACUUUAAAAAUUUACUGCUCAGAUUAUUGUUUGUAUACUCAAUCAUCCAAAUUUAUAUUUUAUGACUAGCAUUGCAUGAACCGUUCAAAAACAAUAAAAGAUAUUGUUGGUGCCAAUAGAGUAGCGCCACGUGGCGAACCGGUGCACAGCUUAGCCAGGGACUCUAAAGCUAGAAACAAUGACAUAUGGUGCGCUGGGAGCAGAGGAUGAAUAGCAGCAAACCGCAGACGAUUUUCAUGCGGUUAAGAUCAGCUUGUAGUGGCCCGAAAAAUAGGGAGAAGUGGCCGAUCAUAUAGAUAACUGAAUAACAAUAGGCGGAAUAUAAAUAAGCAAAUGACACCUGGAAGAAGAGUCUUUUCCCUGCGAAUAGAAGACCACUUUUCAAUUUCUACGCAUUUUUCUUACAUUUCUCGGAGUAAUCCACUUGUAAUCUUUUCCUUUCCCGCAUUUGCUGUCUUUCUUAGGAGUAGUCUUUAAGUUAGAUUUUUGGAGUCUGUAUGCCACACAGGCACACUCUCUUUUGUACGAGUUUUCAGCCUUAGUUUUAAUAUAUAUAAAGGUAUUCGGCUCUUCGGCAGACCCAAAAAUACUCUGCAUUUCGUACAUUUGGCUUAUUUAGCCGAACCAACUCCACAGUAGAAGGUUUCGAACCUGGCUGAUCUGAUCUCUCAUCAGCCGAAUCGCUUGAUCUGUCGAAGGGCGCGAACUUCGAGGGUCACCACGUGAAGCCGUUUUGCAUCCCUAUGCGCUUCUAUAGGGAGAUCUUUGACUCGGUCAAAGGUUAGGGAAUUCGGCUCACAAUAAUUUUUGGCACGCCCAGUGGGACACUUUGCAGGUAAACUUGUGUUUUCAAUUAUUAAAAAAUUAUGGCUGAUGACAAUGCAAUGAACCUUCGAAACAGAGUCGUUUCACGAAAUUCUGGGAAUGAUCAAGCUAGUAAUACAGAGAGCGUGAAUGAGCGUAAUGUAGCCUUGCCGGUCGAAGGUGAGAUUAGCGGUCAAUUAGACCAACAAUAGCCAAGUUUGGCUCAGGCGCUCGGACAGAUGACACGAGUCUUACAAGUAUUAGACCAAAACAGUAACAGGAGUACUGCUCGUCUGGAUGUAGUUUUAGCCGCAAUCACGGCUUCCAACGACAAUAUUGUCCGAAUUGGGCAAAUAUUAACACGAAAUGAACAACCCAUGGCAGAUCUACAGGGGCCUAUGGGCACACCAGUGUUACAAAAUCCAGUGACACCGGUAAACACUCAACCUUAGGGAACACCUUUCAAGGCUGCUUAUAGACCAGCGACUACAAACGUCGUUCAAUAGCCCGAAGUGGCGUGGGGAUUACCCCCUCCGCCACCAUUGGCAGCAUAUCAACCCCAAAGUCCGGGGAUGUAACACACUGAACUUUAGCAAAUUGCGAGGUUCAAGUGUUUGAUUUGUGAACUGAGCCUUUUUGGGUUUUCUGUACGGUCGUCGACUGUGUUCCGACCUAUGACUCGCAUCCCGAGGAGUGAGGAUAAAAAUCUAGCACCAAAACCUCUAAAAAAAAGGAUUUGGGCUACUCUCGGGUUGACUCUGCAGGGCAGUGUACCGGUACUGUAUCGGCUUGGUACCGGUACUGCAUCGCGAUAGUACCGGUACACAGUGUAUUUUCUCGCUUACCCAAGGCUCGGGUUUGCGCGUGCUGCUGCCUGGUACCGGUACUCUUGCCUGCGUAUCGAUACGCAGUGUUGCGUGCAGUCUGCAUGUUUUUUAGGGUUCUCCUUGCAAUUGUUGAAACACUUUAUAUACCCCACAACCUUUGGUUGGGAUCUCUUGUGCUGCAACCAGAGAGGAGAAGAGGUAGGGUUCCUCUUCCAUUUUACUUAGAUUUUUCCCUCUCUUUUGCUUUGGAUUUGAGGUUUGAUCUCUCCACUUGCUUCCUUUUUGCAUCUUGGUGACCUUUCCACUAUUGGAGAAGCUUUGGAGCUUGGAUUGGAGCCAUUUCGAGGAAAGAUUUCUAACCCUAUCUUACUCCUAGCUUGGUUUGGAGCUUCUAGAGAGGUUACUAACUUUGAUCUUCCAUUUGAUUCAUGUUUUGGUAGUUUUUCGGAGAUAAAAACUUAGAAAUGAGAAUUUAGGGUUUUAUUUGGGGUUUCUUGAUUUGAGGCUUUUGAGUUCGAAUUGAUAGGUGUAGAACACUCUUAUAGGUUGGAUUUGAAGCUUUCUAGCUUCGAUUUGAGCUUUGAUCAAGUUCUUCUUGACCCAAGGAAUUUUUACACUUUUGUAUGUGUAAUUUUCGAAGUAGUCGUUUUAUAGCUUUUAACCCUUUAGAAUUUCUCUUAGGGUGCUAGAAGCUUGAGGGACAACUUCGUUCGAAGGAACGACAGGGUUCGAAGUGCUUCCGAUGGAUUUGACCUCACUGAAAUGGGUGAACUCUCCCUACGUCUUUCUUUUGAUGUUAAGACAUAAAUAGAUGCCUUUUCAUGCUCAUUAUGACAUGCUAGAAUUUAUGAGAACAUAAUAUAUACAUGUUAUGUAUAAUGAAAAAAAUUAUGCUCUAGGUGGUAGAGGCAUACAUGUGGAUUUGGGCACUAAAUAACAAUAGUUGAGAUUUUCUCUCUUAUGCAACCAUUGAAAGUAUGUUAGAGAAUGAAUAAUGUUAUAACCCGUUGGGGGUUACCUAGUGAAUGAAUUGGAAAGUAGCAUUACUUACAUGAUGACAAGAGUAGACAAGGUGAUUGAAAAUUAGCAUUACUUGCAUGAUAACAUUAUACUUGUAGUAGACAAGGUAGUAGUGCAUUGGGACAUAGAACAUGAUAAGGUUAUCAUGGAGCUAAACUUGAUAUAUUUAGCCUAGUUGGACAACUAGAACUUAGCAUGUGACACAGUAACUUGAUGCAUUAAAUUAGAAGAACGACUAGUAUUUGCCAUUGUGACAUUACAAUAAAUCUAGGGUUCGAUAGUUAUAUUCCAUGUUUUAGACAUGAGGAGAAUGAGAGUGUAUAGCCCUUGGGGCGAACCCUAAUAGAGAUGAUUGCACGUAAUACUACUGGAAUCUAAAUAAUUGCAUCAUAAUAUUUCUACUCCAUGUAGUGAGGAUGUUAGUUGAAAGACAUGUGCAUAACAUGCAUUGUGAUAAUUGUGGACAUUUCAUAGUUCUUUUGCAUAUGGCAUUGGUACAUGUUUCUUGUGAAAAUUUGUUGUAACUGCAUGUCAUGAACCUUGUUGGAGAUUUGAGUAAAAUAGUGAACUAUCCUAGGUAGCAUAUUGUCAUAUGAACUAUGCAUGCCUUAGGCAAUAUAUGUGUCGGUAGAGAUAUACCACCCAAGUUGUUGUAAACAUGACAUGAAUGAUCUAGAAUCCGACCGUUGAGUCGAUAGUGACAAUUCCAUGUUUUAGACAUGAUGGUUAAGUAUCCCAAAUUGUGGACCUUAUGCUAUGAUCACGCUUGCUUGCCCUUGUGCCCAUUCGCACAUGCUUGUGAGGGUCUCUCCCUACAAGCCGGCACUCCGGAGUUUAGCCUUGCGACGAUAGAUCACCCAUGCGGGAUUGGGCGCCGAAGUGGGAUGCCGUGGGCGGAGUCUCUUUUCUUGCGGGAAAAAUGAUGACCACCACGGGGCCACUAAGGCACGACACGAGCCGGGAUGUUAUCAUGUGUACGUUCCUUGUAAAUUGGGUAUUAAGACUUAACUUGAUAAUGUACAUCAUCGUAGUUGAUGCAUACAUAGUAGAUGUUCAUACAUGUGGUUUGCUACCUUGUACUACUAAUUGAUGCAUACUUAGUAGUUGGACAUUUUGUGGAACAUUGUGACAUUAGUAACUUUAGUGGUAGUGAACCUAUAUUCUUGUGGACUAGUAUGUAUGCAGGGCUAGAAUAACAAUAAAAAGCAUAAUUUACUCUAUGUAGCAUUAUGGACAUUAUAAUUAUGCAUGUAAAUAGACAUUGGCAUACAUUUGAUUAGGCAUGUUAAUCAACAUUGACAUAUAAUUAAUCAAGUGAAAGUAGAACAUCAUAUACAUGAUAAUAAACUUGUAGUAGAGGCAUGACUAUGAUUAAUCUUGUUUAAUUACUUGCUUUUCAUAUUUUUGCUUAAUUAAUUCCUUUAUAGCAUGCCUAUAUUAGCCUAGUGGUGUAUUUCGCUAAGGUCGGCGACUUGCCCACUGGGAACUAUUGUUUAAUAGUUUUCACGCCCUCUGUUUUGUUGUUUGUUUCAGAGCCAUCCGCAUCGGGAGUGGCUAGAGAUCGUGGCAAGGGGUUAGCGACUAGCUAGAGCUCCUACGGAGUUAUUUUAGAGGGACCCAACAUCAUCUUUCUUUUUGUAUUUUGUGGAAAGAUGUAUUAUGUAUUUUGGUUUAGAGAUUAUGUUAGACUUUUGGAUUUAGUUGUAUACUUUUUGUGUAUAUUGUGAAUCUCUUUAUACUAGAACAUUAGAAAUUUUAUAUUACUCGCUCUGAUAGCCUUGUUUGGACUUUAUCUUGUUCAUUUCUAGUUUUUGGUAGACGCCUUGUAUGCACUGUGGUUGUUUGGUGUACACGGCGGGUCUGUGCAUGCGCCGGGCAGGCUUCCGCUAGGUCCCGGGGCAUGACAGGGGAUUAGAGCUAGGGGGCAAGCCCCUAAUGCUAUGCAGGGAGCGAAUCCUACAAUACAGAAUUAUGGACUUCCUCCAGGACCGAAUCCGGCUCAAGCACACCGGCUCAAGCACAAGCUCCGGUUACUGUACAAGGGAAUAAUAAUGAGCUGUGUGCUCAUAUCGAGGAAGCUAUCCUGAAUACCUUUGAAGUCGGGGUCAGGCUAGCGAUGCGGCCUGUGUUUCGAUCCCUUUACCCUGUAAAUAUAGAUACAAAACAUCCUUACCCGACAAGUUGGAAAAUGCCGAAAUUUGAUAAAUUUUUCGACAAUGAAACCGAAAAUACGGUUGAGCACGUCGCACGAUUUACGACCCGAUAUAGAAAGGCCGCCGCAGAUCCUUUCCUGAAACCUAGAUUAUUUAAUACUUUGUUAACCAAGACUACAUUUACUUGGUAUACGAGUCUACGAAUUGGAAAGAAAAUUUCAUGAACAGUUCUAUAGAUCGGAACCAGAUCUUUCGUUUGCUAAUCUAGCCCAGUUUCGACAAAAGUCAGGAGAAUCGGUCAAAGAAUAUUUAAACCAAUUUAAAACGGCAAGAAGCUGUUGCUUUGUUAGAAUGCCAGAGUCAGAAUUUGCUAAAAUGGCAUUCAAUGGUCUGUAUUUCAAGAUAAAAGACCAUUUUUGAGGAUAAAUACUUUCCAAAUCUAUUUGAUUUUGGAGUUCGAGUUGCUCAACAUGAGCAAUUUAGAAAAGGCAAUAAUGAAGAUCGGCCUAGGUGGAGCCGAAGCAAAUAUUGAAACAAAAAAAAGAAGAAAAAUAUCUCCUUUGUUGAAGAAUUUUCGGCUCAAAUGAGCUGAGUACGUCUGAUGAAACAGAAGAUUCGGCUGACAAAGCCGAAGUUUAUGUGGCAGAAAUGGUAAAAAACCGUUAGCCGUAUAAAUGUGCCUUACUCAAACCGGCCAAGCCAAGUAAAGCUAAAGCACGAGUGGCUGCAUACACAUACUCUUUUGAUGUUUCGAAACUUGAUUUGAUUUUUGAUCGGUUAUUAAAAGAUAGGAGAAUCCAACUCCAGGAGGGUCAAACGAUACCCCCUAGAGAAGAAUUGAAAAUGAGAAGAUAUUAUAAGUGGCACCACUCAUGGAGCCACAGAACAAAUGAUUGGACUGCCUUUAAAAGGCAGAUCCAAAAGGAAAUAAAUGAAGGUCGGCUCAUAUUUGCUGACCAAAAAAAUAAAAACAUGGAGGUUGAUAAAAAUCUAUUUCCUUCAUAGGUUAACCUGGUGGAUCUCAAAGGAAAAAGAAAAGAAAAAGCUCAUGCAAGUAGGAAGGCGGAUGAAGAUAUAGCAUAUACCAAGAGGACGUUACGGCUAUGCAUACGAUGCAAGGCCGAGAUGACAGGAUGAGAUUGGGAGGCGAUUAUCUAUGAAAAAAAAUUGUACGGGAAAUGGAAGGAGUUCAUGGCAUUUUUCGAAGAAUGGGAAGACAUACCCGAGGCAGAGAAAAAUUCGGAAGAUGGUUCGGAAUAAGGUUCCAAUGAUUCUGAACAGGAAGUUGAUUCCGUGAAAGACAAGAGAGACCUGUUAAUACAAAAGGUCUUAAAUGAUUAUUAUAAUCUAUGAAAUGAGGACUGAAAUAGCCAAAGGAGUUACCCUAAAAAGCCCCUCGGCUCCCGACCAAGAUUCCUAAGAUAUCGGCCAAACUGGCAACAUCAAGCCAGGCCGAGAUCUGAACCUGGAUUUGAAGGAAUGACUGAGGGUGGUAUCGAAUUCCUCGGUCGGAGAUUAAUUAAUGAACUCGGUAUUCAACCUUGGCCGAGACCGUGGGAGAGAAGAAAAAUCCUGAGAGAUCAUCUGAGGACUAUGAAAGUACCAUCGAAUGUGCUAGUCGAUCAAUGGCACACAACAACAGCACCGGCCAAAUGGCAUGGGCCGAUAUUAACAAAGAUCCAGAAGUGUCGGUGGCAAAUACUACAAGCUGAAGCAAGACAACACUGGGAAGAGGUGAAAGGGAUGAAACCUAACAUAUGGAGGCGACUAUAUGAGCCACAGCAGUCCUUUCGGUUCAUGAAGAAUGACUAUGAGGCGGGCGGCUCGACGCCCGUACCAUGGUUAAAGUCUAAAGUUGAGUGGCCACUCCCGGCAAAGCCAGAAAAGAAGGCAACUAGGAAGGAGUUGGAAGAAAAAAUCACUUCUCAAGAAACUAUAAUCAAGCGGGACAGGUAGCCUCCUAAAGAGAGAGAGGCUCGGAAGAAGAGCGAUUCCUCAGCUGAGACGGCGAAGAAAUCAGAAGAGAAAAAACAAAAAAUACAACAGAAAUCGGCUGAUGAAGAUUCGGCCGAUAUAAGUAUGGUGUACGCUUUGCCUCAAUCAUUCAAGGCAGAGUCCAUUGAAUAUGAAGAGACGGUCUAGAAUGGAGAGGAGCUCACUGGCAAACAAAGGAGUACAAUAAACAAGAGCAGAAAUGAAAUAGUCAAUGACAGUAGCAUCAUAGAUAGAUAGAUAACUGUCAUAAUCUAGAAUACAAAAUAAUGUCGCUACUGUAACAUGAAUCAAGAUACUAACCAUGAAGUGUCGAUCACAGUAGCAAAGAAAAUCAGUGAGUAGUCAUCAUGAACAAUCAUAUAAGAGGCACCGCUACUGUAAACAAGUCAUAUGCUAACAUAAAGGAUCAGCAACUACGGUAGCAAGAUGAAGAAUACAAAAUAACAUGACCCACUUAUGAUGGAAGAAGCUACUGCAGGCUAAACAACUGCUAGAUAUCAUGCAUGACUCAAAUCGAGAUACUAUGCAUCAACUAGACAUACGACUAGUCCAAGGUAUACCCAAUCCCUGUGGCCCGUCAUGAAGACUCGGCCUAUGCUUGCCCAUAGGUCUCGAAGACCGCAAAUCAAGUACCACUCCAGAGGGACACAUCAACCCGCACCCAAAGUCGCUAACUCUGUCAAAGCUUGGUGUAUAUCAAGUCUAGCGGUGAGAACUUAGGGUGGCGAACCCUGUCUAUGUAACAUCACCUCCCACUGGGCUAGCAACUGAAGUACCUCGGGUUAGUAACCCUGUCUAAGACUCUUUUAGUGCCAUACAAGCUAUAGUCAUAUGUAUAUGCUCAAAGCUCCAAUAAUCUAGACUCAACAGUCGAAUCAUUGUCCGUAGGCGACAAUAGGAGCCAAGAGACAAUCACACUAGAUACCAAUGAAAAUAUCAUGAGCCAAACUGUUCGGGUCGACUAGCAUGCUAUAUUAAACGAGUAUGUAGGAAAGAUAGGGAUAAUGCAAAUGAUAGAGGUGAGCAUGCUAAAGACCCAAUCAUGAUGAAAUACGUCAUCUGACCCUUAGGUCAAAAUCUGCGGAAGUGGACACCGACCGACUAGGUCAAUCUCAUGGACUAACUGUAACACACUGGACCUUUGCAAAUUGCGAGGUUCGAGUGUUUGGCCGUGUUCUGAGUUUUUCCAGACUUUCUGAUGGGUCGUUGACAGUGUUCCGACCUAUGGCUCGCAUCCCGAGAAUUGUGGUAUUUUAUGUAGCGCUAAGCUCACUAAAGAGUUGGACUUAGCCUACCCUCGGAUUGCAUUCUGCACGAGGUGUAACCGGUGACAGGUCGAUGGUUGUACCGGUACACAUUUUGUACCGGUACACCCUUGAUGGUCGUACCGGUACACUUAUGGCAGAUUUCAGACCCGAGCCUCGGGUUUGCGUUUUCGUAGGAUGUGUACCGGUACACUUUCCCGUGUACCGGUACACUUUCCCGUGUACCGGUACACUUUGGCAGAAUCUGAGCAGUUUGAACUGCAGGGGGUUUUUCGCAAUUGUGGCUCUCUAUAUGUAUCCCCCACGCCCUUGGGACUUCUCCUGAGCUUGGGACCAGCAGGAGAAGAGGUAAGGGAGCCCUCCACACUUUCCCCUUUGAUUCCUUUGGUUUUAUUUAGAUUUAGAGAGAUUAAAGUCUCUCUUUUUGCUCUUUUUGGGUGUUGGAGGCUUUUCCCACCAUUGGAGCUUGGGUUCAUGCUUGGUUGAGGGAUGAUCCUUGAAGUUUGAGGACUUUGAGCUUGGUUUGAAGCUUUCUAGAGGUAAGUGACUAGAUCUUUUCCUCUAGAUUUGAAUUUUAGAGAUUUCCUUGAGAUGAAACCCUAGAUGAGGUUCUAGGGCUUAUAUUUGGGCCUUUUUGAUCUAGGGCUUUUGGACCAAAAUUGGUUGGAUUAGAACCUUCCUUGGGCUUGGAUUGGAAGAGAUUUAGCUCUCUUUUGGAGCUUGAGAGAGAUUUUCCACACAUUGGGUGAGUUUUAGCCCUUUUUGCUAAAUUUGUUAAAGUUUGAUCUUAUAAUCGAUCGUAAUGCCCGUGUAUCUUUUCACUCAAUACUUUUAGGGUAUUUUGAGACUCGGGGACAACUUUGUUCGGCGAAACGAGACCCUACGCGAAGGUUCGGUGGGUUUGACCUAACCACACAAUGAGAAAUUCUCAUUUGUGCUUAAUUAAGCAUCGUUAAAUGAAAAAGCAUGCAUAUUCUUAUUAUAUGUAUUUAUUAUGAAUUUUAGAAUGCUUAAAAGGCCUAUGUUAUAUAUGUUGAAAUUUUGGACCUCUAUGUAGUAGAGAGUAGCUUGGUAGGCCUAUAGUUGCAUUUAGCAUUCUAUAUGAGACGUGAUUUCAUGAUUCUAUAGUGUAAAUGAGCUUUGGUUCAUGCAUUUAAACUUAAGUUUAUUUGAGACAUGAAAGAUGACAAAAUUGCCAUAUAGAGGUAUUGAACUAAAAUGUAUGUGAACUAGAGAGCUAAUGUCAUCAAGCGGCAUUGAGCUCGGGACAUGUGUGAACUUAGUGGAUAGGGUCAUUGAGGAAUGUGAAACAUGCUUAAUCAUUAAAUGUCUAAGUGUCAUGAAGGGGCACUAGACCUAGAGAAGGUUGGAACUUUAUUGUGACUUAGAACUAGAUCUUCGAGAUGCUAGCGACUAUACCAUGUUGGAGACAUGAGGACUGGAUACUUGAGACUUGGACUAUGCUUGCUUGCCAUUUGUGCUCAUUCGCACAUGCUUGUGAGGGUCGCUCCCUACAAGCCGGCACUCCGGAGUUGGCCUAUGCGAUUUUUGUUCGCUCGUGCAGUAUUGAGGAGCCUACGGGGUCGAGUGGGACAGACACAUUCCAUGAGUAGGAAUGUCGGGCUACCACAGGCACUUAGGCGGCACAAGCUGGAUUACCUUGGAUAGGUCCCUAAUUGGAAAUGGAAAUCGACACGGUUUGAGAAUGAACAAUCACUACUAGAUAGGCUUAGUAGUUGGAUUACAUUUACAUGCAUAUAGCAUAGGGUUGAGACAUGUAGUCUACUUGACAGUUACCUAUUUCAUCACAGUAUACUGGGUUGCCAGGAUAGAGCUUAUACAUCAUAUUUGAAUAAAGGGUUGUAACAGUAAACUAUUGCCUUUGAUUACUUUUCCUUAUGAUAGAAUAGAUGUACAACAUUUGACAUCGUGCUUAUGAGGGAUAUAGUAGUAUAGCAUUUUACUUAUGCACUCUCUUUCAGCAGUUUAUUUACAUGCUCCUUUUUAUUACUUAUUGCUAUUUGCAUUACUUACCCUUAUUUUUGGGGCCUAGUGGAGCAGGAGCUGAGGUCAGUAAUUGCCCACUGGGAACUAUAAAUUAUAGUUCUCACGCCCUCUUUUUCUCGAUGUUUUUCAGAGCCUUCCACGCAGGGAGAGGCCAGGGAUCGCGGAAAGGGUAUCGCCUCGGGCUAGCGUGCUUACCGAGGGAUCGUUCGAUAGGUGGUCUACCUCUCGUGUUAUCUUUUUGUGAAAGGUUGAGAGUUGUACCCGCAUAUGUAUAGAGACCACCAUUUUUGUACUAGAGACAGAUAUUGUACUACUUAUGAUUCCUUUUAUUGUCUAGCUUUACUUCUUUACCUUGGUGUAGAUGUUAGAACUUUACUCGCUCUGAUAUCAUUAGCUGCUUAUUAUUUCGUUUCUUCUAUUUGUUCUACUGCUUGCAUGUACUUCCGUUUCUUUUUUGUAGACGCCUUAUAUGUGUAGACAUAUGGCGGGUCUGGGCACGCUACCGGGAGGGCCUCCGCCGGUCCCGGGGCGUGACAUUAACUCUCUGACAAUAAGGUCAAGUCUCACCGAAGAUAAAUCAACUGAUCAACAUGAUCAUAUCGCAACAUGGAGUACACACCAAUCUAUACGGUAAUGAACAUGACAAUCAAUAGGCAAGUAGAGUAAAAGCACAAGCCAAUAUGAAGUCAACAGAAGUUGUUCUACUUAAUUAAUAGAAUAGAUCAAGCGAAAAGAAAAGCGAGUAAGUUACAACUUUACUGACUUCAGAAUGGAGCACCCACCUAACCAAGUACCUGAGUUCUCGACUCGAUCAGUGUAUUUAACCGUCACCUGUAUAGGACAUACGAUCACCAAAUGCCACAAUGAGUAUCCCACGUGUCAACUAUAUCAAUUCGACACGAUCAACCUGUACUAUUAUACUAUAGUGCGACUGGAACAUCAGUUCCAUAAACCGACAUACAUAACUAAGCCCAAGCCAAGCCGACUCAACAAGGAGUCACCAUGUCACAAUCACAGUCUCAAGAUUCACCGCUUUAGGUGAUGAGACUACCGCACACUAAGUGUUCACCAAACUGAACGACAACGGCCGCACAAGGCUACAGCCGAACCUACAAGUGUUGUUCUGAUGAUCCGAACACCACUUUGGUGUCGCACCAUGCACACACUGUACAAUUGGCACGAUGAUGCUCGCAAUAUUGCAACCUCACCAAUUGGUGACAUAAAGUCACCCACAAUGCGCAAAGAUUCACUCAGAACAUCGGACGUGCAAAUCCAAUUUCCGAAUCUGCCGACUUCCGAGAACUCCACUGGGAUGCCACUUCGGGUAUGAAGUGUUCCGAGUCAUGCCAAAACCUCUUUAACUCAUAUCUGCUGUCCCCAAACACCCUAUUUUAUGUGUUGGGACAGCCGCAAAGGAAAUGCACCGAAAAAAAGAGCCGUAGCUUUGAAAGUGACUCGAAGUGGGUCGAACGAUACGUAUUUCGGUAUUCAGACCGCCCACAACGCACUUGCUGCCAUCAGGGGCACAAAACACGAGGCUAUCAUAGCCAACAAGGCUCAACAAACAUUCCGGACAGCCACACAAUAAGCUUCGUGGUAACGAAACCGAGAACCGCGCUAUUGGUAUGAUUUCGGCUCCAUUUUAUGUCGUUUCACACCAAAUCGGUCUCGAAAUGUUUCCCAAACCUCGAACACUAUAUUUAAACAUCUAAUACCAUCAAACACUACUGCCCAACACCACUUAUAAUGCAUAAAGCAUUAAAAAGUCCAAGUCGCCCCAAUAUUACACGUAACGCAUCAUUAUAAUACAAUAGAGGGAUUUCAAGUGUUUUACUAGGUUGGAGCUAAACGAGUGUAGUCGAAUGGCACAGGAGGGUCGAAGACGCACCUCUAGCAACAGCGAACCAACAAUGGCGAUUGCCGACCAUCAGAGAGCGAAAGUUGGCCGCACGGAGCCAAUUUUGGGUACACGACGGGUUCGCGAUUCUAUCGAGCUUUCGGAUCACUCCAGCAAAGCAAGCAUCAUGUCACGCCCCGUAACCCGCCUCUUUGGUAUCGGCCCCGUCGAUAGACCGCCGAACGGACAGAGUCUACCCUGUACGUCCAAGGCGUCGGAACAGUACAAUUCAAGUGGUUCCAAAUAUGAACAGAAUUCAUACAUAGAAUGCAUAAGGAAGGUAUCGAAAACAUAAAUACUAAGCUAUUACAAGCAUUCGUCUCAAUUUUUACAUUUUCUUUACAUUCAACUUCCAAGUACAAUCCACUUAUUAUUACAAGUUUUUUCUUUUCUUUCCACACCCCUAAGCUAAACUGACUUAGGGUACUUCUAUCUCUGGUCUCGGCGGUAGGGAGCUAUCUACCGAGCUACGCCCUUUCCUCGCGCCGCCGCGCCGCUGACGUGUGGGCCUGAAAAACGUGGGGUGAGAACUAUAUACAUAGUUCCUAGUGGGUACAGCCACCCAAGGGAAGAGCUCGACCCACCAGGUCCAAAGGAGGCAAAACAAGCUUGUUAGUACAACAGAUAUAUAUAAACAUAUAAAAUUUAUGCAACUAACCACUAACAUGCUUAUGCCUCGCAACAUGCGAUAAUGCAACAUACAUGCAAUACAAGUAGAUCUACCGUUUUUACCUUUUUAUUUCAUUACCUAUAUUCUUUACAAUCCACUACUAAGAUUCAUUUAUCUUAGCCAAGUUAUACUACCCGACUUGGUCUUCAGUCAACUACCAGUGAACUGCCGCUCAUUGUUCAGGCUCGAGGUGAGGACGUCUCACAUGCCUCUCAGCCUUAAAUCCACUCGACUGUAGGUCAUCCGUUGGGUAAGGAAAUACCAUCAAACCCUUGACCACAAGUCGCAUACCGGGGGAAGAGAACCACACAUACCCGUAUCCACAAGUCACAUAUUGGGCGAGGAGAACCACACAUACCCGUUGAAUCACUGCCGAGCGAGGAGAACCAUACAUACCUGCAGUUAUGAUUCACUUGCCAGGCGAGGAGAACCACACGUACCUGCAAGUAUAACCGCUACCGAGCGAGGAAAACCACACGCACUUGCAGCCACCAAUCCUAGGGAUUCCGAAAUCCACUUUUCAAGACUUAAGGGUUUAUCUCAUACCCUAUGUUGUUAACCUUUCUAGGUUCAAGCCACUCGUACCCUAGUGGUCAUUCUACCACUAUGUUCCAUAACCUAGGUUCUACAACACUAGGUCCAAUGUCCAACUUAUGUUUAAUAACACUAGGUUCAAUGUCCAACCUAUGUUUAAUAAUACUAGGUUAAAUAUCCAAUCAAUUAUUUUCUAUCCUAGUUGUCCACAUCUAGGAUUCAUAGUUUUCAUGUCAUCUAGUCCUUGGCGCCACACUUAUCGAAUUCUCUAAUUUUUCCUAGAGUUCAUCGACCUAUAUUCACAUUCAUACCUAGGCAUACAUAUGCAUCCUAUAUGUUUCACAUGCCUAUGUUCUUGUUCAAUGAUAGAUUAUUUAUCCUAAGUAGCAUGCCAUCUAUGACUACUUAUUUAACCAAUUAAUCUAUCAUUACAUACAUGCAUCAAUAAAUAAAAUCAUACUUCACUUUGGCAUGGAAGCGACCUACUCACUUCGGUGAAGCACAACUCACCUCACAAUGCUUUCUAAUUGCUUGUAGACACUUGCAAUUAGGCCAACCACUUGGACCUCCAAGCUUAUUCCCAAGCUUUCCUUGCCCUAUAUAAGAGAUCCCUCGUUACCGUUUUCGAACCACUAAACGAUCUUUGCGUUUGAAAUCAAAUGAUCUCACAUGAUUUCCUAACCCUCAAUUAGGGUUUCAAAGAGUUAAAACAACAUGGGUUAAUUACAUCGGUAGUCCCCAACCUUCUCACCAAUUUUCACUUGAGUCCCCAACCUUUUUAUUUUUGCAAUUGAGUCUCUAACCUCUUGAUUUUAUUACAAUUACGGCCCAACCGUAAAAAAAACUGUUAAAAUUAACGGAAUUGCCACGUCAGCGUCUAUUUGGCAAUCUUUUGCAUGCAAUUUAGGUCCCUAAACUUUGCACAUUUUUCAUUUAGUCCCUAAAAAUAAAAUUUCAAAAUUUUAAAUUUAAAUUCAAAAAUAAUAUUAAAAUUAAAAUUUUAAACUAACAAGAAAUUAGAAUUUUGAAUUUUAAUGUGAGAUCCCUGGUGUUUGACUAUGGAGGCUUGUCGACAGCUCUAGAGAGUGUCGGGACAAGUCCGAGUCGCGUUGGCGUCAAAUAGACGCAAAACGGACUCCGUGCGACGCGAGGGCAGCCUUCAGCGAAGAAAUCUGCAAAAUAGCAGAUUUUCCUGCUUGCUGUACCGGUACAGCCAGCGAGGUGUACCGGUACACUAUACUGGUUGAGCACGUACUGCUCUCGGGUUUGCCUCCUGUACCGGUACGCGAUCCCGUGUACCGGUACACCAGGGUAGGUGAGGGGGUGUUUUGGUCUUUUUCUACCUCGUUCGUAUCACCCUCCUCUCCCCAGCUUAUUUACAUGUAGAGUGAGGCUGAGAGAGAGAGUUUUGCUCUUGGUUCUCUCCCUCUCUCUCUCUAGAGCCGAUUGUGAGCAAGGUGGAGCUCGGGUGAAGUUUCAUUGCCGACGUGGUGCCGCGGAGCCGUUCGGGCGCACGUUGUGUCGUCUUAGUGCUGUGAGGAGCUCGAGCGAGCGUGGAUUUCUGUCGUCCUCAACAUUGCGCCGACUCUUGAGGAUCUAUCGAGGUGAGUGCUCUGUGGAAUUGCUGCGCAUACUUCGGGUAUCAUUAAUUCGAGCUUAAGUGCUGACUCGCAGGAUCUUGUCGUCGACUGUUAGUAUUGCAGCUCGUUCUCGACGUAGGAGCAUCGGAUUGCGACGAGACUUGGUUCGUUGGAUUCGGGACUUCGAGAGGAAUCCACGAAGCCCUUACUUGCGAAUUUUGGUGAAGGUUAGCUUGGUCGAAAUCCUUCUCUUCUCUGCUGUUGUGGAUUUUGGACUGAAUUGAGGAUUUUUGGUGUUUUUAGUUUGGAGUUAGCUCGAUUUCGAGACUCGGGCGUUUUUGGUCGAUCCAGCAGGUGGUGUCGCAGCCGAGGGGGUUCCGUGCUGCCAGGGAUUAGCGUGCGAGGUGGGUUACAUCGGUUUUGACUCCUAAGUUCAUAAUCGUCGACAUGUAUAGAUCUCGAUUUUUGGAUAAUCUAUUCUAGCUCGAAUUUAUGGAUUAAAUGGUAGAUUGCAUAUCUGAAUUUGGAGCAUGUGGUAAUAAAUUGAAUAGGUUAUACAUGUUGGACUUGGAAGUUGAAUUAUGAGAAAAUCUGCGAUUUGGACCUGUCACUUGAUUAAACUGCCUGAUUUAGCUCUAGGAGCCGAUAUUAAAUUGUACUGUCGCAGUAUCUUCGAGACGAGUACUCCCGGUAGUUUAGAAUACAUUUACGCUCGUGCUGGUAUACCGAGUGGAUUUUUACAGGGUCGUUCAGAUUGUUCCAGACUGUUGGGUGCCGUCAGAGUUGACGGUGGACCCGUAUCGCCUUUUUGGCGUCAGAUUGUGCCGAGUGCACGUUACCUGUUUGUUGUUAGACCAGUUUGAGUCGAUUACUUGACUUUGGCUAUUGAGAGCCUGAUUGAGCUCGACAGAGAUACGCUGCAUACUCGGUUGGGUAGCGCCCACGAGUGCCACUCCGGAGACAGGCUUUGUGCUUUCGCGUUGGUGUCGCUCAUGCCAGUUGGACUUGCUCUCCACGGACCAAUUAGUGUGGAUAGAGCCCGAUAGUCGCAACGGGGCAGGGACGGGUGUAUUCACAGUCCCAGGGACGGAUAUGUUUACAGUCCCGAUUGGAAUGGGUCAGAUUUGACAUGUCCUACAGUUGGUUAGUGUAGAGCAUGAUAGUGUAGUGACUUAUGGCGGUUGAGUUAUUUCCUGCAUUUUUCCUACUAUUCUGGCUCCCUUCUGUAGACAUAGUAGGUGGACCGAUGUUGUUUUGGGCGGCACCCACUGAGGACUACUUAUUUUUACAGUAGUUCUCACGCCAGAUGUUACCCCUGUUUUGCAGAGCCACAGGUUUCGGCUGCUGCGCCUUCCGCGGAUCAGGAUCGAGGCAAGGGCGUCGCGAGUUAGAGCCCUACCCGCUGAGCAGAGCUAGAGACACCCUACUGCAGGUAGUUGUUUUACUUCGAGCUUAUGUACAUAGUACUUAACUCGCCAGUGCGAGUGAUGCUGUAUUUUGGAUUCUGAACUAUGUAUAUGAAGCUCAGUUUGUUUAGCUUUUGUUUACUCGAGCAGCUCUAUACUACUGUUUGUAGUAUUGUUUGAUUUACAGGUACUGAUGUCGCUUCGUAUAUAGGAAAAAUUCCUUUGUAUACGGCGGAUUUGUCGGCGUGCCCGGGGAACGAGACAUCCGGGGCGUGACAUUUAAUUUAAAGCUGAAUUUAAAUUCAAAUUUUAAAUUUAAAUUUUUAAUUGAAAUUAAAUUUUGAAUUCAAACUUAAAAUUUUGAUUUUGAUUUUGAUAUUUCAAUUUACAUUUAAAAUGAAAGUUUUGAAACCGAAAUUUAAAUUUAAAAUCAUAUUCAAAAUUUUGAUUUUAAAUUUUAAAUUUGAAUUCAAAAUUUAAAUUUGAAUUUAAGAUUUGAUUUCAAUUCUAAAUUUGAAUUUAAACUUCGAAUUCAAAUUCACAUUUUGAAUUUAAAAUUUCAAAUCAAUGUUUGAAAUUAAAUUAGAAUUUAUAAUUCCAAAUGUGAAUUUAAAUUUAAAAUUUAAAAUUUAAAAUUAAAUACAAAAUCAGAAUUUGAAUUCCAAUUUAAAUUUGAAUCCAAAAUCAAAAUUUAAAUUUAAAAUUUAAAUAUUAAAUUUUUUUUUUUUGAAUUUAUAUAUUUAAUAGAUUAAUUACACCAUUGGUCCUCAACCUUUGCACCGUUUUUCAAUAUGGUCCUCAACCUUUGCACCGUUUUUCAAUUUGGUCCCCAACCUUCUUUUUUUUUGCAAUCCGCUGACACAGCGCCACUGUGGCGUUGACAUGGCGCCUCUGUAGCACUGACGUGAUGCUGACGUGGCAUUUUCUGUCAAUUUUAACAGCUAUCUAACGGCUGUGACUUAAUUGAAAUGAAAUCAAAAGAUUAUGAACUUGAUUGCAAAAAAAAAAGGUUGGGGACCAAAUUGAAAAACAGUGUAAAGGUUAGGGACCAUUGGUGUAAUUAACCCAAACAACAUUUAAACCCUCCACUAGCAAACCCUUCUGUCUAACCUAGGGUUUUCCACAAAUAAUGACAAACCCAAAAAUCACAUGCUAAUCUCUAUAAUUUGUAGCUUAGAUUAGUCUAGGGAUUGCUAGAAAUCCAUUUAGAAGAUUUAAAUCGAAAACCCUAGCUCAAACCAUAAAAACGAACUCGAGUCGAAAGCAUCCCACGCCACCAAGCGCUCAAGAGCUCGAACCACCGCUCUCUACGCAUUCCCGAGCUCGAUCUCUACCAAGAUCUCCAACUUGGAGAAGAGGAAGAAGAGGGUGGAAGAGAUGGCUCCUCCCUCUCUGCAUGCGUGUGUGUGUGUGUGUGUUCGGCUGAGGGGAAGGGGUAGGCACCCCUUUAUAUAAGCCCCUAGUGAAAUUACACUUUUACUCCUCAAAAAUAGCAUUCUGGGAUGCUGCAUACUGGUACUCGGGCUCGCGUAUCGAUACCCAGCUCCAACACCUCGAAACCCGAGAGCUAGAUUUCUCAUUUUUACCACUGGUAUCGGUGUACCCGACUCCAGUACUAGUACCCGGCCAGUCCAGUACUGGUACCCGAUUCCAGUACCGGUACUCAGCACAAAAUUCUGCAACUUAGGCAGAUUUCAGCUUUUGGAGCCCGUUUUCGUGUCCAGUUUGCGCCGAAAAUACUCGAAUGCUCUCCAAACUUUGCCGGAACUUAUCUACUAACUUUUUAAGCUUGUUCCCACCAAAACUUCAUAAUGUUAGGAGUUCGGUAUAUUACACAUCGCGUAGAGGAUUUCCUCAUGAUCACCGUGCUUCAAAGAAACCUGAUUUUCAACUCCCGUAUUGCCCGGAAAAGUCAAAACAAGAAGCUGUCAUUCUAUCAAACACUAGGUGAGCGUAGCUCAAAAUAGCGAUUCGAAGCACCAAUUCCUGAAACUCGAGGGAGCACGGACGUGCACAGGUGUCAAGGAUGACCGUGUUCACCAGCAGAAUGUUGACGGAGGCGUCGAAGGGUCGUAACAGUGCCUACGGCCAAUCACAAGGUCAAGAAUGCAACAACAAAAUAGCAGCAACAAUAUUGUCACCUCAACAGAAUAGCAGCAACAAUAUCAUCACCUUAGGGAGGUUUCAUGUUGAGCCAGGGGAUGGAAGGAGGUUGGUGUAGGAGAGGGGAGGCCGGGGCUAGAACCAGUCGGCUGUGUCGGCGAGGGCAGUGGCCGGAGGAAGCACCUCGGGCCAGGGUGGCCAACAAGGCUGCACCAGAGCAAAAGCAGAUCGGGGGUAGUAGGCGAUGGAAGGAUGGUCUAGUAGGGUGGAAGAAGGACCAGUCAGCCGAGGAAGGGUCACCUAACUGGCGGCGACGGCCGGCGGUGGUGAUGGUAGAGCCUCGGCCAGGAGAAGAAGGUGGUGGCACUCAACCUGGCGACGGCGAUGGCUCGACCUGGCGACGGUAGCGGCGGCCUAAACUCCACCAAUAGUGGCUCUACGACGGCAAUGGCGGAGGUGACGGCUUCAAGCCAAGAAAGGAGGGGAGGAGGAGGGGGGUCACCUUUCUAUACUAUACAUACAUAUAAAGAUAGAGAGAGGGAUCGAGAGGAGGAGGUCUUCUCCUUGGCCGGAGCCUUGCCGGAAUGUGGCGCCGGCGAUCACGCGGAGGGAGGGGGCGGCGGCUGAGACCACGAGAGGAGAGGGAGGGGAAAAUAGGUUCGGGUUAAGUAUACACCUAUUAUAUAUAUACAUCUACUUAUAUUUUGAUAUUUUUCCAUUUGUAAAAUUGCAACUAACUCCCCAGCAUAGAACAAAUUGCGCAAAAGCCCUUCCGGUCUCAAAAUUUUGUAGUUUCGUGUGUUAAAUGCCGUACUUAUUCCAAAAGGUCCCCUGAGUGAUUUUCCCUUUCUGAUUUUAACUGUGCCAAUUUCCACAAAAAUUUAAGAAUUUCGAAAAACUUGAGUCCACGCGAUCCUCUCUUAGUCAAGUUUCACAUGAGCCCUUCCAUUCAUGAAAAUUUCAGAAUUCUCACAUGAAAUGUUAACCAUUUCGCAUAAUAUCCCAUUUUCACAAAUUACAAAAAUUGCAAUUUAGCCCCUCAAAUUCACAAUUCAAAUCCAAAACUCACUCGUAGGUGUAAUUUGCUUAUAAGUUCAUCCACCUCAAAAGUCGUGCAUUUUGACUCAUGAAAUAUCGUGCUUUUCACAUAAUUACUCCAAAUCGGCAAGUUUGCACUUAUGCAAAUUCAUUCCCAAAAUAUCACUAAAUCACGCCAAAUUGUAUAGGGGUCCAUUACCGAACUUACUAUACUGGCGAACCAUGAAAGUGGCACUUUUUGUUUCAUCGAAAAUCGCAUUAGAUUGCAAAAUACAACACCCUCUUUUGAAAGUUUACCAUAGAAUACAUUGGAUACUACAAAAAAUACUAUUUAUUAAGUUGUGGAAAAAAUAUUAUUUAUUUGUUUAUUAUAUAAAUUUUAAUAUUAUGUAAUAUAUAUACAUAAAUUUUUAAAUUAAUAUUAAAAAUAAUUUAAUAUAUUUUUUAUUUAGUAUGGAAAUUAAUACACUAGCUUUUUGAAUGAUAUUUAUUUUUAGUGGUUUAUUUUUGUGUUUAUUUGAUGCACAAGAGAAUAAUAUCGAAAAAAUAUAAAAUUUAAUUUUUAUACAUUUUUAGUGAUCUGUUGAUACCAAAAUUGAGCCGACCUAACCCACGUAUGAGCCAAUAAGGACACGUGGUACACCAGGAGUCGGUAAUAAGGCGCCUGAAGGACAAGAAAGCGGGAACGGUUGAAGAUUGGGACGUAACUUCAAUGAGGAGUUAGUAUAACUUCUAAGAUAAUGGUUACAACUAUUUCCCCCAACUACUUUCAACCAACUAAUAAUGUGGGCUAUAAAUAGUAACUUUGAAGCCUGCGAUAGGGGUCUUUGCCCCUGCGCACAAAAGACCACCCUUAUUUUCUCUGCAUUUUAUCGCUUUUCUAGGAGUAGUCUAAAUGUAAUCUUUUUUUUUUUCGCAUUUACUUCUUUUCUAGGAGUAGUUCUUGUAACUUAGAUCUUUAGAGUCUGUCUGCCCCAUGGGCAUCACUCCCUUCUAGAAUGUACUUGGAGUCUGUCUGCCCCAUGGGCAUCACUCCCUUAUAAAAUAUACUUGGAGUCUGUCUGCCCCACGAGCAUCACUCCCCUGUUCUUGUGUUCAUCUAUUCAAAUAUAAAGUCACGCUCGGCUAUUCAGGCCGACCAAAUCUUGUGUUGUGCUAGCUGUUCAGCUCAUCUCCCGGCUUAAUUUUCGACUUUUCCUGCACAUUCGACUCAUCCAGCCGAACCGGAGAGUGAAAAGAGUUUUCGAACCCGGCUGACCCGAUUCCUCGUCAGCCGAAUCGCUUGAUCUGUCGAAGGGCGCAAACUUCGAGGGUCACUAUUUGCAGCCGUUUUGCAUCCCGACGUUCUUCCUGAGGAGGAUUCUUGACCGUGUCAACGGUCGAGACUUUCGGCGCCAACAAUUUUUUGGCACGCCCGGUGGGACACAUUUUUAGGUAAAUUUAUAUUUUAUAUAAAUUAUGGCUGAUGAUCUAUGUAAUAGGGUUGUUCUUAGAAAUUCUGGGAGUGAUCAACCUAGUGAUUCAGACAAUGCUGGCGAAUGUCAAGCAGUUUUGCCAGUUGAAGGAGAAACUAGUGGACAGUCGGCUCAUCAAGAGCCUAGUCUAACUCAGGCGCUUGGCCAGAUGAGCCGAGUCCUACAAACUUUAGAUCAAAAUAUCCAUCAAAGUACCGCUCGACUAGACGGGGUGCUGGCCGCCAUCACGGCCUAUAAUGAAAAUAUUACACGAAUAGGGCAAUUAUUGACUCGAAAUGAGCAACCAAUGACAGGCUUACAAGGGCCUAUGAUGACACCGGUAUUGCAAAAUCCUACGAUAUCGGUAAAUGGACAGCCCCAAUAAUAGGCGGCACCAUUCCAAGCGGCUUACAGACCGGCCGUCGUCAAUACCGGUCAACAGCCGGAAAUUACAUGGGGAUUGCCAUCACCUCCGCCGAUGGCAACAUACCAACCCCAAAAUGUAGGGGCCAGAGCUGGGGGGCAGGCUCCAAAUAUUCAAGAAGCAAAUCCCAUAGUACAAAACUUCGGACCAUUACAAGGACCGAAUGCAGCACAAGCACAAGUUCCUUUGCAGGAAAACAAUAAUGAAAUAUAUGCGCAAAUCGAAGAAGCCAUUGGAAAUACUUUUGGAGUAGGCGCAAGGCCGGCAAUGUGGCCUAUAUUUAGAUCACCUUAUCCUGCAAAUAUAGACACAGAGCAUCCAUACCCGGCAAACUGGAAAAUGCCGAAGUUUGAUAAAUUUUCUGGGGAUGAGACCGAAAACACGGUCGAACAUGUGGCACGGUUCACGGCAUAGUGCAGGGAAGCCGCGACAGAUCCAUUUUUAAAAUUAAGAUUGUUUAACACGUCGUUAACUAAAACGGCGUUUACUUGGUAUACAAGUUUAUCAGCCAAUUCCGUCCAAGAUUGGGACGAAUUAGAAAGAAAAUUUCAUGAGCAAUUCUAUAGGUCGAAGCCACAAUUAUUGGUCACUGACUUGGCUUUAUACCGACAAAUGUCGGGUGAAACGGUCGAAGAGUAUUUGAACCAUUUCAAAAUAGCCAAAACCCGGUGUUUUAUGAGAAUACCGGAAUCAGAGUUCGCCAAAAUGGCGUUAAAUGGUCUGCAUUUUAAGAUAAAAGAUCAUUUUGAAGAUAAGUAUUUUUCUAACCUAUUUGAUCUAGGUGUUCGAGUUGCCCAAUACAAGCAAUUUCAGAAGAAAAGUGAGGACGAUUGGCUGCAAUGGAGCCGAUAUAAAAAUCAAAGCAAAGGUAAGGGAAAAUCCUUGCUAGAAGAACAGUCGGUUCAAGAAGAACAGUCGGUGUUUUAUGAGAAUACCGGAAUCAGAGUUCGCCAAAAUGGCGUUAAAUGGUCUGCAUUUUAAGAUAAAAGACCAUUUUGAAGAUAAGUAUUUUUCUAACCUAUUUGAUCUAGGUGUUCGAGUUGCCCAAUACAAGCAAUUUCAGAAGAAAAGUGAGGACGAUUGGCUGCAAUGGAGCCGAUAUAAAAAUCAAAGCAAAGGUAAGGGAAAAUCCUUGCUAGAAGAACAGUCGGUUCAAGAAGAACAGUCGGUGUUUUAUGAGAAUACCGGAAUCAGAGUUCGCCAAAAUGGCGUUAAAUGGUCUGCAUUUUAAGAUAAAAGACCAUUUUGAAGAUAAGUAUUUUUCUAACCUAUUUGAUCUAGGUGUUCGAGUUGCCCAAUACAAGCAAUUUCAGAAGAAAAGUGAGGACGAUCGGCUGCAAUGGAGCCGAUAUAAAAAUCAAAGCAAAGGUAAGGGGAAAUCCUUGCUAGAAGAACAGUCGGUUCAAGAAGAGCCGAGCCAAUCGAGUGAAAGUGAAGAAUCGGCUGAUGAAGCCGAGAUAUAGCCACUUUCUUUAAGAAGAAUUUCUUAAUAGAAAAACAUUCGGUUCAAGAAGAGCCGAACUAAUCGAAUAAAAAUAAAGAAUUGGCUGAUGAAGCCUAGAUAUAUGUGGCUGGGAUGAUAAAGCGCUGUUUUCCUAAAGCCGACCAAGACCAGCGAAACUAAAGCUUGGGUCUCGGCUGUGCUUUUGAACAGUCGAUUUGGCACCAAUAGUCAUCCGAAUAUUCAUUCGAAAGACUAUUGGGGGGGCAUUGUUGAUACCAAAAUUGAGCCGACCUAACCCACGUAUGAGCCAAUAAGGACACGUGGUACACCAGAAGUCGGCAAUAAGGCGCCUGAAAGAUAAGAAGGCGGGAACGGUUGAAGAUUGGGACGUAACUUCCAUGAGGAGUUAGCGUAACUUCCAUGAGGAGUUAGUAUAACUUCCAAGAUAAUGGUUACAACCAUUUCCCCCAACUACUUUCAACCAACUAAUAAUGUGGGCUAUAAAUAGUAACUUUGAAGCCUGCAAUAGGAGUUUUUGCCCCUGCGCACAAAAGACCACCCUUAUUUCCUCUGCAUUUUAUCGCUUUUCUAGGAGUAGUCUAAAUGUAAUCUUUUUCUUUUCCGCAUUUACUGCUUUUCUAGGAGUAGUUCUUGUAACUUAGAUUUUUAGAGUCUGUCUGCCCCAUGGGCAUCACUCCUUUCUAGAAUAUACUUGGAGUCUGUCUGUCCCAUGAGCAUCACUCCCUUGUAGAAUAUACUUGGAGUCUGUCUGCCCCACGGGCAUCACUCCCCUAUUCUUGUGCUCAUCUAUUCAAAUAAAAAGUCACGCUCGGUUAUUCGGGUUGACCAAAUCUUGUGUUGUGCUAGCCGUUCGGCUCAUCUCCCGGCUUAAUUUCUGACUUUUUCCGUACAUUCGGCUCAUCCAGCCGAACCGGAGAGUGAAAAGAGUUUUCGAACCCGGCUGACCCGAUCCCUCGUGAGCCGAAUCGCUUGAUCUGUCGAAGGGCGCAAACUUCGAGGGUCACUAUUCGCAGUCGUUUCGUAUCCCGACGCGCUCCCAGAGGAGGAUCGUUGACUAGGUCCAGGGUCGGGGAACUUCGGCACCAACAUGAUCUUAAUUAUGUUGAAUGAUAUUGAUCAUUGAAUUCGGCAGCUCUACAUUAAAAAUAAAUUAAUAGUAACGAAAUUUGCUUGUCAUCCUUAUCAAUAGUAUUCUAAGUCAUUUUCAAUUCUCCCCAAUUUAAUGUAAAAUAAAUAAAUAAAUAAAUAAUAUAAACCCAUUAUUUCUUCUUCCCCGGUUCCCCCACCUCAUCCACAACAAGGUGAUAUGUAAAUAUAUAAACAUAAACGCCAUCUCCCUCCUCACUCUCACUAUCUCCCAUUAGCUCUAUCCCCUCUCCUAUCGCCAUGCUCCUCACCUCCCCCUUCCUCCAUCCCCCUUCCUCCUCCUCCUCCCUCACUUGCUCUACCUUCCUCCAUGGGCCCCUCCCCCUCCCCGCCAACUUCAAAACCCUAACCCUAGCUCCUUCCCCUCCCCCUUCCUCCCUCCCCGUGGUCCGCGCCAUGAAGAAGCUACAGGGGCGCGUGGUGUGCGCCACCAACGACAAGACCGUGGCCGUGGAGGUGGUGCGCCUCGCCCCCCACCCCAAGUACAAGCGCCGCGUCCGCAAGAAGAAGAAGUACCAGGCCCACGACCCGGAGAACCUGUUCAAGGUCGGCGACUUCGUCCAGCUCGAGAAGUCCCGCCCCAUCAGCAAGACCAAGACCUUCCUCGCCGUCCCCGUCGCCGCCAGGAACGCCCCCAAGCCCGUCGACCCCGUCCCCUCCGCCCUCCUCGACCUUCCCCCCCUCCAAUCCCAGCAGCAGCCCACGGCGCCGCAGGAAUGAUCGCAACCCCAUCCUCUGAUCUCCUGGUUUUGUGUUAAGGUUUCCAUCUUUUGCGGUAGCUGUUAUUGUUUGAUUGGAAAUGGGAUUUGACUCGCUGCUUAGCCCGCCGCCUGUUUGAUUCUUGAUCUGGUUAUGGAUCUGCUCUACACCAAUUUUUCUUUGAAUGAAUUGGUUUGUAUUUAGCCCACCAUCAUUUUGAUGCUUGUUCUCUUUUGUGUUUCUGCUCCACUCAAUCUACUACUAAAGCCUUAAUUUCUUUUUUUUCUUUUUCUUUGAAAGAAUUAAGUUGCUAUUUAGCCCGCUACCUGACUGAUGUUUUCUCUAGCUAUGUUUCUGCUCCACACAAUCGAUCAAAGUUUGAAUUUUACUUUGAAUGAAUUGGGUGUGUAUCUAGCCCACCAUCUGUUUGAUGCUUGUCCUAUUUUAUGAAUCUGCUCCGCAAAAUCGGUUGAAGUUUGAAUCUUUCUUCUUGAGUGAACUGGGCUUGUAUUGAGCCCACCAUCUGUUUGAUGCUUGUUCUGUUCAUGUUUCUGCUCCGCACAAUCUAUUAAAGUUUGAAUUUUUAAUGAGAAUUUCAUGUGGUGGGUGUGCUUCUGAAUUGGUCCUUAUUGAACUCGCUACCUGUUCAACAGUAUGCUUAUGUGUCCGUCCACCGUCUGCUUGGUGCUUGUUCGAUGUGUAGAGUUUCCUAAAUUUGUUCAUUUCGGUGCCUUUAUUUUCAGCAUAUUUAUGAGAAUUAGGCGCCCUUGAAUGGUUUGCGUAUGCUUCAGUUAUGGGCCUUGAUGUGUCCACCUCUGUUUGAUGUUUGUUCUCAGUAUGUUUCUUAUCUACAAUCUCUUUUCAAAUUGUUGAUAAACAUAUGUGGGUAUCAUUUAGCACUGCUUUCUGCUAAUUUCUCAGACUGUUUGGUGUUGUAUUGCUUCCAAAAUUUUCAGUUAUGGCAUGUCGGCCUUCAUGUAGGCUAAAUGCGACACUUUGGUUCUUUUAGUAAGAUGUUGUUGUAUAUGAUACUUCUCUAUUUCUACGAUUAACUAUGUAACCAUGAACUUCUUCAUCCCAGAAUCUAUAUUUUUGCGCUUUGUGAAUUUCAUUUGUGGGCGUUACUAAGACCUAAAAAGUAGUAAUAGAUGUAGUUGGACAAUAAAUAAUGGAAAAAUUCUUUUAGGGAUGUUGUUAUAUUUUUCUGUUCCUCUUAGUUAAUCAGAACCAUAAUUUUUUGCACAAAGAAGUGGUUUAUCUUCUGCCAAACAAUUCUUUGGGUGCUGAACAGUGGUGUAUCGAUUUAAAUUCAUAUUUGAUGGUUCUCUUCGUAGCACUUGAAAAUGUAAACUACUCUUCUGUGAUUAGUAUUUCCUGAUAAUUGCAACUAUAUCCAACAUUAUUGCCGAGCUGUUGUUGUCAUCUUGUUUUAGGGCCUUGCCUUCUAUUUCAAUCUGCUAAAGUUUUAUUGAAUCGGAACGCCUCAACUUUUCUGGCGACAACUUUUCAAUAUUUAUUCUCAGUAAAUUCACCUGCAUGUUCUGUAAUUAUUUGAAUGUUACUUCUGUGUUAGAAAAAAAAAAAAAUCAUCAAAAGUAAUGUUGUUUGCAAAUAGUUGUUUCUCUGAUGAAUAUGUUGAGAUGGUUUUGAUGUAGUCUCUCCAGGAAAUGGGUGUUAGGUAAAAAAACACAUGCGUAGAUGCUUCUUGUGAGAAGGAUUACAAAGGAUAAGGUGAGAAUAAUCAUCUUAAACGCUUUUGAAUGUUUUUAACAGUGACAUUCUGUGCUGGCAUAAGGAUUGUUUUGCUUCUCUCCAAAGUUGUAAGGUGCAAAAAUGUCGUAUUAAUUUUUUUUUUUUUUUUUAAAGAACUAAAAAAGAAAGAAAAACUGAGAAGAGCUUAAAUAAUUGUGAGUAUAUUAUUUCUUUUGGAGGAAUGGAGAAAUGGGCUGGGUUUUCAUAAUGCGGCCUCAUGUGAUAGAGGCAAUGUAUUUUUUUUUUGAGAGAAAGGUAGCACGCUAUUUGCUUCAUUCAAUAAGAGAAAUGAACUAAGCGUACAAGGUGGAAGCAGUUUAGGCUUCCGUGAGUGAUAGAGGCAAUGUGGAGUGAGAAUUCUUUAAUCUUUCUGUAUAAUUUUAUGGUUUAUGGUUUAGGAAGUGUGAGAGAAGUCUGGUUCCAGGAUGGAAUAAGAACCAUUCCUUCCUGUUUUUUUUUUUUUUUUUUUUUUUUUUUUUUUUUUUUUUUUUUUUUUUCCUGUUUGGAAACAAUAUAUGCUGAUGGAAGUUACUUUUCCUUAUUAAACAAACUUUACACUUCCUCGAUUAUAAUUUCAUUUCUGUAUCUUGGACCAGAAACUUCUAUGCGGUUGCUUCUUGUUAGAUUAGAUACUUAUUAAAAGGGGGUGGUUUCAAUAGAAUCGUUCAUUCUCUGAAUUUUAUCUCGAUGGGGAAAACAAUAAAAACUUUAUUUGUAUUGGCUUAAUAAAGUUCACUCCAGAACUUUCCGAAUCAAAUAUAAUAAAUAUAGUUAUUAUUAUUCAUUCUAUAUUAUUUUAUUAUAUUAUUUUAUUUUUAUUCUCAUUUUAUCGUAAUUGAUCUCAGCCCAGUUUUGAAUGACUUCAAUUUCGAUUUUGUUUUUAUUACUUCGAACGAAAUAACGAAAGUGACUCUUUAUGGUCAGAAACGAUGUUACCCGAUCUACUUUCAUCCAAAUAAACUGAUCCUUGUUGUUUGAGAGGGGCAGACUCCGAAUUUGCAAAUUCAUGAGAUGCGCGCUUAUCCUUUUGGUUCCGGUAUAAGUACAAACUGUCUAUUUCAGAAAUAGAUAUAAGUUCAGAUAUAAGCAAGAAUUAUAUUAAUUUUGUAUUUAAAUGAAAAUUAAAUUAUUUUCGUGAAUAAGAAAAAUAGCGUUUGUAUCGAUAAGAUGAAAUAAGAAGAAUAGUGUGUAGUUAUAAAUAAGAAAUAAUGAUAUUACACCUCUUAUUAUAUUUGAAUUUAAAUUUUUAAAAUUUAUUUUUAUAUUUUAAGUUUUAAAUUUUAAAUUUUAAAAUUUAAUUUUUAAAUUUUAAAUUCUAAAAUUAAAAAUUUAAAUUAAAAUUUCAAACUUUAAAAUUUGAGAUUAAAUUUAAAUUUGAAAAAUAUAAAAUAUCAAAUUUUAAGUUUAAAAAUUUUAAAAUAUCAAAUUUAAAAUUUAAAAUUUAAAAUUAGAAUUUAAAAUUAAAAACUUUAAUUUUGAGAUUACAAAUUAUAAAUUUUAAAAAUUUAAAAUUAAAAUUAAAAUUUUUAAAUUUUUAAUUUUAAAAAUAAAAAUAGGAGUGUGAACAACAAUUAUUGUAGUGUCCCUGAUGUUUAGCUGUCUGAGAGACUUCAGCAUCUGUGGCUUGUUGACGUGUUUGGUGGAUGUUGGGACAAGUCGGAGUCGUUUUGGCCCGAAGUGGACGCAAAACGGACUCUGCGCGGUGCGAGAGUAGAGUUCUAAUACUGAAAUCUAUAAAGUGCAGGAUUUUAGUGUUGAGUACUGGUAACUGGGAGGAGUACCGGUACUUCAGAGGGAUUACAAAACUGAAUACUCUUGGGUUUGUGCAGUUUGAUGCUCAGUACUGAUACCUGUUAAUGAGUACCGGUACUGGGACUGCGUACCGGUACUACAUCGGGCUAGUACCGGCACCCGGCGCGCAAGUGUGCAGAAAGAGGGCCAAGUAUCAGUACCCAACUUGAGUACCGGUACUCCAAAAGGCAAAUUGAGUGGGUAAGGGGCCUUUUGGUCAUUUUUGUUGGCGAUAAAUCCAAACCGACCCCCCAGCCUUCUCUCUUUGUGCAUGAAAACAGGUUAGCUUCCCUCUUUCUCUCUCUAAUUUCUGCUCUCCGUUUCUUUGUGAUUUUGGAGAGUUGAUCUUAGUUUUCGUUCGCUUGUCUUUGGAGGUUUGCGCGUGCACUGUGGUUGAGUCUGGUUGAGGCCGUUGGAGGUCAAGUUAGCACGAGGUUUCUCCUAUCGACUUCUAGCCGACGUUGAACGAGCGUUCGGGGUGGGUUAGUGUUUACCGAAAUCGUCGGAUUUCCUUCUAAGUCAUAGAAUUGUCAGCAUAUAUUUUUGGCUUUGUACAUCAUGCUUAGUAGCUCGAAUUUAUAGAUUUGCAUGUUUUAUAUGAAAUCUGAAUUUGGAGCAUAAUUUAGUGAUUUUAGAUGAAGUUAUAUAUACCGAACUGAAAUUUGACUUAAGAGAAAACUCGUUAAACCUAUACUGUCACUUUUUGAAAGUUAACCGAAUUAGCUUCAGAAGCUGUUAUUCUUUUAUAUUACCGCUGUUAGUGCGUAGUAGAUAUUCAGGUUAGUGUAGGUUGACAUUACGCUCGUACUAGAGGGCCAAGCUCGUUUUACAGUAGCAUUUAGACUGUUUCGUACUGUCGGGUGUCGUCGGGGUUGACGGUGGACCCAGAUGUUUACAUCUUGUUCCAGAUUGUACCGAGAGCACGUGAGUUUUGGUUGUUAGACCAGUUUGUCCCAUUUGCAUUGACUAUAGCCUGUGUGAGGUUGAUUAAGCUCGGCAGAGACACGCUUGUAUACUCGGUUAGGUUGCGCCCACGAGUGCCGCUCCGGAGUGAGACUUUACUUACGUUGAUGUCGCAGCAGUCCUGUUUUGAUAGUGUACUUUGACCGGCCACCGCUAUGGAUGGUGUACGGUGUAGCUUGGCUACAGAUAGGGUGGAUCCGUUUGGGCAGCCCUUAUGAGAUUGGGUCAGUGUGAUGCAUGUCUAUGUCUACAGAUAGUGUACGGUGUAGCUUGGCUACAGAUAGGGUGGAUCCAUUUGGGCAGCCCUUGUGAGAUUGGGUCAGUGUGAUGCAUGUCUAUGUCUACAGAUAGUCUGUGUUGGUUAGUGAUAGUAUAGUGGCAUGUAGCUGUAGAGUUCUUUCCAAUUUUUCCUUACUAUCCUUUGCACAUAUUACUGUAGACUUAGUGGGUAGGCCGUUGGGGUCGGUGACGGUACCUACUGAGCACUACUCUGUUUUGUAGUAGUGUUUACACCCAGUUAUUGCUACCUCUUUGCAGAACCUUCGUCUGCGGCUGCUGCUGUUGCUGAUUCCGACCAUGGUAAGGGAGUUGCAAGCUAAAUCCCUUCCAUACCUGGUCUUUUGCUAGAGAAGCACCCAUCAGAGGUAGUUUUGUGGUUUUUCUAUAUACAUACUGUUAUGCUAAUGGUACUCGCUGGAGUGAGAUGGUUUUGUUAGCUUUUGUAUGUAUAGUGGACCGUUUUAUGUUUUAUAUAUACAUGUUUCAGUUUUAGCAGUUCUGUAUUUUGGUUGUAGUUCCUAUUUGUACUAGGUAUAGCUAUCGCUUCGUGUACACGAAAACUUCCUAUGUAUACGAUGGGUCUGUUGGCAUGCCCGAAAAAACUUGAUAAUCCGGAGCGUGACAAUUAUUUAAAUAAUUUAAUAUUAAUUAGAUUAAUUAAUUAUUUAAAUAUAAUAAUUAGAUUAAUUAAUGCUUUAAAAUUAUUAAUUAGUGUUUAAUUAAUCUUGUUCUUGAUUGUUCUAGGGAUAAAGGUGGAACAACAAUUACAUGCUUCUAUCGGAUUAUAACAGCUUAUUUCAACUACAUAAGAACUACUAUUCCCGGGUACGAGAAAUAGCAUUCGGGUACCAAACCAACCAUGGUAUAGUGAAUAAGAGUGGAAUAGUUGUUCCACCUUUCUCCUGAAACAUGGUAGGAACAUUCUUAAUUAAAGUUUAAAUCUAAUUUUAAUUAUUAUAUUAAUUUAUUAAUUAAUCUAAUUGAUGUAUUUUAAGUUAUUAUCUAUUGCUUAAAUUGUUAAAUAAAUAAUUAAUCUAUUAUUUAUGGUUAAUUAGCCCAUUAAGAAUUAUUUAUUUAAUAUGUUUAUCUAAUAACUAAUAUUUAUAUUGGUCAACUAAUUAAAUUAAUUUCUCAAUAAAUUAUCUCACUAAUUAAAUAAUUUACUCAUUAAUUAAAAAGUUAAGUUAUAUUUUUUAUUUAAUUAAAAAAUUAAAUAAUUAAUAUAUUUUUCUGUUAUCCUAUAAAAUAUUCAUAGCUAAUAAAAUUUUAAUUUAUUAAAUUAUGUUCAAUUAAUAUUUUGAUAUUAAUUAAUUAGAUAAAAUAUUAUUAAUUUAAAAUAAUAAAUACUUUUAUUCCCACUAUUCCAAUCAAUAAUAAUUACUUUUAUUCCCGCAUUUCAUGAACAACUCAAUUUUAAUCCAAACAAUAAUUUACUCUAGUUCCUGCUAUAUCUGAACUUGUAACUAUUCUUUAAAUAAGUGGUUUUUAUUUAUGCUCAACUUCCUAACUUUUUGGUUUAGAAUAAUAAUCGGAAUUGGAGUAAAUAUUCCUAUUUUUACUAUUUUGUUGAGAUAAAAAAUAAUUUUGAUUAUAAAAAGGAAAUGUUGAAAAUAAAAUUUAAAUUAAAAUACAAAAUACAAAAUAAAAUUUCAAACUGAGUUUAUAAUUCAAAACAUAGAAUUAAAUUUAUAAUUUAAAUUCACUAAAGUUAUAAAAUUUAAUUUAAUUUCAAAUCAAAUGUGCAAAAUUUAAUUGGCAAGAUAAAAUUUAAAACUGAGUUGGUAAUUCAAAACAUACAAUUAAGUUUAUAAUUUAUUCAUACUAAAAUUUAAAUUAAUGUUUGAAAAUUUACAUCAAAAUUUUAAAUAUAAUUUUUUACAAAAUUAAAAUUUAAAAUUGAAUUGACAAUUCAAAACAUAAAACUAAUUUACGAUUUGUCAAAUUCAAACUUAAAAACUACAAUUUAGAUUCCAAUUUGAGUCCAUAAAUAUAAUUUAAAUUUUAAAUAAAAUUUAAAUUUUAGAAUUGAAUGCAAAAUUUGAGUUAAAAUUGAAAUUUAUAAAUCAAAUUCAAAAUGCGUGAUUGAAUAUAUAUUCAAUUUAAAUUCAAAUCAAAAUCUAAAAUUAAAAAUCUAACUUUAAACUUAUAUUUUAAUUAAAAACUAAACUUAAAAAUUUUAAUUUAAUUUCAAAUCAAAUGUGCAAAAUAUAAUUGACAAAAUAAAAUUUAACACUGAGUUGGUAAUUCAAAACAUAAUUAUAAACUAAAAUUUAAAUGUUUAAAAAUUUACAUCAAAAUUUUAAAUAUAAUUUUUUUAAAAAAUUAAAAUUUAAAAUUGAAUCGACAAUUCAAAACAUAAAACUAAUUUACGAUUUGUCAAAUUCAAACUUAAAAACUACAAUUUAGAUUCCAAUUUGAGUCCAUAAAUAUAAUUUAAAUUUUAAAUAAAAUUUAAAUUUUAAGUUUGAAUGCAACAUUUGAGUUAAAAUUGAAAUUUAUAAAUCAAAUUCAAAAUGCAUGAUUGAAUAUACAUUUCAGUUUAAAUUCAAAUCAAAAUCUAAAAUUAAAAAUCUAACUUUAAACUUAUAUUUUAAUUAAAAACUAAAGUUAAAAAAUUUAAUUUAAUUUAUUUCAAAUCAAAAUGUGCCAAAUAUAAUUGAUAUAUUCUUGGAACAAGCUUUCAUUCAUUAAAAAUUGAAUUUUCAAUUGGGCAUGGGAGGCUGGAUUGGAAAAAAGGUUAGAAAAUUCUCAUUCUAUCUGAAAAUCGGAAUUGAAAUAAGACUCUCACAUACCAAAGACACAAAUUGAAUUAUCCAUUUCGAUUCCGAUUUCUUAGUACUAUUUGAUUGACUUAUUAAAAUGGUAAAAUGCACAUGUGGUCCUCAAACUAUAUGGAAGGUGAUACUUUAGUCCUCAAAUUUUAAUUUAUUGUAAUUUUUAGCUUGAAUUUUUAAAAUUAUUGCAAUCAAGUCCUACAAUCUAAUUUAGUUGAUUAAAUUUUGGAAAAAAUUUCAAAUAUCACCCCUGUGGUUUCGCACUUUUUUAUUUUACUACCAUGUGGUUCAAAGUAUAUCAAUUUAGUAUUCCGUGAUUUUAUUUUUCUCCUUUUAUUAUCCCCUAUACAUUUUUUUUAGUUAAGUCAGUAACAAAAUUAAAACUAAAAGAUAUUAAAGUGAAUAUUCGAUAAAACUAGGUGGGAUAUCUGAAGGAUUUUGCAUAUAAUUUAACGGAAUGUUAAUGGAGGAGCUGACGAGAAAAGAAAAAUAAAACCAUAAAGUACUAAAUUGAUACACUUUAAACCAUAGAGUACUAAAUUGAGAAAAUACGAAACCACAGAAGUGGUAUUUGAUGUAAGAUGAGGUGACUAUAAUUAGUUAAUUCGGAUCUGGCAAAAAUUCAGUACAAGUAUUAUACAAAUAAAACUCGUAUCCUAAUUUUUAAAUUCGUUGAAAAAUACAGCUUAAAAGGCAAGUUUGCCAAUUAUUUGGAUACGCAAUUUAUAUGAAAAUUAUAUGUUCACCAAUUAAAAAUUCAGGAUACAAGUUUGACUAUUAAAUUAAACUUUUUUUCUCUAGAUUUAUACUACUAGUAUAAAUAGUUAUAAUUCUUAUGAACAUAAAAUAUAGAGCUAUAAAAUAAAAUAGAUUAUGCAAAAAAAAUCAAUAAUUCGAUAAUAAUUCGUGAAUAAUUUGGCAAAAAUCCGCGAAUUAAUUAACUAUGUUGGAGAAAGGAAUUUUAUCUAAAAAUUCUAUGCGAUUUUUCGGCUGAAUAGCUAGGUACACGCGAAUUAUUCGUGAAUGAAAGAUCUAAUCCAAAAAUUCACAUUUUAUUCGGAUCUUUUGGGAUAAAAAUCACAUACAGACUGUUUUAUUUGGAUUUUCAAUAAUCUGCAAAUAAUUCAUGAAUAAUUCACAAGUUAACUAACUUUUGAUGUGACAUCUUAAUUACUAGCGCAACAUCAAUCACAACACUACUGUAUCAUCUCUAUAUUAGCGAUAUAUAAAUAUUUAGUCAACUACAUUAGAAUUUAAAACUUGAUUGCGAUAUUCUUAAAGUUCGAGACAAAAAUUACGACGAAUAAAAGUUCAGGACGGAGGUGUCACCAGUGCCAUAGUUUGAGAACUAUUAUUACAUUCAAUUUACCCUUUAUUAAAUAUAAAAUUGAAAAAAAAAACCGAACAUUGGUAAAUUUGCGCCCGUGGCCUAAUGGAUAAGGCGUCGGACUUCUAAUCAGGCGAUUGUGGGUUCGAGUCCCACCGGGCGUGUCUCUAUUAUUUUAUUUUGUUGUCUGUUUCAAACUUGUUUCACUUCCACUCAUUUUUAAUUUUUAUUCAUUUAUUUAUUUAUGGGAUGAGUUACAUGUUUGGACUUCAAAACACUUUAGUUCCAAAAAAAAAAAGAUUUUUUUUAAACUAAAUGAUAUUUUCAUCAAAUUCAAUAACUUAUACUAUCUUUAAGUUAUAAAAACAAUAAUUUUAAAUCUUAUUGAGCAUAAAUUUAAGCUCAAAAAAAAAAAAAAAAAAAAAAAAAAACAUAGUUGAGGGGUCUUAAUCAAAAAACUAAAUUUGGGUUUGUUUAAGAACGGCCUACAGUUGAGGGGGUAUCCAUACAUUUUUACCUACAAAUUUUUUUUUUAUUAAAUUUAAAUAUUUUAUUUGUUACAAAUCUUUACUGAUCUACUUUUAUGGACUAGAACAUAAAUACCGAUUUUAAAUUUGAUAAAAUUAUUAAUAUAUUUAAUAUUUCAUUUACUUAACUCAAAAUUAUUUAAUUGUGAAAUUUAAAGUAGAGAGAGAAUGAACAUAAAAAUUUGAAGCUUCGACGUAACAUAACAUUAUAAAUUAUUAUUUUAGAAAAAUAACUUAAAAUUGGAUAUAAUUUUUUUUUUUCCUUUUUCGGCAGACAUGUUCCACUUUUUCUAUGGGUGCAGUGCCACAAGGAAUGUCAAUCCAGUUCACUGUUGGCAAGUCAUCUCAUACCCGAUUUGAAAUUUCUUCAAACUCGGCUCUUUGCUCAAAAAACUAGCAGCAAACUCACUUUUUUCAGCUCAAUAAAAAUAAAUUAAUAAUAAUACUAAUUAUAAUUAAUAUGAAUUUUUUAUUAAAAUUUAACUAAAGCUGGCUGGAAAUAAUUUUGAGCUGGGCUCGAAUUUAUUUCAAAUUGAAAACGAGCAGGACUAACCAGCUUGUUUUAAUUUCGAGCCAAACACGGGCGGGCCUAAAUUAUUUUAAAUUAUUUUCGAGCUGAUCUCAAGCUGGCCCAGCGCGAGGUGACUGCUCUAGUACCCAUCUUUUUGUAAGCUUUGUAAUUUUGUGCUUUAUGUUGGAAAUCAUAAUACAAAUUUAAUUAGAGUUUAACUUAAAAUUCUAUCAGAGAGAAAAAUUAUCGAUAAUUUAGAUUAGAUGAAUUUUAUUAGUUUAAAGUGUAUAAUUUAUGAUUUUAUUUUUUCCUUUCUGUCAAUAUCUCUCUUAACUCUCCGUUAAAUCAUAUACCAAAAAACUUUAGAUACCGUACCUAUGCUUUAUUGAAUAUCCACUUUAGUAUCUUGUGGUUUACCAAAUUUUUAUUUUGAUAUCCUGUGGUUUUCACUUUAUUAUUGAUAUAACGGAAAAAUUAAUGAAGCGGAUAAUAGAAGAAAAAAACGAAAUCACAAGAUACUAAAAUAAUAUAUUUUAAACCAUAAGAUAUUAAGGUGAGAAAGUGCAAAACUACAAGGGUAGUACUCAAAGUUUUUCUAUUAUUUUAUAUAUUUAGUCAUCUUGCUCUCCCAUUGUCUUUUUUAAUAUUAUUUUAUUUUAGUAUUUGAUUCUAGAUUAUAAAGUCGGUAUCAAAGCAAAUCAUGUUUCCAACAUUUGGUAUUAGUGCUAGGAAGCGCUAGACGACGACGGAGCUGAGAUCAUAGAGUUAUGAAGAGCUAAUCAGACUCGAACGGCAUCAGAGUUACGCUACGUCAAAGCCAGAUAGCUCGUAACUGAUCGGUGUCGCUCAAGUAAAACUGAAGCAAAAGAAUUGUCUUGAAGGAGUUGGCCUUCAUACAACACCUAAGAGUAGGUGGCUGUGAAACUUGAUGAAAAAAACGUGCUAGAAGAGAUCAUGAAAAAAAUCAAAGAAGAUUUGACCAUGUAGUAAGGGAGGGUAGGCAAGCAAGCCGAAGUACGAAGAACUUGGCGAGAUCUCUCAACAAUAAGAUAAAAACAUCAUCGUAUUAAAAGUUACAUGUUUGAAAUUUAAUUUUUAAAUUCUUUGAGUUCUGUUAUGAAUUUGGAUUGAUUUCUUCAACCUAGCUUAUCAAUGUUCAAUGGAACGAAUUUUAAGCGAUAAAUAAUCACUGUUCAAUAAUUUUUAGAAUUCCAAGAUUUAUGGAAUGUGGUGGAGAAUAGAAAUUAUGAGAAAGAAUUUAGUAACGACAAAAUAGUUCUUUCAUAUAUUUUUUAAGCAAUAGAUCUGUUGUUGAUUGAAAAAAUUUCAGUGAUAAAGACAGUACGAGAAGCAUGAAUAAUGCUAGCAAAAAUUAAAGGAGAAGUUUCUUAUUAAGAAGAUUAAAUUCAGGGAGAAUAAGAAAUUCAACUCAACAAUGAAGAUGUGGAAGCCCAUUCGAACGAUGGAUCCGAGAAGCUCAUACCUGGAAGAUGGCAGAUCACUUCGGGGUGAACAAAACCUUGAAAAAUCUUCAGCGCUAUGUCUAUUAGCCUCACGUGCAAAACGAUGCGGCAAGAUUUGUGAAGGGAUGUGUCUUGUGUUAUGUAUCUAAGCCUGCUAAUCGAAAGAUGGGCCUCUAUACCCCUCUUCCGGUGCCGACUCGUCCUUGGAAAAAUAUCUCCAUGGACUUCUUAGGAGGCCUCCCGAAAAUCCGACGGAGUCACGACUACCUUUACAUAGUGGUCAAUCGAUUCUCUAAUUAAGAUGAUAGUACCGAUGCUGUGCAAGAAGACAAUCACCGGUGAGGAAGCAGCGCGGUUGUUCUUCCAACAUGUUUGGACACAUUUUGGACUACCAACUUUGAUUGUGUCUGACUAUGACAGCCAUUUUUUAAGCAACUUUUGGCGAUCUUUGUGAUCCAUGAUGGAUACAAAGCUACAACAGAGCACGGCCUUCCAUUCUCAAAUCGAUGGUCAAACAGAAGUGGUCAACCGUAUAGUUGUACAUUUGCUGUAAGGAUAUAACGCUCGACAUCUCAAGACUUGGUACGAGAGCCUUCCAUACUUGCAGUUCGUGUUCAAUCGAGCUAUACACAGUUUCACUGGCCAGACUCCUUUUGAGGUGUGCUUGGGUUACUUACCAACAAGCCCAUUCGACUUGGUAUUCAUGGUCGAGCAACCGCAAACCACCAAGAAGAAAAAUGAAAUUGCAAAGGCCGGCAUUGCUUCUUGGAGAGCGUUCAGAAAAUGCAUAGCGAGGUGGAGCAACAACUACAAAAAUCUCAGUAGAAGUAUAAAGAACGACAUGAUCGACAUCGAGCUAAGGCAACUUUCGAGAGGGUGAUCUCGUCUGGCUCCAUCUCAACAAAGAGCGCUUGAAAGGUGAUGGUAGGAAACUUAAACCCAUUCGCUAUAUACCUUUCAAGAUUCUAAGCAAAAUUGGUGAGAAAUCUUAUCAAUUGGAGUUGUUCGCAUACAUGAAAAUAUACACGGUCAUCAAUGUUGAAAACCUAGAAUCCUUCGAGCCAUCAAUGCUGUACGAUGAGCCCGGAGAAAUGCUGCCAACUGUGGAAGAACUUUGGUAGAAUAUGAAGAGCCACUAGCUGAGGAUACUAUUCUGGAACGUAAAAUCACAAUGGCACGCAAAGGUGAACGUGAAUCCUUCCGUGUUAGACAAAAAGGUCAAAACCAAGUGCCGCUAAGUGGUUCACAAGAAAAACUAGGAAAACUCAGUUUACUUACUUAUAGUUCUAGAUCUAGUCAAAAUCAGGGAGCCAUGAUCCGAGAAGAUCAAACAUUCCGGAUAAGUUUCAACCAUUGCAGAUAAGGCAGAGGCCGUUCGAACUACUUCGGUUAGAAUAAGGAUCGAGGUGGUUUUAGUAGAUAUAAGGCGGAGACCGUUCUAACUACUUCGGUUAGGAUGGGGAUCGAGGUGGUUUCAAAAGAUUAAAAUUAGUCAAACAAAUUGGAUAAGAAUAGAUCCAAUUUGGAUAAGGAUAAAGAUAUUAUUUUGUUCUUAUCUUCUUAUAAGCCUGAAGAUUAUAAAUAGGGGUUUCACUUGCUCUUAUAAAGUCACUCCAGUUUAGAAAAAAUUAAUAUACAAACUUUUCCAUAUGAAAAAUAUUGUGUUCUUUUCUUUUUCUCUUUAAUCUGGUUUUAUAUAUCCAUCGGGGAGGAUUUGUGAUAUUGCUUCCUCCUCCGAUAGAUCACGAGAUGAUAUAAUACGAAAAACACAAUAAAUUAUCUUAAAAAAUAGUGAAGUACAUCAGAGAGUUUGCCGAGUUUGGUGUGUCCAUGGAUUGAAAACAUUAGCUGAAAAAUUGUUGAAUCCACAUGAAAACUCUUCAAAUCAGUUAAGAAAAUACCUCCAAUCGCUCUGAUUCUAUCAAAAAGUUGUCGAUUGAAGAGGAAAUCACAAGAUCUCAUCGCAAAUUCGAAAGGUUCCUCCACCGUUUGAGCUCAGGAUAGAUUGCCGAUUUAUUUAGAGAUCGGCGAAGAGGCGGCUGAGAAAGAAAGAGAGAGAAAGGGGAGGGGGAGAGAGAGAAAAAGAAAAGGAGAGAGAGGAGAGAUGUGAUUGGAAUAGUGUAGGAUCUUUGGAAGAUUUGAGAGAGAAUAAAAAAAUUUCGUACAUCAACAAAAAAGGAUAGGUGUAGAAAUAAGAGAGAGAGUGAAAUGAUAUAGUACAAUGAGCGCCCCACCAAAAAAAAAAAAAAGCUAGGAGAUAAAAAAAUUAUAUUUUGUGGGGCCCAUAGUUCUGAAAUUAUGAAGAGCCCGAUUAAGAUUUCACUUUUGAAUGAAAUUGUGUAGAUAGUACCUUAAGAGCCUCAAAAUAUAUAUAUAUAUAUAUAUGAACUAAAAGAGAAAAAACUAUAUUUUGUGGGAUCCAUAGUUCCGAAAUUUUAGAGAGUCUGUCUGAGAUUCGCCCUUUAAUAGAAUUGUAUAGAUAGGAGGGCCCCACAAAAAAAAAAAAGGUUUAGGAGAGAAAAAAUUUUGUUUUGUGAAAUCCAUAGUCUCAAAAUUACAGAGAGCCUGGUUGACGGUUCAUAUUUUAAUGGAAUUGCAUAGAUAGUAUCAUGAGGGCUCCACAGUAAAAAAAAAAAAAAUGCUAGAAAAAAAUAAACAAAAACUAUGUUUUGAGGAACCUAUAGUUUCAAAAUUACGGAGGGCCGGUUGAGGGUUCGUCCUUUAAUAGAAUUGUAUAUAUAGAUUGGGUUAAUGGAGUCAUGUAAUUUUAUUUCUCAUCUUUAAAGGAUUUUGGAUGGCCCUUUUAUGAUUCUCCUAACGUGUUGUUGCUGCCAUUGUAUCAAGUCUUAAGAAUUUCCCUGAAAAUUUUGUACAUAGAAAAAAAAAAAUUAAAGAAAACUUUAAAACCUAUCUUUCGCUGUCACCAACUCUUCUGAGGAGUACUCCACCUUCUUUCUUCUAAUUCCAUUUUGUAUUUAUGUACACAAAAUUCGCCUUCCAAUUAUUUUCUGGAUUAUAAAUUUUGAAAUAUGUGACCAUCCAGUUGCCUUCCUCCCCUACAAUAUUAGGAUUAUAGCCAAAAUUAUUUCUUUUUUAUUUUGAGCACUAUCCAACACAAAGUACGAGUUAUCUAAUUAACUACGUGACUAAAACAACCAAUAAAUGGAAAACAUGCAAAAAAGAAAAAACAAAAUCCGCUGGGGUUCUAUUUCAUUAGGUAAUCUACAACAAAACAUGUGAAAAACAUCAUGUAACGUUUCGUAUUAAAUAGAAGCAAAUCAGUUACAUAAGUAAUAAUAAUCAGCAUAAACAUGUAAAAAAAUAUCGUCUAACAUAUUUUGUACUAAACAGAAACAAAAAGCCAAGAUACACACACUAACAAAACAAGAAACACCAAUCUCUCUCCUUUCUGAUCUAUUGGAUUAACUACAUUCGAACUUCGAAAAUUCAACCGUUCCUCGUGUUGCAACCCGCUGCGCUUUAAAGGACCGAAAACUGCAAAGGACCUUUUGAUAUUUUCUUCGUCGCUUCAGCAAAUAUUUUGUUCAGAUGUUCCACGAACACAUUGAUCAGUGUAAAGCUAAACCUUUUCUAGCUUAUCGCUUACGAGAGGGAUCAUCUCUGCCGGGCUCCUAGGAGUGCGAGGAGUACGGGGAGUCCUUGGAGUUCCGGGAACGGAAGAAGAAGAUGAAGACUGCUGCGAUAAGAGGUGCCUUACGUAGCCGUAGAAAGUGCAUCCCACAAGAGUCACCGUGCAUCCAAUAGCAUUCAUACCGGAUAUUGGGUUCCGGAAAAUAAGCCAUGACACCAAUAUUGCUACCGCAACCUACAUAACAUAUUGAAGAAAUUGGUGAGAAUUGUAAAGAAGGUAUUAGGUAAGUCCCUAAAGGUAUCAGCCAGAUUUCAUUUUUGAGAUACCCCAUUGCUUAGAUCGUAACACUUUACCACAGGAGAAUGUUCUUUAGUUGUUCGCAAGGAUUAGAAUCAAAAUAUUGUGGAAAUCCAACACUUUAUUUCUUCAACUUUCUUAUAUAGGGCAGCAAUUCCAUCCCUGAAGAUCGAAACGAUCUAAAUCUUUUUGGUAAAUUGACCGCUAAUCCCUUCCACCAUAAGAUUGAUUGCUUAUUAGGUUACCUGAAACAGGGCUAAAAAUGGUCUUUUGACAGUUAGGGAUGAAAUUGCUGUCACUUUAUCAGGACAGUACCGGAACUGUCCGUACAUUUUACUAUGACAUUGACCAAAUUAAAUCCUUAAUGAGCUACAUGAUUGUCACAUGCUAAAUUUUAUUGUGGCAUUUUUGCAAUUCAAGCGUUGAAAAUGAACUCACUUUGAGGUUGCCCGCGACAUUGAAGGUGACGGCAGUCGUUGAGUGUAUGACAUAAAAGAUGGAGAAGUUGAGACAAAAUGCCAACACCCCUGAGCUGAAAAUGAUGAAUAGUGAUGAAAAAACAGAAUCAUAUGUGUAGAACCAGUUGGUGACUCCGUUUCCUUCCAAUAAUACGGCUGGCACAGCGAGUAUCAUGGUUGCAAAGGGUGCCAUGUAGUAUACUGUGUUAAUACUGGAAAAGAGAGGAAAAAUUAGAUUCGUCUUAGCGAAGAAAGCCAAAAAAGACAGAUUUAACUGGAAUUUAUUAUCUAACCUACUCGGACAAAUUUUUUUGUAAGAAAAGCCACCAAGUUUUAUUAGAUGAAAAUUUUGCAAAUAAAACAAGUCUCUGCUUCUAGUUUUGUUGAUUUACAAGCAAACAUAAUUAGAAUUGUUAAUUUUAUCCUAAGAACAAUAAAUAAAAAUUUUCCAUGUGAAUCCAUUUGACAAACAAGCGACACAGAAAGUACAUAAAAAUCAAACUAAAGUUGGAUACUCCAGAAAAAGCUAUUGCAACAUUUGGACUUAUAUGAUGCAUCAUAUCACGAUUGAAUUAAUUUUGCGUGACAGCAAAAUAGCUCCUUUUCAAGGACUAGAAAAGAAAGAAUGAAAAAUUAUUACUAUUGCUCGAUAAAACAAAAUAGGAAAUUACGAUCAAUGUCCAGAGAAAGUGCGCAUAAAAGUAACAUGCCAACAUCAUCCUCACUGCUAAACAGAGAGAAAGUGAUCAUUUAUCAAAAAUCAAAAGAAAAGAUUUGCUACCUGUCAAAUUUAUAACCAUGAAGAAGUGACUCUGCUAGAAUAGUCUUUGUAGAUGUCGCCAAGCAGCCAAAUAGUGCAGCACAAAAACCAAAGAGAUUGAAGCUGAGCUCUGUUAUAGAGGUUAGAAGAAUUCCCCCAACAAUCGGUACCAAAGAAGCCCAUAUGCGCCACUCGAAAUAUUUUCUCCACACUAACCACUGAAGAACAACUGUUUUUGAAAGUAACAAGUCAGAAUAGACCCUAGACUCAAUGGAAAGAACCAAGCAGGUAGAAGGCUAAAUUGCAGGAAAACCCCUUAUAAUAAUAGUGAUGAUAACUUCACCCCGUGAAAUAUUGAACUCAUAUAUUAGAGCCUUUCAAGCAAUCAAUUUGCUCUUUUGCGAAUAGGGUAAAAUGUAUGAUUCAAUAUUCAUGGGGCAACAUAAAAUGUGCAAAACUAAUAAGGUGGAGUUUCAUACAAUUUAGCCAAAGAAAAAUGCCUGGAAAUGAAGCCAUGAAAACCUGUUGUUGCUGGAGUGAAUGAUUUAAUUGUCUGCAUGAAGGAGACUGGAAUGUAGCGCAAGCUCACGUUUCCCAAAACAAUGUUGAUGCAGAACACAAAAGACAUGGGAAAAAUCCUUCUCCAACGGUCCUCAGGAUCGACCUCAAUUAGUGGCUUCAAUUUGAGCACUUUGAUAACAACAUAAGCUCCAAUAGAAGAGCAUAUGAAGUGAACACAUGACACUGUGAGAGGAAACUUGAAGUCUAGUUUCUGCAUUCAAAGUUUCCUCUAAUGAUCACCGUGAUUACCGUAACAAGAUAUAAUAGUCUAAUGGAAAAUUCUCUUUCUAACUAUCUGAAAAGUUUGGAGAGAUUACGAGGGCAGAUAUUGUAAUUGACAGAGUAGAUACAUUGAAGUUAGUCAAGACUGCUAUAGGAAAAUUGACCAAGUUCAAUGUGGCUUACCAACAAAAAAUUCAGAUUUACUAAUAUCAUUACACAAUAGAAAAGUGUAAACAACUCUGAUCACAAAUCAUAUGGCAUGGAAAGUUUUAUUAAGUACGCUACCAUCACUGUUAUCACAAUUACUUGUUUACAUCAUAUUACUAAUCAUAGGUCUGUUUCUAAUUUCAUUUAUGCUCCUAGGAUUGGUACACUAAGGCUUCUUUUCCCUUUAAGAGUUUCUUCCUCAAUUUAUCACAAAGAUCCUCAUUAUAUGGAAUACAAAUCAAGUAAACGAAGCCAUAAAAUUUGAGAUAGAACAUGCUAAAAUGUUUACCAAACAAAAAGAAACAAUUAGACUUCAAAUUUUAAUGAUGCGAAAUCAUAAAAUUUUCAACUUGCUUUUCAUAAUGAAGCAAUUGAGAAAGAGUUUCAUUUAGAUUUUUUUCAUGACACCAAAAUCAAUAAGAAAUCAAUUGGCAAUAAUAAUUUCCCCGCAAUGUACUCCUAUGAAUUGUAACAAAUGAUUCCACGGGCACUUCCUGAUUCAUUCUUACUCAACAAGUAGAAUUGCACGAUUUGCAUUGAUCGAUAGAAAUGAACAUCAAAGGCAUCAACCAACCCAGUGUUUUGCGAACAAAUUUACUGUCGCCGACAUUAAGUGACUCAAGUUGUGGUGGCUCAAAGACUAUGACAGGUUACGAGUAAUUUUAAAAACAAUAAUUCAAGUUUCAGGUAGAAUUGAUCAGCCUAAUAUCAGAUGCGGGAUAGAACUGUUGUAUGGAUUUAUUAUGUUUUUUUUUCAAAAUUUAACUGCACUAAUUAUUCAGUAGCAAAAUGUUAGAAAUCUACGAAUUAUGACUCAAAUGGGUAGCUCAAAACCCUGCUAUUAACCUUUCGCCUAAGUCCCAGCACACCAAUUAUAAAAAAUAUUAGUAUCAUUUGAAAGAUGAGCCAAAUUUGUUCAAUUAUUGUUCAAAUAAAAAAAAAGCUGAAAAACAAACAUUUUUGUUCUUUUCUUUUUUUUGGCAAAUCCAUUCAUAUUUGAUAGGCUGAAAAAAAAAAAGAAGAAGAAAACCUUUUUUCACCAAAAAAAAAAAAAGAAAAGAAAAAGAACAAAAUACAUUGACCAAUUUCAUAAUCAGAUCAUCAUCAAAAAACAAAAAUUGAACAAUCCAAACCCAGAUAACCUAAUUGGCGAAGUCAAUGAUGCAUCUAGGAAACAGAUCAUCCAAUUUAAGGAAAAAAGGGUAAAAUCAUAACUUUUUUCUUCAAAAAAAAAAAAAAGGAAAAAAAUAAAAGAAUGGACGAAAGGUAUACAUAAAUAAAUUAAUUAAACUAAACCUGGAAGAUCCACUUGUUCAUAAUGAUUACGGUGACGUUAAAUCCCCACCACUGCAAAAUGGCGAGGAUCGCACGGAACGUUCCCUCACUCCCCAUCUUACUCUCCUCCAUCUCCAACCCCCGAAGGGAACAAAAGCCCUAACCCUUACCCUAACUUCGAACCCCCACAAUCAAUUCCCCUCAAGAGCAGCGCGAUCGAAACCGCCGAAGCUCUAGGGUUUCAUAUUUAAAGCUCCCACCAUUUCGAUCCGGACCACAAUGCCCAGAUCUCGCAAUUAACCCCCUCGCAGCUAAAACGCUUCUCCUCUCUCUCUCUCUCCCCCUUUGACUCUAGCGAGAGAGAGAGAAGGAGAUGGAGAGGGGUGGAGGUGUAAUAACAAUAAGAGGUGAGGGGGGGAAGAGGAGGGAGCAGGGAGAGGUCGCAUAAAGAUUCAGAUGGUGCGGACAUCCGCAUGCGAGCAUGUGGGAGAGGGAAGGGGACGGAAUUUGAUUGUUUUAUGCGGAGAAUGGAAGUUACCAAGGAUUAAAGCAAAAAAGAAAACUACUCCAUGCUCCUGCAAUGGUAGUGAUUUUUAUCACGGGGGAUUUUGCUUAUUUACUUCUCUAUUACCGCUCAAAAAAUUUAAAUUUAUUCUAAGUAAUUCUUAUUUAUUACCCCAACCAAAUAAAGUCUAAGUAAAUGCUAAGAAUUUAAAAAUAUUUGAAGAAAAUUUUAAAAUUAAAUAAGAAUAUUUUGGUCAACCAAAAAUAUAUUAGAUAUUUUUAAAAUUUUGUAAGGAUAUAUCUGAUACUAUUCUUUUAUCAUAAAUCAUAGUCAUCAAUUUUAUAUUACUUGAGAAAUUUUUUUUAAAAGCGUCACAGCACGAAAAAAUAGUGUUUAUACUUUUUAGGCCAUCCGUUUCCAAACUAGGCUUUAAAAGGUGAGUAGGGUCCUUUACUUACUUAUAAUGAAGGACAUCGUUGUUGAUCAUAAAUUUUGGCAGACACAAUUAAGACUAUUUAGAUAGAUCUUUGCAGGAAUCGAAUUUUAUAAUUCGACGGCAUAAUUUACAAAGUACUAAUCAAGUGGUCUAAAACUUCAUUUUGUAGUAACCAUUGAAAUUAUUAUUUUUAAAGGUUACUUGAAUGAAUACUAAUCAAUUAAUGCUUCAAAAAUUAAGAAAUACAGUUCGGAAAAGAUUUACAUAAAUAGUUCAGAUCAAGUUUAACAGCGUAGCGUCGAUUGUUAACUUGGCUGCUUCAUUAUAAAAUAUGAGGUAGAAGUAAACGUCUAUAUCUACUUUUAAAAGUAUUAUAAUUAUAAUAUAAUUUUAUUUGUAUGGAAGAUAGGAAAAAAACUACCCUUGUACUUUGAACUUCUAACCAAGUUUUAGUUUGAUUCUUAAACUUUUAAAUUCAAUAUUAGAGACUCUUGACUCUUUUAAAGGUUUUACUAAUUGUUAUAAAUAUUUACACUACAACAAAACUGAGAUAUAGGGACACAUUUCUGGGACACUUUUGUGUAAGUGUCCCAGUUAUGUCUAAAACCUUCUAACAAAAAUCCACCUAAGGCCCGGCCCAAAUAUAAAGCCCAAUCUUACUCCUGCUCAACCCACCCACCCACCCACCCACCCAUCCCAUUGUAAAAAACCUAAUUAAAAGUCCAACCCAAUUACCAAAAAAAAAAAAAAAAAAAAAAAAAAACACUCCCCUGCCUCAACAGAUCAUCAUCUCCCCCAAAGCCCCAAUCCCUUCUCAACCCUCAAACCUCACCAUGGCGAACUCUUACCAUGGCAAGCUCUCUCCCGUGAUCUCCCAUGGCGAGCUCUGACCAUGUCCUCCCUGCGGCAUUCUCUCUCAUCUCGUGUCGAUCUCCUCUCCGCGAAACAUCUUCCGUCGUCAAGGCGGAGCUCCUCGACGACCCCGCCUUCGACUUCACUGACGAGUCGCGCCAAUGGAUCGAUCGGGUACGUGCGUGCAUCCUCCCCCCGCAUUGCCUCGAUCUUCCGUCGAUUCGGCGUGAUCUAGGGUUUGGGGCUGGAUCACCCCUCCGAUUCCAAGAUCUUAGUGUCUUUUGGUCAAAUUUGAGGGGUUUAAUGUAGAUUCUGCGUUUCUAGAUGCUCGAUCUCCUUGCUGGGACAAACAUUUGCGUUGGUUGUGCAAUUUUAGUGAUCUGGUAGUAGAUUGUGGUAUAAUGAAUCGGAUUCUCUUUAAUUUACUCCCCCGACAAAAAGAAAAGAAAAAGAAAAAGAAAAAGAAAAAGAGAAGGACGGAUUAGAUCCGGUUUGGAGGGAGGAGUGGUGGUUAUUAAAGGGACAAUGCUUUGUCUUGUUGCUAUGAGUUUACAGUGCAUUUUUAACUUCGGCUAAGUUGGUAGGUUGACAAAUGCUGCUAUCACCAUUCAAAAGUUAGUCUUAGGUAGAAUUUAGGGUUUUUUUUCUUUGUCCCUUUAAUAACCACCGCGCUUACAGUGCAUCGAGACCUCCGCGCUUCUAAUAGCACACAAGUCCUACUCAUGUAACUAUAUAUAUAUAUAUAUAUAUAUAUAUAUAUAUAUAUAUAUAUAUAUAUAUAUAUAAAGCGGCAACAGUGAAGAGAAAAAUGAAGGUGAAAAAAAGAAAGGAGUAGGCAUUAUGAUGCUCACUUUGGCCAUCGUAGGGUUUUGCACUUCGGUUCUAUUUUGUUACAUAAUUGCAUGGUUGAAAACUAAGAGGAUCAGACAGGCUUUUAGGGAGCAAGGGAUCGAGGGGCCGCCGCCGUCGUUCGUCUCCGGUAAUCUACGGGAGAUUACGAGGAGGAGCCCGCGGCCGGCGACGGUGGCGAAGGGGCGAGGUUUUGUCGACUAUUCGCAAGCUCUCUUUCCUUAUUUCACUCAAUGGAGCAAAGAUUAUGGUAUGCAAUUGUAGUUCUUUGUUUAAUUAAUUCCAUGCGUGCAAUAUAUAUAUAUAUAUAUAUAUAUAUAUAUAUAUAUAUAUAUAUAUAUAUAUAUUUGUCAUUUAUAAAUCUUCUUUUACGUAUAGCUUUUGUUGUGGUAACAAUCAUGGUGUGAUGGAAAACGGAUGCUAUACAAUAUCAUUUGAUUAAUCGAAUUUUAACAAUAGGGUCGUUAAAAUUACAAUUUUUUUUUUUAGAGAGAGAAAGGUAGUAUGCUAUUCGCAGCUUCGUUUAUUUUUUUAGAAAUAACUUAGCUAGAAAUAUGAAUAACUAAAUUUUAAAUUUGAGACAUCAGAUACUGACUAUCAAAUUUUUUGUCAUUUGCUCUAUGAACGGUCGGUGUUAAAAAUUGCGAGUUCAAAUGGAGAAAGUAUUAAAUUUAAAUUUAUAAUAAUACACUCUUUGAUAGUUCAAGGGAAAAAAAGAUAAUGAAAAGAAGUAAUUUAUUAAUUAAUUUCAACUAGAUUUAUCCUAUAGUCAAAUUAUAUAUAUAUAUAUAUAUAUAUAGAGAGAGAGAGAGAGAGAGGCUAGAAUAUUUUUUAUAGUAAAGAAAUAAUGUUUGCUAUCAAUUUUUUAUCAUUAGACGCCUAGAGUUUAGUGGGAGUUAGUAGAAAAGUUGAUAAUAAAUACUUUUCAUAUACUUUUAGUAGUAUAAUAGCUCAAUAUAUAUAUAUAUAUAUAUAUAGAGUUGAGCUAGUUUACUCUCGAGAGUAAACUAGCCCGUUUACUCUCGAGUUGUUUUCGAUGAUAGAGCUUCCAAAUUGACGAUCGGCUCCGUUAAAUAUGAUCUAAACCAUUUAAACUAUCUAGAAAUCAGAUUUCACGCACUUUCGAUAUUGUUUUAUAUCCAUCUAGUGAACAGAAAAAUGAAUGGCUGAAAAUGAAUAUUCUUUAAAAAAUGAUGAUAGGAGUCUUGUAAUCAAGAUCAAGAGUAUAGAUCUUGUUUUAAAUAGUUUAAAGAAUUUUCUAACAAAAAUUCAAUUAAUUUGGAUAUCUUUACACCGUUAAACGAGAAAACGUCUCUUAUCCACCAUUAAAAUUACAAAUUUUGAAACCCUUUGAUCAUUAGGCAAAUGAUGUCGAAAAGAUUUGAAAUUUGAUUUCUAAACACUUCAAGUGGUAUAAAUCAUGUUCAACGGAGCCGAUCGUCAAUUCGGAAGCUCUAUCAUCGAAAACAACUCGAGAGUAAACAGACUCGUUUACUCUCGAGAGUAUUCUAGCUCAACUCUAUAUAUAUAUAUAGUGUAGAGCUACUAUGUUAUUUGAAGUAUAGAGAAUUUGAUACUUCCAAUUUUUUUUCUUUCUUAAUAAUUACAGUUUGACCCUAUUUAAUGUUCUUAUAACUUCAUUUUGAUACAGAUGUUGGACUACAAUGUGCCUGGAGGUUAGAGAAUUCUCUAUUUCUGAGGAAAUGAUGAAAUGCAUAUGUUUAAGCAGUCCCUGACUUGACAGAUAUGACUACUGGUAGGGAAACUAAACCGUGGACUAUCAGUGAUUGAUAGCUACAAGUUGUUAAAAGCCGGUGUUGAGGUCACUGAAGAUGAAAUCUUUCUUGGGUGUGCCCUUAAUUGGUUGGUGCAUUGAAUGGGUAAAGAGCGUUUUCUUUCUUAUUGAACUCUUCUUUAGAAAAUAUGAUAUAUUUUAUAUAGUCAUCCUCAUGGUUCAAUUCUUAUCCCUUUACAACUGUAAUUUGCAGCUUCAAGCAUAUUUCCUUGUACUUGAUGAUAUUAUGGACAAUUCUCAUACAAGACGUGGUCAGCUUUGUUGGUAUAGAGUUCCCAAGGUUAGUUUAGUAAUUCCUCUUCUGUAUGUUAUACUAAAUAUGAAUUUUUCUUAUUGCUAAAUAUGUAGGACAUUAAAAUACUUCAAAUUUGAUUGAUCAUCACUGUCAUCAUGGUCGUGUUUUUGCAUAAUCUUCAAACUUUGAAUAUCAGCUAAACUUGGAAACAACAAAUCUUAUGGUCGAUCUCUGCAAAGAGGAGAAGUUGAACUCCAUUUUGAAAUUGAUCCAAAACUUGGAAAUUGAUCCAACUUGCGUAAUAGUUUGCGUGUGGGAUUAUGGUUCAGGUUUAGCUCACUGAAGCCAUAAUUCCUACUUGAGGACAGAAGAAGAAGAUAGGUGUAGACUAUCACUAGAGAGUGUUCAGAAAACAAUACCACACGCAAUGAGUGGUGUUGUUGUAUGUUGACAUGCGUCACAUGCGAAUCAAUAUUUGUUUUGAGUCUUUUGGAGCCACUUAAUGAGUUGGACAGUUUUUCUUAAUGCAAGGUAGAGAAGCUAGUGCCCGUUCUUCUUAAUGCUUUUGCUUUUGAUUACAGUUAUCUUUAAUAAUAUGUUCCUUAAUUUAAAAAGCUUGGACAGUUUUGCUGUAGUAGUAAGCAGGUUGUAGUUUUGUGUUCCAAAAUAAGCAGCAGUAAUUUCGAGCUUCUAUAUCUACUGUAGAGAUAAGUUUAGAACUUGAUAAAAUACUUCUUACUUCUUAUAAUAGCAUUUCACAGACAACAUCAUCAAGCAAUUAAUAGUGUUCAUAGCUUAGUAGUAAGAAUACAAAGCAAUGUCAGAGUUUUAUAAGUAACUGAGGCUUAUAAGUAAUCUGUUCAUCUCUGGUCUUCAAAAUGUCAGAGUUUUGGAAUGCAGAAAGGUUCUUGUGCACAUGAAAUUCCUGCUCUAAGAGGCCCUCAUGUCACACCCACUUGCCUGCACCUCCUAUCUCUACUUUAACAUGCCCACUGCUCUCUAUCACUCAAUGUUAUAGUUGGAAGGUCCUUGUUUUACAUGAAGUUGACUGAUUAGUUCUAGGCUAUGGAUUAGAAGAGAUGAUAAAAGAACAUUCACAACGAGAGUAAUCAAUCAUCUAGUUAAUACCAUUGCUGUGUAUUCUUACUACUAAGCUAUGGUGACUAAACAGUGCCGACCGUGAUAGGAUUGUUCUAUUGGUUUUCAUCAAUUGCUUCAUCCAAGCAAGUUCCUCUCUUUAAGUGGGCCUUAUUUGCUUAUUUGUUGGAUCUUUAUCUAUGUUCUGGAGCUGCUGCAGAGUUUAUAUCAGUAACUAGUUUCAUCUUUGCUUCUCCAUUCUCUAUUACAACGUUAGCUUAUGGUGUGAGAAACGUGAGAAUUGCUACUCUUUGUUCUUAGCCAUUUCUUUCUUCGUUCCUCAAAAGUUCUUUAUUGACAAGGGGUUUAUUUGUGGAACUACAUGUUGUUUGAAUUAUUGAAUGAAUGCAGGCUGAUGAGGACGCUGCAGAUGCUUCGACUCUGAUAGGAAGUAAGCUAUAUGGAUGACUCUUUUCUUUUCUGUGCUUGAGAUACCAUCAUUCUAGUUCAAUAACAAUGUUUAGCCUAACCCUGCUAUAUCGCAGUUCCUCUAAAGACGUCGCACGUGAAAUUUGUUCUUCACAAGGAAUGCCUAUUUGGUCAACGGUUUCUUCUCGUUGGCGAUGACUCGAAUAUCAGUUCUUGGGAUCCAUCAAAAGCCAUUCCUUUGGAAUGGUCUGAUGGCCAUGUGUGGACAACUGAGCUGGUAAGUUUAAGAGAUCCCAUACUCUCUACUAACAUUAUUAGUUCAAUUACUUUUUACGUAUCUGAUCUGGUACUUUCAUUCAGGAUUUACCAAUCAAAGUGAUAGGUUGAUAUUAUUACUGUGAGAUUCUUCAAUAAUCAGUAUGAUUCUUUUUUGCUUGUCUUCAAAGUGCAUGAAGUUUGGAAUAUUGAUCUAAAAAAAUAAGGACUAAAUGAUUUCAUUAAAUAUUUAAAUGAUGAUUUUAAGCUUAAUCAUGUUGUGAAUAUACAAUAUGUAGUAAGACAUACAAACGAUGUUUUGGAUCAUUGUAAAGCUAGUAGCACAUUAAGCUUAAUUCUGUAGGCACUUCUCUACCCUUAAUUGGAUAAAGUGAUACAAUAUUAAAUGAUACAAUGUGUCCUAGAUUUUUGGCUCUUUUGUUGUUCUCUUUUUAUUGGUGCCAUAUGCUUCAUGAGUUGUGGUAAAUUAUUAAGUGCAAUUAGAUUGGAGCUCACCAUCUUAAUUACUCUUGAAUACAGAAAUGGAGAUGAAUGUAUUAAUGCAUUUUGGUCUGAUAAUCUGUCACCUUUUAAAAAUGUCUUUGCCAUUGUGGAUUAAUCGUCUUUUUUUAGAUGAAAUGAUUAUCUAAUCUAGAAAUUUAUUCGUUUAGUUUACAGACGCAUUUUCUACGCGCUCGUAAUAUGCAUCAAUAAUCUCGUGCCUUCAGGUAAAAAUUAACUUAUUUUAAUUGAUUGUUAUGUUUAAAAGAUUGUUUUGCUAAUCUUUUAUCUAAUUCAGUAUUGUUGAUUUGUAGGUUCAACAUUAAUUGCCGAGCUCACUGGAGACUGGAUUCUGAUAUGAUAUUAUUAGUUUUUUUUUUAUUCUCUUUCUCUUGGCGUUAAAAGUGAGAAAUUGUUGGUACUGUGAUUUAGUGCUAAUACUCAUUUAAAGAUAUAUAGAAUAGUACUUUGAAGACAUUUUGGAUAUUCAAUUAUUAGUAUGAUACAACUUCUUUUUAUAUGCUUCUUUGUUAAUCAAAUCAAGUGAAUAAAAAUUAAAGAUAUGUUUGAUGAUAAUUAUACUGGAGGGGUAUUACAUUUAAAAACCUGUGAUCAUCAAGAAAAAAUAGAUAUUUUUUUAAAAAUGGGACAAGCUAUAAAGUGUCUGCUGAAAUUUUAAAAAAAGGUCGUUGCUAUAUAUUAUUUUGUAUAUCUUUUAUGUGCUGCCUAAAAGCCUUAAAUAAGUGUCGGGUAUAUUAGUAGCACUUUUUUUUAAGUUAUACCGACACUCUUAAAACAGUGCACUAUAUACCUUAGCACGCCCCCAUUAGCAACACUUUUAAAAGUGCCUCCCGGUAAUUAGCCAGCAACACUUUUUCUGGACCGUGUACCGACACUUAAAAGUGUCGCAUAUGCCGUUUUUGUUGUAGUGAUUUGUUAUAUAAAGAUGCUCAAAGAGCACUCCUGUUCAGUACGAAUGUGCAUAACUCAAUUAAUCAUAAUAUGUUAUUUCAAAAUUUUUGAGAAAUAUUUAUUUUCAUUUCUUUAACAAAAUAUGAUGAUAAAUUGAUACAUUUGUUUCUAAGAUCUUGCAUGGAUGUGGUGGGAUUUUAUUUUAUAUGUAUCAAGAAUUCUCUAUUGAUUUUCGCGUUUAAAAACUUUUGAAAUUUUGAAUAUCCCUGAAAUGAUUUUCAAAAUUCCAUUUAUGAAAAAUUUUUAUUAAAGUUUUUUUGGGAUGGAAAAUAGAUUAUUUGGGAUGAUUACAUAUUAGAAAUUACCUUACAUUUCUUUUCUUUGAUUUUUCGGUGGCAGGUUGUUGAAAUUUGUUUGAAAUUUCUGGUUUCGGAGACGGUCUCAGGAGAGCAGGACCGUCCCUCCGCCCGACCGAUACUAAGGCUUUUGCGGUUCUUUCUUUUUACUUCUCAAUCGUGCUUUCUUUACUCCUCCCCAGAGUUCUAACAUUCUAGGUGCUUUUGACCUUCAAAUCUUCCUCAAUUUCAAACUUGAUUUUGGUAUGAUUCUUGGAUUGUUGGUUUCUUUAUUAUCAUAUAGUCCGUAUUUUUCUUUAUUUUGAUUUUUGGAGAUUGAUCUCAGAUAGAUGUUGUUAUUCUUUCUAUUUUUCCACCUGAUCUUGCCUUAAUAUGUUUAGGUUAGUCAACAUUUUCAAGCAUUAUUUCAUUUACAAAGAGUGUUUGGUUGUUUUUAGCCAUGUUUCUUCAUAAAAUCUAUUUUUCUUAUUUUUUGAAAUGUUGGUUUAUGUGUUUUAUGCAUUGAUCUGUCAUGGAGUUCUUUAGUUAUGUGGCCUCUAGGAUUAAUCUAGUAUAUUAUUAUCACAUUUGCUAAAGUGUUAUGGAAUCACUAAAAAUUAGUGGUCUUAUGUUCAUUAUGAUAUUUAUCUAUUGUUUACAUAGGGCCGUCCGCAGUCUUCGAAAAUGUACUCGUGGUUAUCGUGUUGUGGUUCUUUAUGGCUGUGGGGUGGUCGCGGUUAGCAAGCACAGCGCGCCCUCAACUAAGAGGCCGCGUUGAGCACAAUCGGAAGAUGGAAGGGGAGGAGUGAGUAAUUGCCCGCCGGUGAUGAAUCUGAGAGGACGAGCCAGAUUGGGAGACCUUUGUUUUGAAGUGUUGGCUAGGAAACGGACACUGGGAAGGCAAGCGGGAAAGGAAAGCCUGUGGAUAAAAGGCAAAGUGAAGCAACUGAACUGUCAAAGUCCGUCGUAAGUCCGGGAUUGCCAGGUGUGAAAUCGAAACGGGCUCUGACCACCACGUCGAGUUUACAGGCAUGUUCCAUCUAAUCGACGGUCAAUGUAUUCGUCGAACACUGCAUUGAGUGAGCGGGAUGUUGGGGUGGCUCAGUUUAUUAUUGUGUGCCGGGUUUCAGGAUUCUGAUUUGUGACAGGAACAUCUCAUCAGAUUUGUGAUUUCCCGGAGCAAACUUUGGUUAUGUUUGGAGCCUGAUCAGGGAAUUUUUACAUGAGAGCAGGUCACCUAGUGAUUCCGACGGGGGUCAGUAUGUUUCAAGACAUCCUGUCCGGUGUUGAGUUAUCAAUCACUCCUAGCGACAAUAGCUUCGGUGCUUGAGAUGAAGCUAAACACUGAUGGAGUGGCAGUAUUGCAAGGCUGGGUAUCGACUGACUUCGAGAUUUUAACCGUUGUCUGUGAACACUAUCUUGCAUGCCUGGUACUGAAUAAACGCGAAUUAUGUUAUUGUCAAGGAUUAUAAAAUGCAGUACAGAUUUCUUGAAUUUUGUGGUUUGCUACACAUCAUUGCUCCGCGAACACUGGAAAAUCUUGAGAAUGGAUCCGAUUCUGCUACAUGUAUCUCUUGGGUAGGCCAGAUAUUGUGAGUGCUAAAAACAUUAACAUGAAUAUCCGUGUUUCUGAUCUUGGCGGCGCGAUGAGCGAAAGAUAUCACAAAACCUUGGGCAAAAUGAGAGUUACCGUAUCCUAUGAAUUAUGCGGAUUUUGACGGCGUCGUGAGAAGGUGAUGUUCGGAAUGUACAUCGUAUGAGCACAGUUUUUGGCGGAUUAAUGAAGGACGUUGUGAAAGUCCUCUGUGCAGCUUCGUAUACCGCCGUCAAACGUGCUUCUUCCACAUCCUGCCCAGCUCCACCNNNNNNNNNNNNNNNNNNNNNNNNNNNNNNNNNNNNNNNNNNNNNNNNNNNNNNNNNNNNNNNNNNNNNNNNNNNNNNNNNNNNNNNNNNNNNNNNNNNNAUGCCUCCUCUCGUUGUUGUUGUUGAGCAGAAAUUAGAGAACACAAUAGCUUAUUUAUAGACUUUAGAAUCAUCGGAGUCGAAUUAGAAAAUUUCACGGUUCACUGUGUACGCGUAACGAAAGGCUGUCACGGUGUUACACAAGGAGCGGAAAGAAUACGAGCAAGUCUAUGUGGCAUGUACCGACGUACGUCUGUUGCGUACCGGACACAUUGCAUUUUUGGGAUUUUGCAAUUGUUUCUGGUCCGUACACUUCCGAAGCAUUUCUAAUCAACUUACUUUGAAUUAAAUGAUUCUAAUGCUAUAACUAGUAAUGAAUCACCAUAACUAAUUUAAAACUUUACCUGAGUCAUGUGCAUUCAUAUGUGAGUUAUAUUUCCAACUUCUUCGAAUCUUGAAUUCUUCGAUCUUUCGACGAUUGUCGGUUCUUCAAGACUCCGAUCAUACCCCUCACGAAAUAGCCAAUACAAAUCCUUAACAUAUGGACUUGAUGAACCGUGUCUUCAAGAAGAUUUGGAUACGAUUCAUCGUCGCAUGGUCUUUAUAGACGGACAUAUUGGUUCUACUCUCGUAGUGACGAGGGAACAUGCGAGCAUUUGAGGAUAUGUGCUUCAAGUCCUUUCGAGAGGAGAGCUAUAUCGCGUAAGUUUGAAGAAGUGUGAUUCUGGCUUCCGAGAAGUCGCUAUUUCUAUAGGCAUGUAUUUUCGCAGGCGUGGGUUUCUGUAAACCCGAGGAAAGUUGAGACAAUCAAAGGAUUGGCCGCGCGCCGACGAUGUCACGGAGUUCGAAGCUCGUGGCUAGCUGGGCUAUUAUAGGCGGUUGUGGAAAGGCUUUCACAGAUAGUGAUUCCUUGUACUCGUCUACCAGAAAGCCAAGUUCGUUUGGGACGAGAGAAUGCGACCGGAGUUUCAAAGUGGUGAAGACAAGACUGACUUCGGACUCGUGCUGCUCGCUUCUACGGUGCAGAGGCAGGAUUUUGGUUCUAUAGUGUGCUCCUAUCUUGGUGUUGGUGUGUGUUGAUGCAAAACGGGAAAUGGUGAUUGUAACGAUGCCGCCACUGAUAGACGAUACAAGAAGGAACUACCCACUCAUGAUUUGGGCUAGCGGCAGGUGAUAUCGCCUUAAAGUGUGGAGGCACUUAUUAAAUAAUGGUGCCCACUGUGAGAUCUAUACCGACCACAAGAGCUUUAAGUACUUGUUUACUCAGAAGAGUCAAUAUGCGUCAGCGGCGGGUGGUUAGGGCUAUUAAAGGAUUAUGAUGUCCGAUUCCUUCACCACCCGGGAAGGCAAAUAUGGUCCGCGGACGCACUCAGUUAGGAAGUCGGCGAAAGACCUCCAAUUUGAUGAUUACCCAGCCAACACACUUGUGGCUGGAUUAUGGCGAUUGGACUUGAAGUGGUUGUCCGAGGUCCCGACUCAGAUGAUGGCAUCUUCGUUCAACGACCUUGAUUGGAGAGGAUUUCAAAGAUCUGCAACCCGCAGACCCAGAGCUGCAAAAGGAAUGCGCGAAACAUCGAGAAAGCGGGUGGCGGCGUUUUAGUUAUAAACGCACGAUGGUGCCUUCGGUUUUUAGGGAAACAGAUGAUGUUGGCGAAAAGAUGGAGAGCUGCGCGAAUUGAUUCUACAAUAAGCACAAGAUCUCCGAUGUUGAUCACCUCAGGCGGCACCAAAAUGUAUCGAGGAUUGAAAUGUUUAUGGUGGCCGGGAAUUGAAGGGUGUAUUGGAGCAUUUGUGGCGAGUGCUUAACGUAGCCAACAAGUGAAAGCAGAGCGUCGAUUUUCAGCGGUGAAAGCUUCAAAGCCUACCAAUCCCCGUUUGAAAUGGGAGGACUAUAUCGAUGGACUAUGUUGGUUGCUUGCUCGCUCAAACGGCGCGCGGCCACGAUGCAAUCUGCGGUAAUUGUGGACCGAAUUAACUAAUGCGGCAUCAUUCUUGCCGAAUCACACCUGUGGUCAGGUGACAGGUUAGCGCAGGUAUUAUCUCGCGAGAUAGUGGACUGCAUGAGGGUGCCGAAACGAUCGGUGUCGGUUCGAUGACCCACGGUUCACUUCAACUUUGGAAAGCUGAAGGAGCCCUUGGCACGCGAUUCGAUUUAGCACCGCAUUUCAUCCCAGACCGAUGGUGCAAACAGACGGAACAAGAUUAAACUCU